This 142880-nucleotide long non-coding RNA is filed under the name Brachypodium distachyon (stiff brome). Lineage: Eukaryota; Viridiplantae; Streptophyta; Magnoliopsida; Poales; Poaceae. The record is from RNAcentral.
CCGAAGGCCCUUCUGAAGAAGAUGUAUUGACCAUCCUAGAAAUUGAACAAAGAGCACAUGAAAAUGGAUUACAGGUUUAGUAGGAUUUUUUAAAUCUAAUAUUUAGUGCUGGUAUAGUUGGCACUUUAAUAUUUACAUAUCUUAAAAGUUUUCUUCUAAAUUGCAGGAAAAUUACUAUUGGUUAGAUAGAAUUCUGCGAAGCUAUCAAUCAAGGAUUUAUUCGGGAGAUGUUGGAUCUACCUUCAAGGUAAUAUUGUGAUCUUUCUGUCUGUGGUCCAGUUCAUGUUUUUUUGCUUUCUCCUGUUACUUGCUUGGUUGUUAUCAAGGUGACAAAAGCAAGGCAUAUGCUUGAAUGUUUUAUAUGCAUAACUAACCAUCACCAAAGCUACAUUUCUCAGUUUUCCUUUUCUUUCCAUUUUAAAUUAUCUAUUUGAAAUGACCCCUGUGUUGCUGAGUACUCUUCAAUUUUUUUCUUGUGCAGGUCCAAGAUGAGGGUCGGUUAAAGGUUAGGGAGGUUUUGACACCACAGGCCAUGCAAAUGGCCUUGCAAAGAGUCAUAUCUUUCCCUUGUAAAAAACAGUACACCGUAGUAAUUCUCAUGCCAAAGUCGUCUCGCUGGAAUUCGUUGAUAUCAUUGUUUAGUUGCAGUUCUGGUGGAUUUAGCAGAGAUGCCAAGGUUAGAUAUUGUAUUUGCCAUGCUAUUGUUUCGAUUAAUUUCUACUCAAUGACCAUGUCAGCAUUUUGAGAUUCAUCCGCUUGUGCAGAUUUUGGCUGCCAUGGGUGGCGCACUGGUGUUAGCAGUCAGUUUGUGGAGAUACUCGCGUGGUGCAUUGAGAUCAUAGUACAGGCCAUAUUAUAUUUGUUUGAGCCAAGAUCCAGUUAGUACAUCUUUGUUACCACUGACCAUCAAUCUGGUGGAUGCGGUGAUAGUCAGGGAAGAUGGUAUACCGCAAGCAAUUGGUAGCUAACAAAUUCGUUGCAUCAUGCGUGCGUGUAAGACUGUAACAACACUGGUUAUAUUGCCGCAUGCGUGCCUGUAAUAGAGCCGGUGCAUAUUGAUUCUCCAGACUGAAUUAGGCAAACGCUAGAUUGCGUAGAUCCAUUUUUGUCGAGAUCUUCUGCAUGUAUUUUUGAUACCCAAAGUGACAAAGAAUAGAUGUACCGUUCUCAUUUGUUUGUCGCUAUUCUUAAUUCACAGUUUUCUCAUAUGAAUGUUAGAGAAUUUGAAUAUUUAGGGUUAUAUUAUUCGGCGUAUGUGGGUUGUGUUGUCUGAUUUGUACAACCGUAUAUUGUUGUAUUCUUAAAGGGUUUUUUCUGUCACCGCACUUUGUAACGAAUGCAAGUUGUCUCGGACCACUUUAAGAGAUCAUUUUAGGUUUUUUUUUUUCAAUAGGAUAAUUAAGCAAACUUUGGCGCUAACUUAAUUCAACUGAGCACAUGAUCAUGUUUAGUUUUGACCAUUAUUAGAUAAAAAAUGAUAAUAUGGAGUAUAUGGUUUGGUUGUCAAAAAAAUUACAAUAUCGAAUUAUUAAAUUUUCGCUGAUUUUUUCCCCGAAUGGUACACUACUUCUAUGCCGAUUAACGUACGUUAUUACUGAACCGAGGAGUAAUAGCAAAAUUUUAGAAAUGUGGCUUUGCUCGUUGGACACGAUUUGGAUCAGAGUCCGAGAAGCGACAAAAGGAGGAGAUGGAUUAGCAUCGUGUUCGUGUACGGCUACCCACAAGGUGCACCGACCAUUCUGGAGAUUUGGCGUGCUCUUGGAGCGACGCGUAUCUAUUCGAUAGAAAUAAAAUACUCCGUAAAUGAAAUGAAAUAGAGUACUCCAGAUUUCCAGAUUAGUACUGUAGAAAAGAAUCUCGAGUCUCUAGAUUUCUCGCAAGGACGCCAGUAGCGAGAAAGAGAGAGACGGAGGGAGAGCGUCCAAACCCCUGCCAAACCAGAGUGGCAGAGACCAGAGAGGCAAGCAGCCGACGAGGAAAGCAAGCGGACGCCAGGCGGCGGAGAGCAGAUCAAACAAAAGCCACCACCCCUUCUGCAGUCCUUGCGAGCGGUGGAGGAGAGAAGGAGGAAGGAGGAUGGCGGCGUGCCUGCACGACCACGCUUGCGAGGAUCACAACUGCGCCGCCGAUUGGUCGCUCUACAACCACAUCGAUAUCCCCAAGGUCCCCUAGUCCUAAUUCCCGCCCCUCUCUGUCUACUUCAGUAACCAGAUUGGUUAGCGUCCUCUUUUUCCCCCUCGUACUCCUCGAGCUGAACUCCGUUUAGUUUGCUCUUCCGUGAAUCUUCAUAAAUCUACGAUAUGCCGUGUUGGUUUCUACUGCAGAAAUUCAAGAAAGGUCGAUUAGGGCUCCUCUUGUUGCAUUUCUUUACGAUUAUUUCCCCAUACAGGUGGUGGCUCUGAAUGAGUCUGUGCCCGGGAGCGUCAAAUCGGUAUUCAAGCCGUGGGAGCAGCGCCUCGAGACUUCUGGGGUAUGUACUUCAGCCAACAUCGAUGGGUAGAGAUGGCAACAGGGGUCCUUAAGCUUGUGAUCUUGUAGUUCAGUAACCACUAGCCACCAUAACCCCGUUCUUAUGAUGUUGAUUGGUAAACAUAAUCUCAUUAGGUAGAGUUGUUUCCGUUGGUGCUUGUUGUCUGCCAUGGUUUGGGCAUUUGUAGAUUAGCUGUCACUGCCAAUCUUUUGCUUCAGUAUCAAAUACUCCGUCCUCAUGUGGAUCAAUGAUCUUCAUCUUGUUUGAUAUUGCAUUAGAACAAAUGCCGUUAGCAGCUUUCCUUGUAUUUCUAACUAGUACGUACUAGUUAAUUGGGCACAUCUUUGCACAUAAAAGGGCAUCCAUGGCAUGAUUUACAAGAUUACUCUACGAAGGAUUACAAUUGGUUUGUAACAUGUAGUAAGGAUGUCUGUAAAGCGUCAGACUAGCCACACAAGACAUAAAAUGCGUUAAGGGGAAAUGCUGACAUUCCGAAUUGGCAAUUGGGAAACAGUAGGCCAGAGAGUUGGGUAUGCAGACAUUUUGUAACUAAUGUUUUCUGACCUUUUACUAUGUGGUUUUAAAAAAAUUACCAUACUUCUGCUUGAUAUGUAGAGGUGCAGCAGGGUGACCCUCAGGGUACCCAUUGACCCUGCUUAGUUCAAACAAAUGAAAUAGUUUUUCAAAAAGUUGUUUCAUUUUAAAACUUUAGUUCAUUUGGUUGAACUAAGGAGGGUCAAAGGGUACCCUGAGGGUCACAAAGUUGCAGCUCUAUUGAUAUGUUGUGGAUGUUACUACUGCUUGUUAUGUCAGCAUAUCUGGCUUUACUAUUUAAUCCCUGUAAGGUAAAAAAGAAUGAAGAUGAAAAUCUUCAUGCUGUAAUUUAGAUCAUUUAUUCAAUGACAAGUGUUUUUAGCACGUCCUAUUUCUGAUGUUUCUUUUCAUAUCUGUUACCUGCACUCUCAUGAGCAUCCUUGCUGCACCAGGGUUUUCUGGAGAGUAAUGAGGGUGACCCUGAGUUACUUAUUUUCAUCCCGUAAGUAGCUCAUGUCAAUUAAAUUUAGAUGUAUGUGUGUGUACCUGUUCCCCUCUGUUUCUUGAUUAACUGCAUUGGUGCUUCAUUGCCUUAACACCAUAGAAGUAAACGUUAAUUGCAUGUUAAACAAUUUUUAUGUCUUCACAUGCAGGAUUGACCGCUAUAGUGUUUAGAAUUCAGAAAUUUGUGUUGUUUUGGCUUCAAGAGGCAUUAGAUGGACUUCUUUAUCAUAAUCAUUUGAUGGAUCUUUUAGUUUUGAUCAUCUGGUGAUGUGGUUGUGCUCACUUGUUCAAUCCAAGCUAUGCUUGUGGACACUGCAUUGAUUGAUGCGUGCUCUCUUUUCCCUGGACAUGUCAAAUCAUAUGUCUUCUGCUGGUUCAAUACUGAGGAAUCAUACAUAAUGAUUUCUAUGAAAAACUAUGCACUUUUAGUCAUUGAAAUAUGUCCUUUGCACAUCCUCCCAUCAGUUCUACAUAUCAUCUUGGAGAAUCCAGAAUUGUUUAUGAGGGCCUGCAUGCUAGUUCCACGUUAACCUCCUCAAGAUAGGAGAAAAUAGAUGACAUGGACAUCAAGACAUGUGUUGUCUUUCAUAAAGUUCUGUUGUAACAGAAACGGAAAGUUACCUGCAUUCUAUUUUGCAAUACUCUUUCUAUGUCUGGUAUUACAUUAAACUUGCAUCCAUAUGUGUUACAUUUUGUUCAUCUGACGUUAUAAUGGAAUAGGGUAUAAUACUUUUUAGACUUGUAUUAGGAGUUCAGACUUUUUUUUUGUAACUUCCAUUCCAAUAAUUGGUCACCUUUGGCAUGUGGUCCCUUUUCUUGUAGAUUCACAUCUGAUGUCAAGAUCAAAAGCAUUUCUGUUGUUGGUGGUGCUGAUGGGACAAGCCCUUCAAGGAUGAGAGUGUAAGUUUCAGAACUCUAGGUUUUCUAUUUCUUGACUCGUCCAAUUCUCUCCUCUUAAACAAUAAUGAUGUGAAAUUUAUGAAGAGUACCUUGAUACGUUACAGAUUUAUCAAUAGAGAAGGUAUCGACUUUUCCGAUGCUCAAAACAUGCAGCCUGUGCAGGUUUGUAUUUAAUUUUCUUCUUUUCUUACCCAGCUCACAAAGAAACUCCAGCUGUAGUUUUAGAUGUAUUGCUUGUGUAGGAAUGGGAACUGGCAGAGAAUUUGCAGGGUGUUCUUGAGUACCAAACAAGGUAAUAGUUAUUGUUCUUUUUGUGCAUGUACGUGCUAAUUCACAAAUUGUACUGUUAAAUAGUAAUGUUCAAGUUUUAGUCUCUUGAAACCUAAAUAUUUAAGUCCCUCCCAUAUAAACUACUACAUAUGUUUAGAUGAUAUGCUCCAUUAGAUAAAUUGCCUUUUGCUUCUGUAUAAGUUGGAGAACAACAUCAUCGAAUUGGGGGGGGAUGAUGUGUGGGCCCGGCAACACGUAUCUUUGACGCGUUUGGUGGUAUUUUCCAAGUUGGUAAUCUUUGCGAAGGUACUGAGAAUAUUGACUGCUAUCUGUUCCUGCUGCUCGAUAGGCUGAACUUUGUUAGAUAUGUGUGCUGCUGCUCUCUAAAUCAGUAGUUGUCAUUUUGCAGGUAGGGUAUUAGAUUUAAUCAUUUAAGUACUAGGUUGAUUUUGUUCCCUUGCUGUUUGCUGAAUUUCUUUUUUGCGCUAAGUUUUAAAGUUCUGUACGUUGCAUUCAGAGUAGCUUGUGUUGUAGGCGCUCCUUUUGAUCUUCACUUAUUGGGAUUUUUAUGUUCUUGUAGAUAUUCAAGGUUCCAGGGUGUGGCUAACCUUACUCUGCAUUUUCCUGAUAAUUUUGGUGGUGAUGCAACUAAGAUAUAUUACAUUGGGUUGCGUGGUGAAGCUACUCAGGUACAAAUGUUUGCUUGUUUAGUCUGGAAAGAUAAGUUGAAUGAAAUGCUGAUCCACAACAUUUAUUGCAGAACAAAAGGGAUGUUGUGGCCACAAUUGUAUAUGAAGUAAUGCCCAAUCCUUCUGAUCACAAGUAAGCUUUGCUGAAAACUGAGCAAUUUAUUUCAUUUUUAUACGUCAUUUGUGAAAGUAUUAAAGAGCUGAAUAUAGUCAUACUACAAAAGGAAGGGCCUCUUUGGAUCAUAGGAAUUAUAAAACUAAGGAAUAGGGAAAACGUAGAAAUCAAAUGUCAUGGGCAAACCCUACAGGAUUUGAGAACACAUGAAUAUGUAUAUAAGUUGUUUGGUUGCGUCAUAGGAAAAAAUGUAGGAAUUUUGUAUGGAGAUGAGUAUAUGACAUGGUUGUCAGACACAAAGAAAUUUUUCCGAGAGGUCUAACCUCUUGCUAGAAUUCCUAUAGAAUUGAGGUAUAGGAAAGCAAUCCAUAGGAAUUUUGUAGGAUCAAUUUCUUCGAACCAAAGAGCCUCUAGAGGAAAAAUCCUAUGGGCUAAAAUCCUACAAAGAUCCUUUGAAAUUCCUUCAAUCCAAAGAUGCCCGAAAUGUUGUUCCUUGAGUUUGCUGCACUUCAAGAGCUCCUCCAUAGUGUGUUCUUUGUUUAUUUUCCUCUUGAUUUUACUGAACCGUCAAGGUUGAGAUCUAACUAAGGCAGAUCAUAAUAGUAAUAAUUAUGUGCCCAAGAUUGAUAGUAAUAAUUAUGUGCCCAAGAUUGUUCCAGCCUUCCAAGGCAUAGGUAAACCAUAGUAAUAUGUUGCUUGAGUUAAAAUGAAUUGUUACAUUUGGCGGCUCCUGUCUAAUUCUAAAUUUGCAUAUUAUUCCGUAACUUGGUUUCAUUUUAUUGGUUUCACUGUACCAAUGAUAUCAUUUGGUGGUAUUUUCCAAUUUGCAGCGUUUUUUUAGUGUUACCCAGCCAAAACGCACAAGUUCUUCCAUGCAAAUGACUUGUUCUAGAGAUCGUUUUUUCUUGUUAAUGCUUUACCUUCUGUUGCUAUUAGUAUAGCAAGUACCAACUGAGGUGAUACCACUCUUCUCCCUGCAGAACAAAAUCCGAGACUGGAGGUGGUUUCUCACAUGUUGAGUAGACGUGUCAGAUGAGGUGUGAUAACAUCAUGUGCUGAAAAAAAUCUGAGGCAAAAAGUAAUAAACGUCCAAUUUUUCUGUUGGGCAGCUACCACUUAACCUGUUUUCCAUUUGCAGGCAGAUCAUAGUCAGGUGCUGCUCUUGGCUGGAGGAAAUGUGGCCCCUUUUAAGUUCUGUAUUAAUAAAACGAUCCAGCUCUUAGACUCGUAGCUUUGUCUCCUGGGUAUAGAACAAGUGUACCCGACGUUGUAGAUGGUGUGAUGAUGUAACCCAACUUUGAUGGUUGUUAGCUUGUAUGGUAAGACUGAUCUCCAAUUUUCGGUGUAUUCUACUCCCGCCAAUCCAUGAAAUGUGUCGACCAUUUUGUAGUAAGUUAGUCUAAAUUUUGUAUUUUACCAUUUUGUAGUAAGUUAGUCUAAAUUUUGUAUUAAAAUAAGAUCGGAGGGAGUAUUUGUUUAUGUCAGCUUGUAUGCAUAGCUGGUACACGGUAUCCUGAGGAACAGCACGAUCGCCCUAACAGCACCGAUACUCCAUUACCUCUGGCCUCUGGGAAUCAGGGCCCGGUUGGAAAUCUCCCCUCUGCAUUUGGGUAAUACGGUUCGCGGGAAAUACAAUUUUUUUCCAGAUUUGAGAACAUAUGCCAAAACCCGUAUUUGGUUAGGUCUAUUCUUCUACCCGCAAAACCAAAUUAGAAGCAUAGAUCUAAAAACAAAUCGAAAUAGUUGAAGGAAAAAGGAAGAAAGUAGCAGCUAGUUUGAACUAAUCCGAACAAGAAAUCAAGAAAGUAAAGGUACGGAGCUACAGAUACAACAAAACAAUUCAAGAAAUCAAUCAAGAUAUAACAAGUACUUCCUCUCUUAUCCUAAUUUUUGAUUCAAAUUUGCCUAAACAUGAGUGUAUCUAUUCUUAAAAAAACGUCUAGAUACAUAUAAUAUUUCGACAACAAUUUAGAAUCGGAGGAAGUAACAAAUCAUGCUAUGAUGGCCAUGUUGACGAGUGGAAGCUUCCAGGAAGAAUCGUUUUGUUGUCUCCUAGCUGGUAGGCACAACUGUAGCGCGCUGCUUGUUCCGUGUGAACGAGAGACGAGAGCAGGCUUGUGACGUGCCGGCGAGGAGGUGUUGGAGAGUGGAGCGGGGAUUUGGGUUGGGGAAUCGGGGAUGAGGAUAGGGCGACGUAGGGAUAGCGGGGGGGGGGGGGGGGGGGGGGGUUUCGGUAAGGGCAUCUCCAUCCGUCCUCCCGUUUAGGGGGCGCUAGCGCGAAAAUUCCGAUCCAGCCGGCCUCUCCAAAUUGCUUUUUCAGCCGGCGCAACCCAGAAAGUUAGCCGGCGCCCCUAGGCCGAACCCAACCCCCGGGGGGGCUGUCGGGGGCGCCGGCUCAGGCGCAAAACCUCGUGGGCCAGCACUGUCAGCGGCACAAACCCCAAAACAUACCCCAUUUGCCCCUCUCUGUGAGCUUCAGCGACUUCCACCCCCGAAUCGCCACCGGAACCACCCCUCUCACCGGCGACUGUACGCAGCAGAUAGAAAAAAACCUGCAGCCGCAUAGAUCUUUCUUUGCCGCCGCAGUUUCAGUUCCGCCGUCCGCCGCCGGCCAGUUCUAGCACCUCGUUGGUGCCCACCCCGCGGCCUCCUUGCUCGCAAGGUGUUCGACGAUUUGCCAAGACCAUGGAUUUGGACGACGAAGAGAUGCUCGCCGCGCUUUUUGACGAGGAAGUAGCCGCUGCCGAUGAUGCUGCCUCCGGCAGCGAACAUGAGCAUCAACUCAUCGUCUCAUCGCUUCUUGGCCUCAUCACCGAAGAUGCAGAGCGGCCGGGAAGGGGAGGAUCGAGGAAGGGCCGCCGCAAGAGCAAGGCGAGGCAAAGGAUGGAAGGCUACUGCAUGCUGUACGCCAACUACUUCGCUGAUGAUCCAUUGCACAACGAUGUGAUCUUUCGGCGUCGUUUCAGAAUGUCUCAGAAUCUCUUUUCGAAUAUCGCCGAGUACCUCCGGGAGUACGACGAUUACUUCAAAUUGAAGAGGGACGCCGUCGGCACACUUUGAAAUGCACGGUAUCCCUCCGUUUACUUGCUUAUGGAAUUCCUGCAAAUACACAGGACGACUACCUCCGCAUGGCCGAGUCCACGGCCAUCGAUUGCAUGUAUAAGUUCUGUAGGUCAAUUGUGGCGGUGUUUGGAGAUCAGUACUUGAGUACACCUACUGCAGAAGACACAGCUCGGAUCAUGGCAUAUAAUGCAGAAAGAGGAUUCCCAGGUAUACUUGGCAGCAUCGACUGUAUACAUUGGUCAUGGAAGAACUGUCCAUUUGCACACCAGAGCAUGUAUAAAAGCCACAAAGGAUCAUGUAGUGUGGUGCUUGAGGCAGUGGCCGAUCAGGAUCUGUGGAUUUGGCACUUCUUCGGUAUGGCCGGAUCGCACAAUGACAUCAAUGUGCCGCAAUGCUCGAAUGUGUUUGACAAGCUCGUUGAAGGCACUGCUCCUCCGGUGAACUAUGAGAUCAAUGGCCAUGUGUACAACAAAUGAUAUUACCUGGCAGAUGGCAUCUAUCCAAGAUGGUCGACUUUUGUGAAGACAAUCUCAAAUGCACCCGUAGGAGGAGCAAGAUCUUGGUUUGCGACGCAAUAGGAAGCAUGCCGGAAGGAUGUCGAGCGGGCAUUUGGUGUGUUGCAGGCUCGAUUUGCUAUCGUCAGGUACCCUGCUCUCACUUGGUCGAUCAGAUGUGGGAGAUCAUGACUACCUGUGUGAUCAUGCACAACAUGAUCAUUGAGAGCGAGCGGGAAUGUUCGGUGUUUGACACUGAACCGUGUGAACGGAUGGGUCCUCUAGCCACUGUUAAUCACCAGGUGCCAGCCGCCUUUGCUGGUUUCCUUGUCCGGUGGCAAGAAAUUCGAGAUGCCGGUACUCAUCAGCAACUUCAAAAUGAUCUGGUUGAGCAUUUGUGGAGGCUCCGAGGAAACGUCUGGUUUUUCUUAUUUGUUUGAAAUGUGAUUCAAAACUUAUCAAAUAAUGUGCUUGUUUCAAUUUGCAAUAUUUGUAAAUUUUGGUUUGGGGAGGCGUUUGGGGGCGCCUGCUGGGAACCGACUGGACCUUAAAAACAAAAUCUAUCCGGCGCCCCCGAUACGGCCGAAAAAAGUGGCAGGCCGGAUCCAAAAUAGCAGGGACGGCUGGACUGCAAUGAGUUUCCAUCCUUAGAGCAACUCCAGCCGCCCCCCUUAAGGCCUCCCAAACAUCAAAUGGGGGCGCCGGCGCCCAAAAACCACCUAGUCCAGCCCUGAAUUUCUAAAAAUUAGCCGGCGCGGCCUAAGAUUUUAGACGGCGCUCCCAGGCUGCACCCAACUCGCGGGGGUGUGAUCGGGGGCGCCGGCUGAAGCAAAAAGCAAUGCGGGCCACACCUGUCGGUGAGAUAAUACAAACUUUCCUCCAAAUUUUUGCCGGCACCCCCCUUUUCCCUCCACUUCCCCCCACCUGGACGGCCAGUCCCUCCAUUUUCCCCAUUCUCGCCGCCGACACCUCCUCAAAGCGCCUCGCCGACACCACCGCCACCCCAAAGCUAUGUCGUUGAAGAGGUAUGCAGCGCCUCGUUGCACGGCGGCCGGCAACGCAGCGGCGAAGAAACUGAGGGAGAAGAGCGUCCGCUUGGGAUGAGCAAUGCCAACGGGGCGGCAGAUUGUACCCGUCGCCUCGUCGAGAACGCCGCCCGCCGAGGUCGGGAGAAGAAGGCCAAGGAAAGAAACGCCGCCCUGGCUCGGCAGAUAAAGGCGAAGAGGGUCACGGCCUCGGCGUAGAUGGCCACGACCAUGGCAGGCAUGACGGUGCCGCGGCCACCCUCUGACCAGUACUGGUGCAGCGGCAGCCAAGGGAUUUCUUCGACGUAACAGUCGCCGUCAAGCAUUUCGCCGGUGUUGCCCCAUAUGCCCCAUGAAAACCAUGGAAAUGGCACGUCAUUCCUCUCACGGUUCUUGCCGGACAACCUCGACACCGAUCCCCUCGGCGGCUUCAACCCGAACACCUUCGCCAUGGAUCCCCUCGGUGGAUUCAACCCCAACGCCUUCGCCUCACCUCCUCUGUGGCGGGGGCCUCUUUCCUACGACAGUUCUUCGCCGUCCGCGUCCUUUCAGCAUUUCCCCGCCGGCUGCAGCCAGGCCACGCCCAACCCGUUUGGCGGAAUGGCGCAAGUGAAUGGGCAUUUCGUUCCCUAAUAAGUUUUGGUGUUAAUGACAACAUGACUUGUGGACUAAUCGUGCGCCAAGUGUUUUCAGAUUUGAUAACUUGUGUUGUGACACGAUUCUUCGCUCUCAAAAAGGAAAUAAGCGUAUAAGGAUUGACGCCUUUUUAUUUUAUUAAGUCGUAGGAAAAUCCGUACUAUAAAGAGGGAGUCCAUUUUUGAAAUCUUUAGGUGAAUCAACUUCACGUACACAAAUCUACUAGAUUGCACCCACAUAAAGCCUAAUUCCAGCUUUGAGUUGAGAGUUGCUUUAAUCCCGCUAAGUCUGUCAGACAAAUUCAGUUUUAGCUGAUACUGCCGCUUCAUUAGCCCGAGGUUCUGGUCGCCGGAAGUUCUACCCUGGUAUUGGUCAGGUAUUGAAAUGCUACUGGAAUCCUGCUGCGCAUAGUGUUAGGAGACCGGUAGCAAGGCAAAAGUUAUACCCCCUAAAACUUCCGGUCUGCCUCCGCCCUGGUACUGGUCUAAUUGAAUUUUGUCGUAACAAUUGGAUUUUGAAGGGGUAUAAAAGGGGCUUCGUCCCCAAUGGGUUUGGUUGCCCAAGCACACCCAAUUCAUCCCCUUUCUCUCACUCAAGAACACCAAGAGCUUCAAAUCUCGAGAUCUCUCCCUAGUGCAUCCCUAAGCCAAUACUUUGAGGAAGGGUUGAGAAGAGCUCGAUCUAGGGUUUCACCAAAUCAAAAGUUGAUUCCCCUCAUUUUCCUUGGUGUAUUUUGUUACUCUUAGGAUUUUCGGAUCCCUAGCCAGAAGGUGUCUCGUCAAGACUUCCAAUCUUGUGAGGAGGUGCUUGAGGAUUCGGGAAGAAGCCUCCAAUCAAGUUGUGGAUUUGUGCCCUUCUCCUUGUUUGUAAAGGUUCGGCGUUCGACUUCAAGGAAGCCAUUAGUGGAACUCACCUCGCCAUUGUGGUGUUGUGAGAGGAGAAUAGAGUGAGCCUUUGUGGUGCCUCUACCUUUGUGGAAGAGCACUCCUCCAAACGGAGACAUACACCUCCCCAAAAGGUGGAACUCCGAAGUAAAUCCCCGUCUCCCGUGUGGUAUCCUUCUUGCCCCUUUACUUACUUGUUUUACUUCAUUGUCUAUCCUUUGCUUCGGCUAGUGCUUCGGCUAUUGCACUUCAUACUAGGGUUACAUUACCUUUAGAGAAUCUAGUAAACCCUAGGAUUAAUUGUUUGUAUCUUUCAAGAAAAAAAAAAGAAAAGUAAAUUUGUUAGUCGCCUAUUCACCCCUCCCCUCUAGCUGACCAUACCGAUCUUUCAGCAAGGCGAGUCAAUCAUGGCCGACAUGAUCAACGACGGCUCCCAGCACGCCCAAUACACCUACAACCAAUAAUAAGAGGCUUACGCCGGUGAGGAUGACGAAGAGUGAGAAGAAUGGGUCGACAGGACAGAGGAGCCCGCCGUCGCUGAGCCGAGGGGGAAGAAGAAGUCGGUGGCCGAGAAGAAGAAGGCCGGGGGCGGAGGCCGAGGCCCCAAAUAGACCUCUAAGGAAGACGAGUGCCUCGCCGAAGCUUGGAAGGUCAUGAGCAUGGAUCCCUUCACCGGCGUGAAUCAAAAUGCCAACACCGAUUGGAGGUGGGUCAAGGCGGCGUAUGAUGAGCGUCGGGUUGUCGAUCGGGAGUUCACGAUGUUGACCCACGAUCGCAAUGAGUCCGGCAUGUCGCACCGAGGAGGCAUGAUCCAACAAGAGUGCAACAAAUGGCACGGCAUUCAAGAAGAGGUGUGCCGGCGACCCCAAAGCGGCAGCAUCUCCCACGAUCAGGUAAGCCAGCGUCUUUUUUCGGCGAUUUUACAUUUGCCGCCCGGGGUCUUGUAGAUGGUCGCCAUGUUCACUGCCUACCGAGAAGACAAUGACGACAUCGAGUUCAAUUUCAUCCACGUUUUGUAAGAAUUGAAACAUGCGACAAGUGGAUGGAGGCGCGGAAUGCUCUCUCCAAGUCUGGCACCUACGACCGGAAAGCCGCUCCUUCGGUGGCAUCGGAAGGCCGGCCCAUCGGCCACAAGAAGGCAAAGGCAAUGAGGGAUGCCGCGCUGGCCACGGAGCGUCUCUACACAUGCAUCGAGAAGCGCAUGUCCGACGCCGCUGCAAGAGCAGCGAAGAGGGAGAGGGUCACGGCGUCACGGUGGGUGAUGGUGAUCAAGAAGCAAGAUGACAAGCUUGAGAUCCUCAAGGCGAAUGUCGUGGCGAAGAAGAGGCGGGAUGACUUGUUGAUCUUGACAUGCGACACCACCGGCAUGGACGCCGAGGUGAAGGCGUGGACGACGGCUAGUGCAGGCUCAUUUUGGCCGAAGCGAGAGCGCCGGUGUCGGCGCCCGACACAGCAGCACCAGCCCCCUCUACUCCGUCGGCGCCAUCACCGCCCGAAAAAGCAACUCCGGCCACUUCUACACCACCGCGAGCUCGGAAGUGCCAUCAACACCGGUAGAUGACGAAGGGGCCGAGUGAUUUCACUUUAUUUAAGUUUGAUGUUAUUUUGAUCGCCGAAACUUGUGAUGAAUUUGGGCGAUUUGGUGAUUCGUGCUGGCCUGUGAAGUGGCCGCCCCCUCGUCGAUGAUGAGUGCCCUAGCUCCCUUCCACCUUGGAGGACCCCUCGUCGGCAGUCAACCUCAACAUCGGCCUCGAAGAGCAACACAAGGACACCACCUGCAAGCUCCAUGCAUGAGGGAAGGAACGCAUUGACUCGGUGUUCCGCAACCUGCGUAGCAUCCAUCUGGCAGAGAAGGAGCCCCCCUCUCCACUUCAUCGACAUGAUCCCCAAGGCCAAGAAUGAGAAGACCAUGCAGUACUGCCUAGAAAAGGCUUCCCACAUGUUCAGGACCACGCCUUGCGAUGUUGGGCUCAAGGACAGUGGCAUGCCAGGGCCUACCCCGCUGCAGCACCUCUAGAUGUUUGGCGGCCAUGUCGGGUGAACCCAACCAACCUAGCAUCGGAGAGCACCGGUACCCCAUGAUCGGGCCAGAGAACAUGGCUGCAACCCUUGUCUAUGGUUUGUUAAAGCCGUCAGACCCCUGCACCCUAGCCAAGUUUGUAGGGCCCAUAUGUGUUUGGGAAGUUUGUAUUUUGUUGUGUUUCCCUUCUACCCACUAGGGCUUUUGCAACCUUAAGCUUCCCUGUUGAAAGAUCGGUAUGGUCGGCUAGAGGGGGGGUGAAUAGGCGACUACCAAAUUUUACUUUUUAUUUUUAUUUUUAUUUUCUUGAAAGAUACAAAGCACUUAAUCCUAGGGUUUGCUAGAUUUCUAAAGUGAAUGCAACCCUAGUAUGAAAUGCAAUAGCCAAAGCAACAAUAGAUAGCAAGAAUGUAAAAGGGAAAAGAUACACGCGAAGACGAAGAUUUCACCGGAGUUCCACCUAUUGGGGUCAGUGUACGUCUCCAUUUGGAGGAGUGCUCUGCCACAAAGGUAGAGACGUCACGAUGGCUCACUCUAUUCUCCAACUCACCACACCACAAAGGUGGGAUGAGCUCUCACAACACCACAAAGGUGAGGUGAGUUUCACUAGUGGCUUCCUUGGGGGCAAAGUCCAAACCCUUACAAACUUGACCGGGGCUAGAAACCAAUUGGAGGCUCCCAAUCCAAUCCCCGAGCUCCUCACACCAAGGGAGAGCUCAAGGCAACCGCUUCCGUCUAGGGCUUCCAAAAGCCCAAGAGAAACGAAAUUCACAAGAGAAACAAGGGGAAUCAACUUUGUGACUUGGUGAAACCCUAAAUCUAGCUCUUGUCCUCCAAUCCUCAAAGAAUCAACAAGGGGGAAGCUCUAUGGAGGGAGAUCUUUUGGUGCCUGUGUUUGCCCAGUUCCGGCUCAACCUCCUGAAAUCCAUAUAGGAUUCCAGUAGCAUCACGGAGCUGGUCCGGAGGUAGGGUGGAAGUUCCGGUUGCCCGGAACUCCACCGGAACUUCCGGACCUGGGCAAACACAGGCACCACAGCUAGAUUAAGAAAAUUGUUGUCUCACUUUUUGGUAGGCUUUAUGUGGGUGCAAGAUGUAUGUUUGUGUACGUGAAAAGCGAUUCACCCAUUACCUUCCCAUGUGGACUCCCUCUUAAUAGUACGGAGUUCCUACGACUCAAUACAUGAAAAAGCUAGCCGCUAAACUCCACUACGCUUCUUUUCCAAACUUGAGGGCAUCGAAUCGUUUUGCGCCAAUUGAUAUCAAAUCUGAAAAAACUUAACGCACGAUUAGUCCACACAACGCGUUGUCCUCACCACCAAAACCACUUAGGAGAGAAAUGCCCUUUCAAUCUCCCCUUUUUGGUGAAUGAUGACAACACAAAGAUUUGCAUAAAGAUAAGCAAUUAAACUAGAUGUAAAAGGAAUACAAAAUAUAGACGAGCUCCCCCUAGGUGUAUGCACCAAAUAAUUUUGCAUGAUAUGCAAAGUGCACAUACCUUAGGAUCAACACUCCCCCUAAAUUUUGUAAACCAAUACCUCAAUUGCAAAGGAUUAAAGAUACAACUAUAAGCUCUCUCAAGAGUAAGAGGAUUCAUUCAUUCAAAGAUUAGAGCAAUACCUCACAAGGCAUAUCAACAUUGAAUGAAACCUUUUGCAAUGAGAUCAUGUGGUGGAGCAUAAGCUACAAGGGCACAAACACAAACUUCUCCACACAUGAUAAGUAAGACAUGAUGUAUAACAAAUAAGCAAACUACCAUAGCAAGUCAAUGUGCAAAUAGGCAUGAAGCACAAAUCCAUAAGACUAGCUAUUACACACAUCACUCCAAAUAGUUAUCAAGUUUUACUCAAACCACGAUAAAGUAGCUCACAACAAAGUAAUUAAGUUCACAAGCACAUAAGACCAAAGACGGCAAUAAAGAAACAAGCUUGUGACUUCAAACACUUCCCAUGCAAAUCCAACGCUCCUAAGACUCUCCGUCUCACUACACUCUCCCCCUUUGGCAUCAAGACACCAAAAAGGGAGGAAAGUCCCAAGAGGGAAAAGCAAACAAAUCACUCGGAGUCUUCUUCUUCCUCUUCUUCUGCUUCUAUUUCUUCUUCUUCUUCGGAUGCUUCAUCAUCCUCAUUACCACUAGCAGCGGGUAACUCAUCUUCGACUGGAGAAGGAAAGUGGCCAUCAUCUCGUUCCCGAUUUCCAUGGGAUGACUUCCAUGCGACAAAGUCCUCAUCCUCUGACACGGAGGAGACAUCCUCAGCUCCAAGGGUCUUCAAGAUGGCAUUUUGCUUGCGAAGAAUGCGGUGAUUGUCCUUGUAGUUCUUGUACACCUUCUGCUCCAUGGAUUUCUACAUACAAAAGACUUUCCGAAUCUUAGCAAUCCAUCCUUCCUUCUUGCCUGGGAGAGAGGGGCUAGAAGAGGGAGCAUAAUCAAAAUCCAUGGGGUCUUCCUCCUCAUCAUCGGUGUCAACCGUGUCGCCAAACCGCGGUGCAAGGUGCUUCUUCUUCUUCAACUUCUUGAUGUGGUGAGGCUCAUAGGUCAUAUCGGCAAGCUUGUGAGCCUUGGCUAGGAUUAGCUUCAUGAUGAAUGGGGCAUAUGGAGGAACUCUCCUAGAGACAAUGGCAAAGUUCAACUCAUGCCAAAUGUAAUCCAUCACAUCCAAUGGUUCUUCACCAUGCCUUCUCAAAUGGGUUUGGAGCAUGAGAUCCACCCCAUAUCCAUGAAUCUCAUCGGAAUUCCCUGUCUUGCAAGCAAUGGUCUCACAGUAAAUGCGUUGCAAGAUGUCAUAGGUAGGCUUCAAGUACUUGGUUGCCCCUGGAAUGGCCCUUCCCUCAAGAUAGAGAGGCUUCAAAACCUUCUUGUCAUACGGAUUGGGAAUAUCAUGAAUGCGAAAGCCUGACGGUGUGCAAUGUCCAGCAUCGGGAUAACCAAGGAUAGCAACAAACUCAGCCUAGGUGGCGUUAACUUGGCGAUUAAGAGUCAUCCAUGUCAUCCUUCUCACAUUGUCUGCAUCAUUCUCCUCUAGGUGCACCGUGGCAUAGAAUUGAGCCACGAGAUACUCAUUGAACUGUUGAUUCACUUGCAUGAUGGGAAGAAGCUUCAAAGUAUUGCAAAUGGCAAGUGCAUCUCCAAAAUAAUCCAUGUCAUCUUCCAUAGCCUUCACAUUGAUGGUGCACUGAGGCACAACCUUGUUGACCGGAGUCAUGUAAACUUCUUCAAAGAGACGAAUCUGAAAAGUGUUGUGGAAGUUGUCAUCUUAAAUGUUUUCUUCUUGAGGAAUGGUGUAAGGGUUCCUACGCCUCUCAACCGUAAACACUUGUUGAGGCCACUUCUUGAUAGCAUAGGCUUUCCUUACUUUCCUUGACGGGCGGCUGCCUUUGAUCUCUGCACUUUGGGCAUGGGGCGCUCCCGCUCAGCCCGGAUGAUCUCCGCCUUGCGCUUAUUGGAAAGCCAUGGAGGCGGUGAGGGAACCUUGGCCUUGCCUUUGCCCUUCUUGCUAGAGCUUGCACCUCCCGAGACAAGAAUAAAGAUACGAUGGACAAGAGAUAAGUGCUCAGGAAUUAAGGAUCAAUAAUAGAUUAUAUGGAUGCAAAACUUAUGCUGACAAAUCGCUCCAGGUCCGGAAGUUCCAGUCCAGGGGCGAAAGUUCCGCUGGUCACGGUAAUGGAACUACCGAAUCCGGAUCAAUGUGCCAACAUAGUUAGAAAUCCAUGCAAUCUAGUCAAUCAACCCUACAUAGGCAAUGGAAUCCACCACAAAUUUUCCCUAAUUUCUCUCAAACACAAGGAUUUGAAACCAAACCCUAGAGGGAAGGAGAGGAGGCAAUACCGGUCCGUCCCAUGGUGGAGAUCAAGGGGAACAGUCCCCACGGAGCAGAUCGGGAGGAGGCCGGAGGUCCCGGCGGAUCCAAGCGAAGCUUGGUGAAGUUCUUCGGGUUCGGUGGAGAGCAAGAGAGAGAGGGGGGUCGGGGCCGAGUGGGGAAGAAACUCUCCAACUCGGGUCGGUCCCCCCCACUUAACGGUUCGCUCCAGGGCCGGAAGUUUCGCCGAAGGCCUUAACUUCCGGGUACCCGGAACAUCCGCCGCCCUUUCGGCCCAACCUCCGCAAAACGCACCAUGAUACUAGUAGCAUCACGGAGGUGCUACGGAGGUAGGCCGGAAGUUCCGGCUAACCGGAGGUCGGCCGGAAGUUCCGCCGAUCCCAGAAAAAUUCCAAUGUGUCAAAGGAUAGGAAAUUUUGAGCAUAAGAGAAUGAAAUUGGUAUAGAUAAGAUUGGCCUGGGUUGGAUUAUUACACAAAGGGUGAUACAUAUGGAUGUAUACACUCACUCUUGCAAGAUGCAAAUUGAAAUACCAAGAGAUGAGUGCUUUCCAAUAAUAAGCAUAUAAUGUCAUAAUUGACCAUAUAAAAGGAUUUGCAAGGUAUUAGAAGAAAUCAACCUCACAAGAGUGAGGGCGGUGGCCUAGGCCACCAUAUUUGAGUAUGUAUGAGCUUGACACCGAGAAUAUAGAUUCUUGGGCUCAAGACUCAAAACUCACAUUGAAGCUCAAUGUAUAAAAUUAAUGUUAGCAUAGUAAGAGUAACAUUUGCCCAUGAAUUGAGCAAUGCUCCUCCUACGUCCAUGCGCGCAUCCAAACUAGACAAAUGUUAGCCGUGGGUACGGGUGCAAGUUUAUCAAACCACAACACUAAAAUCUAGGAUAUUUAGCUCAUGCCUUAACUCCCGAAAUCUUGCUUCAUCAAUUCGCUUCAUGAAAAUAUCCGCUAGUUGCUUACCAGUGGCAACAUAAGAGAGAUCAACAUCACCACGGGCCACAUGCUCUCGAAUGAAAUGAUGACGAAUCCCAAUAUGCUUCGUGCUAUGUUGGCACGGGGUUGCACUCUCAUUGUCACAUAAAAGAGGCACACUGUCACAAGUGAUUCCAUAGUCCAACAAUGUUUGUCUCAUCCAUAAUAAUUGUGCACAACAACUUGCGGCGGCUAUAUACUCGGCUUCCGUCGUGGAGAGAGAAAUACAAUUUUGCUUCUUAGAAAACCAACUCACCAAAGACCUACCAAGAAGUUGGCACGUUCCGGAAGUUGACUUCUUAUCCACUUUGUCUCCCGCCCAAUCCGAAUCCGAAUAUCCCAUGAGCUUGAAACUUGAUCCUUUAGGAUACCAUAAACCAAAGUUUGGGGUAUGAACCAAAUAUAUCUAAAGAUUCUUUUGACCGCCACUAAGUGGCAUUCUUUUGGUGCGGAUUGAUAUCUUGCACAAAUACCUACACUCAAUAUAAUAUCUGGUCUAGAUGCACAAAGGUAAAGCAAAGAACCAAUCAUAUAACGAUAUACCUUUUGAUCCACAUCUUUACCAUUGGGAUCGAGAUCAAGAGAGCUUGAUGUAGGCAUUGGGGUAUUGGCACUCUUGGCAUCAUGCAUCUUAAAUCUCUUUAGCAUAUAUUGGGUGUAUUUGGUUUGAUUAAUAAAGAUUUCUCCUCUCAAUUACUUGAUUUCAAAUCCAAGUAAGAACUCCAAUUUACCCAUCAUAGACAUCUCAAACUUUUCGGUCAUUAGCUUAGCAAAUUGAUCAUUGAACACACCAUUAGUAGAACCAAAUAUGAUGUCAUCAACAUAUAGUUGACAUAUAAACAAAUCACCACCAACCAUCUUAGUAAAAAAAGUGGGGUCAAUUACCUCAAUUUCAAAGUCACGUCCACUAGUAGCUCUUUUAGGUGCUCAUACCAAGCUCGUGGUGCUUGUUUGAGACCAUAAAGGGCUUUAUCAAGUUUGCAUACGUGGUUAGGAAAUUGAGGGUCCUCAAACCCCGGUGGUUGUUUGAUAUACACCAACUCAUUUAGUGGAGCAUUUAGAAAUGCACUUUUCACAUCCAUUUGUUGCAAAGUAAUGUCAUGAUGCGACGCAUAUGCAAGCAAGAUAUGAAUAGAUUCAAGGCGAGCAACGGGAGCGAAAGUUUCACCGUAGUCAAUACACUCGACUUGGGAGAAACCUUGAGCCACCAAUCUUGCCUUGUUCCUUGUCACUUGUCCAAGUGCAUCUUCCUAUUCUUGAAUAUCCAUUUGGUGCCAAUGACAUUCUUGCAAUCUUUUGGUCUUUCCACCGAUGACCAUACUCUAUUGCGCUCGAAGUUAUUCAACUCUUCAUGCAUGGCAUUAAGCCAAUCCGGAUCCUCUAGUGCUUCUUGUACUUUUUGGGGCUCAACCUUUGAGGAUACUCUGCAAAGAUCUCAUAUUAACAUGGGCUAGACGGCGAUGCCAUAGCCAACCCACAUCAACUUUAGCCAUUAGACAUGUUUCUUCUCUAGUGGGUUUCUUACCGAAAUUUACCACAUAGAGACCAUUUUCCACAUAUCCAACAAAGGCUACUUUAAGAGUCUUGCUCCACAAAAGGGUCACACUAGUUGUGCCAAAGAAGGAAUAAAAACCGAUAUGUGAAAGUUAAAGUACCGAAAGUAAAUUGUAUGAAAGGGACUCAACAAGCAUGACAUUCUCAAUGGAUGUAUCCGGAGAAAUGACAACAUUGCCUAGACCCAAUACCGUUGAUUGUGAAUCUCCAAAUAUAACUUGCUUGGACCUUGAUGUACUCAUUUUGGCGUGCACAAGCAAUUCUUUGCUCCCGGUCAUAUGAUUAGUGCAUCCACUAUCCACUAUCCAUGAAGAUCUACCGAAAGCAACCUCCUACAAGUUUAAGCUUUGGUUUUAGGUACCCAUCUUUGAAUGGGUCCUUUAGCGUUAUCAAUAAGGGUCUUAGGAACCCAAAUAGACCAAUGAACAUAUUCAUAAGGAGAACCAACAAAUUUGGCAUAAACAUGCCCAUCAUUAGUACGACAAAGAACAUAUGAGGGAUUGAAAUCUCCGGCACUAUUAUCAUAGGUGGCCUUGACACCCUUCUUGUUCUUUGGCUUCUCCUUGGCCACCUCCCCUUCCUUCACAAAAUAAACAUUAGUGCGGGGAGGAGCCUUGGCCUUCUUCUUGUUGUUGCUCUUCUCAUUGGGGUUAUACCCAAUUCCCUCCAAUCCAAAGGCUUUUCUAUGAUCAUUCAAAAGAUCAUGGAGGUUCUUCUCCCCUUGGACGCAAGUGGAUAGUCCCUUCUCAAGUUGGGCCUUCAACCUAGCAUUCUGCUCAAUCAUAGAUGUAUGCUUACAACAAGGAUUAGUUGAAGCAUCUUUAUCAUUACAAAUUAAUUCCUUAACAAGACUCUUUGAGAGACUUGUACUCACUUGUCAAGGACUUGUGAUCAUUUCCAAGCUUGUCAUAAGUCCUCAAGGAGGUUCCUAUGACCAUACUCAACUUCACAGAUCCUAGCAUAGUAAUCAUUAGCAAGGGACUUAGCAUUAUCAUAGGAAUUUUUAACUUUAGCAAGUUCCUUAGUAAGUGACUCAUCAAUUGCUUUCCUAUUUGCUUGUUCUUCCUCAAGAGCUUUAUUAAGCUCCGCAAUCUCAUGAGCGGCAACGCACUCAAGUCUUACCUUCUCAUCCAUGAGCUCAUCAUGUUCUUCAAUACUAGCUUGAGCUUCACCUAAUUUUUCCAAGAGGUCCUCAAACCUCUUUUUGGUCUCACCUUCCAAGCAUGCCAUGAAGAUCUCAAAGUCAUUCAUGUUAUGCUUAACAACACUACUCUCCUCCACACAAUCAAAUAGAGAUAAACUCUUAGGAAUGACAUGCUUGGUGGGAGAAGGGAUUACCGAAGAGGUCUUGGCCAUAAGGCACUUGGGUGAGUGGUUCUUGUUCUCGUUGGGGGAGUCGAAGAGAGAUGGAAGUGAAGGAGCAAUGGCAAUGUUUGCCUUCUCCGUGGACUCUUCCUCAUCAUCAUCUUCAUUACCUAAAGUGUAUUCCUCUUGAACAAGACGCAUUCUUGGUUGCCUCUUCUUUGUUGGCUUCUUGUGAAAGGAGGGCUUGGUCUUCCCCUUAAGGAUGAGGCGACCACCAUUCUCCUCCUGCUUCUCAUAAAAUUACACUCUGCAACGGAAUGGUCAUUGUUACCACAAUUAUAACAUUUACGAGAUCUUUGACUUUUGGGCUUGGAGCUUGAAGCUCCUUUGUUGUUGUAGUAGUUGUUGGGGUUGAAAGUGUUGGUCUUGACAAACUUCUUGUUCUUCCAAAAAGCUUGAGCCGCAAGAGCCACGUGAUCACUAAACUUAUAGUUGCAAUUUUCAUCCGUGAUCUCAACUUUCUUCUUGUUGGGGUGCUUCACUUGAUGUUGAAGCGGGAGUCACGUUGGCCUUCAAUGCAAGGUUUGAGCUUUCUGAGAGAAACUUGGCGCGAAUGAGGUUGUCCUCGGAGGUCUUCUUGAGAAUAUCAAUAGCCACAAAUUCUCCCAUCACUUGACUUGGAGUCAAGCUAUAGUAGUCCGUUCUUUGCCUAAUCAUUGCGGCAUGGACCUCUCGGUGUGGGGAGAUGGCUUCUAUGAAUAGACGCUUUAUCCAUUCAUCAUUGAUGUCACGACUUCCAUGGUCCUUCAUCUUGGCUCCAAGAAUGAUGACUCUCCUAUAUAGCUCAUCUGGAACCUCUCCAUCAUUCAUGAAGAAAUUCUUGCAUUCAUUAAUGACCACUUCAAACUUUGACUUCUUGACACUCUAAUUGUUGUCAAAGUGAUCACCAAUGAGCUUCCAAGCAUCUCUAGCGGAAUCAACUCCACGAACAUAGGUUUUAUACUCCAAAGGUAGAGUCUUUAGGAGUAUUCCAAUCGCAUGCUCAUUGAGUUGAUUGUCCACAUACUCUCUUGGUGACAUUUUCUUGGGAUCAUACACAAAAUAACCUUCAUCAACAAUUCUCCACAACUCCGUUGAUGUGCUCUUGAAGUGAGUCCUCAUGGAAUGAAACCAAUCAAUGUAGUUAGUAGAGGUUAGCAUGGGGGGAUCACCUUGGUGGAAAAUUAUGGUGACGAGAAUUGUAAGGAGGUGGUGAAGCCACAUCACUAUACAACCCAAAUCCGCCCCUACCUUGGGAUUUGGUAGCACUCUCUUCGAUAGCCUUAGCUUUUUUACGGGCUUCGGCAUCCGAAUCUUCCUUAGUCAAAUCCACCGCACUUGGUGGCUUGGCAUUGACGGAUUCGGUAGUAGAACAAGAGGCUUUGUUAGGUAGGUGCUCACUAAUCAUUUUGUCCACACUAUCUAGAAUCACCUUUUGCAUGCUAUCAAAAAGCAAUUUGAUGGAUUUAAAAGUUAGUGGAGCAUUAUCAUCUAUCACCUCGGUUUCUUGGGGUUCCAUGGUGGGUUCCCCAUAAUCGCCGGCCAUACUCUUAAGAGCGGUAAAGCCCUAAUUAAGACGAGGCUCUGAUACAAAUUUUACUUUUUGUUUUUCUUUUCUUGAAAGAUACAAAGCACUUAAUCUUAAGGUUUGCUAGAUUUUCUAAAGUGAAUGCAACCCUAGUAUGAAAUGCAAUAGUCGAAGCAAUAGCCGAAGCAACAAUAGAUAGCAAGAAUGUAAAGGGGAAAAGAUACCACACGCGGAGACGAAAAUUUCACCGGAGUUCCACCUAUUGGGGUCGGUGUACAUCUCCAUUUGGAGGAGUGCUCUAUCACAAAGGUAGAGACGCCACGAAGGCUCACUCUAUUCUCCAACUCACCGCACCACAAAGGUGUGGGAUGAGCUCUCACAACACCACAAAGGUGAGGUGAGUUCCACUAGUGGCUUCCUUGGGGGCAAAGUCCAAACCCUUACAAACUUGACCGAGGCUAGCUCCGCAAACCAAUUGGAGGCUUCCAAUCCAAUCCCCGAGCUCCUCACACCAAGGGAGAGCUCAAGGCAACCGCUUCCGUCUAGAGCUCCCAAAAGCCCAAGAGAAACAAGGGGAAUCAACUUUGUGACUUGGUGAAACCUUAGAUCUAGCUCUUGUCCUCCAAUCCUCAAAGAAUCAACAAGGGGGAAGCUCUAUGGAGGGAGAUAUAGUAUAUUGAAGCUUUUUGGUGUUCUUGAGUGAGAGUGGGCUGUUCUUGGCUUCGUGCUCUGGCAAGGUACCCGUUGGGGAUGAAAGGUUAUUUAUGCGGACUCCCCAAAAUCUAACCGUUAUGCACUGCGAGUUCCAGGGGUUCCGGUGUCGAGCGGAAGUUCCGGCCCAGUUUCGGCUCAACCUCCGGAAAUCCAUGUAGGGUUCCAGUAGCAUCACGGAGCUGGUCCGGAGGUAGGGUGGGAGUUCCGGUUGAACUUCUGGACCUAGGCAAACACAGGCACCACAGCUAGAUUAAGAAAAUUGUUGUCUCACUUUUUGGUAGGCUUUAUGUGGGUGCAAGAUGUAUGUUUGUGUACGUGAAAAGCGAUUCACCCAUUACCUUCCCAUGUGGGCUCCCUCUUAAUAGUACGGAGUUCUUACGACUCAAUACAUGAAAAAGCUAGCCGCUAAACUCCACUACGCUUCUUUUCCAAACUUGAGGGCAUCGAAUCGUUUUGCGCCAAUUGAUAUCAAAUCUGAAAAAACUUAACGCACGAUUAGUCCACACAACGCGUUGUCAUCACCACGAAAACCACUUAGGAGAGAAAUGCCCUUUCACCUGUAACCAUCCUCUUUGUAGUUUUUUUCUUCUUCUUCGAGAUGAACAGGAAUUUCAAAAACCAAAAUAACCAUCAAGAUAACAAAAGUGAAAAUGCUUGGCUAAACUUAGUGUAAUGGUUAACAAUCAUUUCUAGUAGAUUUAUUUAGUUUACAAUAGCCAAUGCACAUCCUAUAUCAUGUGAGUAAUCUUUCUGGGAUCAACACAUUAUCUUUAUUGGAGGAACAUAGUGUACAAUACUAACCCAUUUACUAUAAAACAAAUAUGAUAAAUUUGAACUAAAACCACGACAAGAAUUUAGGAACGGAGGGAGUACUUCCCAAUAACAAUGCAAGAAGGAUUGCAUUCCAUCAUCACAAAUUUUCUUUUUCCUAUAGAUUUCUUAGUGGUGAAAUGAACUAAGGGCAAAUAAAGAGAACAUGAGCUCAUAUGUUUCAAAUCAAGCAUAGCAAAUAAAGUAUAGGAACAACUGAAAAACUAGCCCCAAAAUCACAUAAAUCAGUAGUUUCGUAUGGUCCAAUAGCAACUUUAAUUACAUGUUCCUAGGCAUCAUCUAAUUUGUAGGAACAAUAAUAUCCUUAUAUAUUUUUCCAUAUUUAUUUUUACAUGUGAUAGAAAAUAUCUUUGCCUAAUUAUUUCCAACGUUCAUCCAAACUAUCUAUUUUAGAAAAAUAUUGCAAAAUGUUAGCAAUUUCGAACAAACUAUAAUUAUCAUAUUUAUUUGCAAGAUCGUUAGCAUCAUGGGGAAACACAUUACUAAUCCUUUUAAAAUACUCUUGUUCUCUAUUCUUGAUAUAUGAAUUUUUUGGAACAUUUUCUUUUAUGUUUUUCAGUUGAUCACACCAAUCAUUUUAGUGGAUGGGAGUAUCAAACUAAACUAGAUUCAACUUGGUUGAUUUUAAGUGUCCCUUUUACAAAUUUUAUUCCAAUAAGCUCCUAGGGAAACUCCAAGUUGGUUCAUUCUUUCCAAUACCUGAGCAUCAUUAUUGAUAGAUAUUUAAUAGAGAAUGUGGUUUUCAUGAAUUGAUUAUGGAGUCCCCUGCUAACUUCCCCUAACUUAGUAGCAUAUUUUUUUUAAUUCCAAAAUCGAUAGGUUUUCAACCAAUAUAUCCUAACGACCAUUGAUUAUUUUUAUCUCUAGGGAGUUUAAAGGAAAGAAAAUUCUAAUAUUCCACUAAUAUCAUUUCACACACCAUCAAUUUCUUUUCAAUCACAUCUUUUAAGUGAGAAUUAUUUUAAGGGUGUUUACCUAGUAAGCUUUUGAUGGUGUUUGUAGCGCGAAAUGUAUUUGAUUCUCAAACAAUUCUUUGCAUAAUAGUAAAGCCAGUCAAAAGCCAGUUGUCGUCAGGUAAUACUUGGAAUGUGCAUGUUGUAAAGCCAAUGAAAAAUAUACCGGUUGGCGCCUCGCUGGGCCAUCAACCUAAAGCCAACUGUCAUCGUGUUGAGUUUGGAAUUUUCAAUUACAAUAUUAAUGCCCGGUCUACUAUUCUAGAUUACACGGUCCAAGAAGAUGGAGCUUUCGGAAAGGACAAUUGGGCGCUAGAAACGUCCAUGGACGAUUAAUAGGCAAAUUUAUCAACCAAUAUUUAUAUUUAUUUAUUUAUCUUAAUUAGCCCCAAAAAAUUAUAGAAAAAACUAUGUGCGCCAGUGGUUUUUGUAUAAAGGAAAUUCCAAUAUUGCCCUUCUAUAUCACUAUAAAUGUACCCAUACGCUAUCUUGCUAAGCAACACUCCAUCAUUGUUUUUACAAUGAAGGGGGAGUCUCCACCUCCAUGGCUAGAGCUAUUGCUUGCAACACAAUUCUUUGCAAUAUGCACAAUCCAUGUCUCCUCUAGUCGCAAUGAUUGUAACCUAUUUUGUAUUGAUUGUGAGUCACCACAGGCUGCUAUUUGCAAUUAUUGUCGAUCAUGCCAUCAUUCUUCCCAUCGUGUAAUCCAGGUAAAAUGUACUCCCUCCGUUUCCUAAAGAUUGUCAUGAUUUUGAACUAGCUCUAGUUCAAAAUCAUGCCAAUCUUUAUGAAACGGAAGAAGUACAAGGCUAUUAUUUGAUAAAUAUGGAAGCAUGCUACAGUACCCAUCAUCAUUUACCUAAUAUACUUCUUGGGAUACAUAUCUAAGUACGCUUGAUAUUAAGUCUUAACCCAUAUUUAUAGAAUUUUGUGUCAAAAUCUACCAAAAUAUAUAAUAUAGUUGAUCUUGCAAAAAAUAUUUUGAAUCCCAUAUCUGGGUAAUCAUGAGUAAGCAAACAUAUAUCAUCUUUCAUAAAAAGUGGUAAGCCUCCUUUAAGUAAUGAGAUCAGGAAGGACUAACUUUUGGAAUCUUUCAGAUAAGGCGGUCUUCCUACCAAAGUGUGGUUAAGGUUGCUGAUUUAGAGGACAUCCUUGAUAUUAGUGAUGUACAAACUUAUGUGAUCAAUAGUGCAACGGUUGUAUUUCUUCAUGAGCGCCCACAACCACGUGCUGCGGUCAGGGCAUCAUCGGCCUUGUAUAACUGUGAGAUCUGCAAACGUGGUCUGCUUGAUGGAUUUCGCUUCUGCUCUCUUAGUUGCAGUGUAAGUUAUUAAAAUAUUAUAGCAAAUUGUAAAGUUAUUGACCUAUUAAUUGUUACUUAUUUAAAUGAUUUCAAAUUCUUUCACCUGACAACUUUUUUACAGCUUAAAGGAAUCAAAGAGGAUAUGGAGACAACAGUUGGCACCAGAAACAUAUCUGAUUGUGCAAAAAAGGAUGACGAACCUGAUUGCAGUAAUGAAAUUGCAAAUACUAGAAACAAUGAAUGCAAUGGUAGCAAUGAUGACUGCUCCAAGGAAAGACCACCCCCUACCAGGGUUAUUCGUCGUCACCGACGGAAGGGGAUUCCUCGACGUGCACCGUUUUAUUGAUGGAAAUAUCAUAUGAAUAAUUUGCAUGCACCAAAGCAAAUGAAUGGUGAAAAAUGAUUUGUAUUGAAGACUAUAUGUAUGGUGCCAAAUAAAUUAAUAAAUGCACUCCAUUCUAUGGACAUUGCCCUUUUGUGCAUUAGUUGUCAAUUUAUUAGUUGUAAUGAGCCUAGAAAGUGGAUUUUUGUCAUGUACGUUCAGUGGUUUGUGCUAUCACACCGCAUGUUCCUGCAUCAAGAUGUGUGCUUGGUGGUUCCGUGGUGUAACGCGAGGGAUACCCCGUUCUCCUGCUAGCCCUACAUCCCCUACGUGCUACCCCCUCGUCUCUUGCUAGAACGGCUUGCGGCGCGUGCACGUCUUUCGCUAGCAUCCCAUCAAGUGGCCCCCGCGUGUGCUUUUUAUUGUCAUGUCUUGUAGAACCGGCCAGGAUCUGGGCCGUGGGCGCUCAAACAGUCCUAAAAAUCCACGGUGCCGGUGGCCCGAAGCCCGACGUCCCGGACCUCACUUUCCAGUUCCAAACCCGGCCCAAAAGCUCGAAAUGAUUAAAAAGGAUUUUUUUUUUUAAAUGGUAUAAAAAUCAUUUAUUUAUUUCAAAAAUAAUUAUUUUAAUGCUUAAAUGGCCUAUUUUCGGGGUUUUGGGCCGGGCCGGGCUCGGGCUUCAGGUUUGACCGUCAGGCUUUUACGAGGCCGGGCCCGGCCCGGGGUUUGCCCAGGUAUAACGGUGCCGUCUCUCUGGCUACCGCGCCGCUCCCUCACUACGGUAAGGCCGGUUGCGCUGCUCGCUGACGCGGCGCCACGACGCCCGGAGCUGCAUGUUCAUCUUUCCUUCCUGUCCCCGAUUUCUUCUCCGGCAACGCUGAUGUUGCUGUCGUGGGAGCUGCAGGUUCAUCGUUUCUUCCUGUCCCCGAUUUCUUCACCGGCAACCCUGAUCUUGCUUCCGUGGGAGCUGCAGGCCCAAUCUUCUCUUCCUGUCCCCGAUUUCUUCUCCGGCAACGCUGAUCUUCCUCCCAUUGUCGUCUCUCAGAUGGAUGUGGAGGGGGAUUGGCAUUUCCCCCCCAACUCUGGUGGAGAUGCGCCUGGUGCAGGAUCUGAGCACCGUCGCAAAGCGCACGAGGCGACCGAUCUGCUGGAUUUCGCUCUGGCAGCCGCCUGUUUGGACGGAGAAGUUCCCGUUAGCGGACAAGACGCCGGUGACCCCCAAAUCGCUGCUGUUCUGUGGAGCGAGAAGGAACCGGUCUUCGUCUCAGGCGAGGGUACGAGGGCUCAAGCAUUGCUUCAGUCUUGUCCCCUCGGCUUUCUCUCGCGUACCAGGUGCUUAUUUUCCGCCUUCUUCAGAUGACCGGGCAGGGUGAUUGGCUUCCUGGCCCGAGCUUUUCUAGCGAUGCGGUGGGAGCUGGCGAGGAGUUGCUGGCGACUCAGUUGGAUGCGUCGCCCCCAAGUGCAUCUAUCGGCUGGGGCUUGCUGCUUUGGCCCUGCAGGAGAAGCGACCGGAGGCAAGAAUACCACUGGCGUUGAGUCGUGGGACGGCGAACGAGCUAGUACAAGUUGGUUCGGAUUUGCAUCUCCGGCCCUACAUCUCUGUCUCCUCCUCUUCCUGCUCCACCUCCAGGAUCGGCGUGGCCUUGUCCCCAGUUGUCCGGCGCUGCCGCGGCAGCAGGGCGGAGCACUCGUGGGACGCCGCCGGCGACGGCGCAAUGAUGGUGGGGCGCGAAGACGUGCGCAUGGCGGUGCUGUCAGCGUCCAACACUUGCCCUUCCAGCUCCUCGACGACACGCAGAUGGGCCUCGCCACCGGCGUGCUCGGCGGCCUCCGCAAGGCUCAGAUACUCCCGCGCUGCCCCCGCAGCCGCGGCUGUUCAUCCGGCCAGUACAGGGUCGUCCACCUCGCCAUGAAGAAGGCGAAAUUGUGCGUGCCACGGCCGCCCUGCACCAAGCUUCUUUCACGGCCGCCUCUGCCACCGUCACGUUGUGCUAUCCAUAUUCAUCUUCGUUAGCCAAGAGUUUCAGACUGUAAGCUAGCACACGAGACGGAGAGUGGGCUGUUCAGUUCUUCAGUUAAUCCCUCCCAUCUCCCAGGGAUCUUUUUGGGAGGUGCUUCUCUUGAUGUAAACGUCUGUUCUUUGAUUUUUUAAAAAAUGGGAUCGAUUCUUUGCAAUCUGCGAUCGUGGUGGUGUCCAGAAAUUUUCAUGUAUUUUUUCUGAUACUCUGUUUUCUCUAAAUUAUGUGUUUUAUUAGCAGUUUUUUUUUCUCGAUUGAUUGUUACAGUUGGAAGGCACGCCAAAAAGCAUUUGUUUUCACAAUCGAUCAGGUGGCACAAUUUACAAUUACGGCGAUCGGAAAACACACGAAAUCUUCAACAGGCAUUAUCAUUGCAAAAUCCAUGAACAAGCAUAUGUGAGAACAAUGAACACAUUAGACGAAAUCUGUGAACAAGCAUAUGCAAAAUCUUGGACAAACCCAUAGUCUGUACCACCACUCCACAAAACUCAUGAACAUAUCCCUUUUUUGAUUAUGUCCAACAAGCAAAAACACACACACACACACUAUAUAUUUGAUUAACACAAGAUGGACUGGGAGAGAAACACACACACACACAGAGAAGCAGCAGCAGCAGCAAAGCAGGUGACGGGCUGGAGCAGGGAACGACUUCUUUUUUGGCGGCUUGCUCUCGAAUCCUGGUGGGGAGGCCGGAUCUUGGGGCGACGGGGUUGGGGUUGACUCGGCCACCUCGAGCUCCAGGACAACCGCCGCCAGGGAUCUGUCCACCUCGAGCUCAGCUCGGUGGCGAUGGACACUGCUUGAUCCCGCAUGCAAGUGCUAAGCGAGGCUCUGGCGGUGCGAGCAGCUCGGCACCGUUGGUGGGCGGUGGGGGUGGAGGGCGGCGGGAUGGUAUGAUGAGUGAAGAGAUUAGGGGGCUGUUUGGUUGGUCUGACUGCAGCUGUAUGGCACCCGCAAUGCACAUAUUUAGUUGUUUGGUUUCCUGGGCUGGGAUAGGUAGGUGCAGCCCACCCCCUCAGCCUGCAUCCGGGUACGUCCGAAUCGGGCAUUUUUCUCGUGCAACCGCUUCGCUCACUCUUUCUCUUGAAUCCCAAUCGAUCUCUUCUCUCUGCCUUCGGUCUCAUCCGCCACCGGCCACCAGAUCCCCGCAUUUCUUCCACCGUCGGCCGUCAUCCCUUCCUCCGCCUCCCUUCGCUCCUCCUCAUUCUCUCCCAUCGUCGGGCGCCGUCCUCCACCUCUCAUCUCCCAACCCCAGCCACCACUCCACUACCAGAGCUUGCCGCUGCCUCCUCCUCCUCCUCCUCCUCCUCCUCAUCUCCCAACGCUGACGGCCAUCCACGCGCUGCCCCUCCUCCGCCCCUUCUGACCGCGUGCCGCCCUCCUCCUUCCCUUCCUGCGAGGCAGCCUGAGGUGGAGCCAAGGAUGCCGGUGGCCUCUUCCUGCGGUUAGAGAACGACGGUAAAAUUGGUGCGGCUCCAGAUGCAAAUACGACCAAACAGGCGGCUGCAGCAACUGCUCGCACCCGCCGCGCCUGUAUCCCGCGUGCGGCAACCCUGCUGCGAUGCAGCCUGCGGCCUACAGUGAAUCCAAACAUGCACUGGGUGAGCGGUUUUGCCGGAGUGGAGUUCAUGAGACCAAAAGGGUGGGCGUGAUGUCUGGGUAUGGCAAGUUGGUCCUCGAAAUUGGGGACGGGACGUGGCCUGAGUACCGAAUUGAAACUAUGCAGACCGGGGUCUACGUAGGCAGCUUGAAAAAUGCGCCCGACUCAAUCGAGUGCGAAUCGCAGCUUGAUCGGACGUCUCUGGAUGUACAGGCCACUGAAACGUACAUGACAAAAUGCAUUUCGCAAUGAGCCUAGCUGUUUUUGAUAUUGAGGAAAUUUCUAGGAACUUGUGCAUUUCCAUUGUAAGGAUGUUGUAGUGAUAUUGUAAAGGGCAUUCAUGUAUUGAGUGUGCUAACAACACCGAUACUAUAUUCCCUUUGGGAUUCAGUCCCCAAUUGGACACCUCCUCACGCUAGGAAUGGCACCCACAGGUUAGAUCUUGUGCUUUGAUUAUUCAUCGUCGUUGUAUGUUUGAUCUUAUGAAUGUAAAGUCUCAUUAUUUUCAUUGUGUGGUUGCGAAUAAUGAUACUUUAUUUCACUAAAAUUUUCCGAUGAAAGUCGAGAAUUGAAAGUCCCACUGUUUCCAUCUUACGUCGGACUCCACGGUUUCAUAUGCACACAUUCAAAGCAAAUCUGAAUAAUUUAUAGUUUUUUGGUCACAUGCCUUUUGCAAUAUAGCUAAAUGGAAAAUAUAAGUUUGAAAAAAAGCAUUUGCAUUCAGAUUAUUUUGGGUAUAUAUGAAUCAGAUACCCUGAAAUCUGGCUAUUGAAUAGGAUGAAUUCUAAGUAUGUUAUUUCAAUAUAACCUAAAGCAUAAAAAAGAUAUGAAUAUUUUUGGAAGGUAGAAAAACAAUAAAAAAAGCAAAAAGCAAAAAACCAAAACAGCGCGAAAGCUUAUUUGGACUGCCCAGCUUGCGGGUGCUCUCAGCAGCAAGCCAACUAUGUACUUCCUCCGUCCCAAAAUAAGUGAUUUCGAUUUGUAUAUAAAUCGAAUUCACUGAAUAUGGGACAGAAGAAGUAUUCGUCAGCCCAGCCAGGUUCACCGCCUGGCGGUUCUCGAACGUCCAGUUCAGCCCAACAGCUAUUACUAUGUCUUCUCGCUGCCAGAAACCAAGCCCAAGCCCAUCAGGCUGGACCGCCGGACCGCCUCAUAGGCUCUGCCUUGCCCAUAUUGGGCGCCCUUUUCCUUUGUCGGCCGCCUCUUGCCCGGCGCUCCUCGCGUUCUUGCGGCAGGAAGAGGAGACUGGGGAGAGCGUGAGACCCCUCCGUCGCUUGUGGCGGCGACAUGGAGAGGAGCGAGAGCGUCCUAGACGCCGUCCUCGACGACGAAAACUUUGACGGCGAUGACGUUGAGAUGGCCGACGCAGAUGCGGAGGACACCUGUGUGCCUGACGUCCCCACCGCCGGAGUGCGAGGUGAGGACGGCAGUGGGGAGAAGGGAGCCCCGGCGGGCAAGAAGAAGAAGAAGAAGAGGAAGUCCGGGAAGAGGAAGAAUAGGGGGAGGCCUGAUGGGCCGCCCACCAAGAUUGCCGACAUUAAUAGGUAAAAACCCUCGCACCACUCUCCCUAGGGUUUAGGUUGCGCCCGAGACGGAAAUCCGAAAUUAAAAUUUGGGUAGAUGUCACCUGCUAUGUGUUUAUAUGUUUUCCCUUUCACAGUCGUGCUGAAAUUGAAUAAUACUCCAACCUACUGAAAUCGGAGUAAUCGUCAGAACAGAGCUAUCAUUUGUGGUACAAUUGUUCUGAUCAUCGAUUUGAAAUGAUAGUAUCUUUUGUGUGAAAUUAUUAUAUGGAAGUAAAGGCUCAAAACCAUUGUACGUGUAUCAGUAUAUGGUCAAAUCCCCUUGCAUUUUUUUAGCGUAAAAUCGAUGUACAUUUUAACAGAACUUCAAUUGAUACUUAGAUUUUUUUGAUUAAUUGAUAUCGUGUUAAUAAGAAGGUUAAUACAAUAUCUGUAGAUAUUUCCAUGGAAUAGUGUUGUGGCAAGACGGUUUUAUUCUUGUAUAAAACUAGCACAGUGGUUAAGGCAAAUUAUUUAUGCUUCUUUAUGUUAUUCAUUUUAGGUUGCCAACUGACUAAUCAUUUAUAUUUAUUUUGCAGGUUUGUCCUUGACACUUGCAGGCGCUUGAAGGAGAAGAAGUCAUACCUUGUUUGGAAUGCUGUUGGCUGCCUGGGUGUUUCUGCUGUCAGUGAUCUUGUCAGAGAGGUAAACAACUCUUAUGUAACAGUACUAAAAGAGGAUCAGUUCAUCCAUUGAGAGACUUCUUAAUAAUCUGGUGUUUCACUGUAGAUGGAUCUAUUUUACUAAAGCACAAAAAAGGCAUAAAUUGUUAGUGUAAGCUAUUGUCCUCGACCUCUCUGUGUUCCCUCGUGUCUCAUUUGUGGGCUGGUUGGUAUUUGCCAAAUGGACUUGCAUAACUUCAUAGGAGGAAUCUGUUGCCUACUGCUCUUACAGAUAUUACUACCUUGAUUCUUUGCAGUUCCAUGGAUUAGUUUGUUUUAAGUAAUUGAGAAGUUUGGAGUUUUUCAGAAGAGUCACUGAAUAGUAUUUCCAUCUACAUACUUGAUUGGUGACAAAUCCAAUUGCAGUUAAGUUUCUAAUUCAUACCUAUACGUUGCAUAAUUCAUGCUUUGUAUAUAAGCAGAUAGUAAUAUCAUAGGACCUAUAUCUUCAAUAAUUAACUCCAAAGGUGAGCAAUAUUUGUACGCAGUAUUUUAAAAGAAUAUUGUCAAUUAGUAGUGUACGUGUAAUUUUCUAAAUUCCAAUACUCGGGAAUUGGAGUUGUUAUCAAUUACUAACUAAAUACAUUCUGUUCCAGGUUGAGGCCAUUCAGAAGUGUGGUGGGCAGACGAUUGCUGAUGGAAGUCGUUUCCGGACAGGUGGUGGAGUCCUCUGGAACAUCUUGAAGUCACGAGAGCCAAAGGCGUACAAGGAAAUUAUGUUGAAGGGAAGGGAACUUGAGGUAUGACAUUACUGGGACUUAAGUGUGCUAGUUUUUUGUAAUUCUGUUCUUCAUAUUUGGUAAAUUAGUCACUAUGUACAAUAGAAAGUUAGCAACACGCAGUAGGUUCUUUAUCAAAAUCAAUUAUGUUGAAUACUACCUCUCAUCCUACAUGUAAGUUGUUUUAGAGAUUUACCUGUCAAACAUUGUAAUAUUGACCAUCUAUAAAGAAAGAACUACUAGCAUCCAAAACACCAAACUCAUAUUGUUAGAUUUAUCAUCAAAUAAACUUGUAUACCGUAUAAUCUUUUUCACGAGGCAACUUGUUUGCCCAGAAAUUGAUUACCAAAGUAUCAUCUUGAAGACUGUGUUAUCCGAAAAGACUUGCAUCUUGGACUGGUGGGCGUAUGUGUAUUUUGUAAAUCUCCAUUCUCCUACAAGAAAAGAACAUUGAAUCAUGUACAUGCCACAUCAUUAUCAUUUAUCACUAGAAGCAGUCAAUAAUAAGGGAACUGGUUUUUUUUUAAAAGGCUCGAUUUAAUAUUUUACCUAGAUGAGGCAAGCUUAUUCCACUAGUAUUAGUGGAAACAAGUUACAAAAAUAAUAAUGGAAUAGGGAGCACCAAAAUGAAUCUGGGACUGGUGAUAUUGUACAUGAAAUUUAGAAUUGACCUCUUUCGUGGAUCAAGUAACCAUGCCUGUCACUUCGACACUAGACAAUGGAUGGAUGUGCAUGUGCUACUAGUGUCAUACCAUCAAAAUAACUGAUGGUGCUCGUUGGCAUUAUCAACUGUUAUUUUGCUACAAUUCUACUGGACCUCAGCGGUCUUGCUGUUUAUUUUUUAUUUUUUGUUGGGAUACUACUGUUUAAUUAUGUCUGAUUGAUAUCGCGACUUCCUCCUUUCAGAAGCAGUUUAUGUAUACCAAAGGCAGAUCACAGAUGAGCAGAAAUGAAGACGCAAGCUCACAGGGCAGUGCGUUAGUUGAUGAGGAAAUCGAAGCACAUGAUGAUCCUGAGCACUUGGUCGAUGUGGAGGAAGCACCUCCUGAUAACAAAGCUGAACCUCGUAAACCAGUAGCAGACAGAAUUCGUGUGCCUGUUGCUUAUGAUGAUCUUUUCGAGGAGGGAGAGAUACAUGAAGAACAAUAAAAUUAGUAUUUGGAAUUGGAAGGAUUUGCCCUGUUAUGAUCUGCGAGCCUUAAUUCUGCAAAGAAAGCAAGAUGCAGAAUGUAAUCAAGAUUGCGGGAAUGUAUGUAUGAACCUUGCCGUGGAGCAUCUUUUUUAUUUUUCUUCCAGGGAUUCCAAAAUUUUCCCACUUGUGAGUGUGAAAAAGCAGUAAGGCAUGCAAUUAUGCAACGGUUAGAUCUCUUGUUACGAGGAGUGGAAGUCGUAGGAACAACAUUGAUACUAAAGUCAAUACUGAAUGGAAACUAUGAUUUUGCAGUCGACUAAAUUCAGUUUAUUAGAGAUAAUAUUACUGGAGAAAGCAUCUUCGCUGCCUCUUGAGAUUGAUAUUAAAUUCAAUACUGAAUGAGAACCGGAAAGCAAAACGGCAUGGCGACCAGCAGUGGAGCUCGCCGCGUGCCAUGAUAAUGCAGCACUCUUGGCCUCCUCAUCCUCCUUCAAUUACGGUAGUAGCGAUAGACAAUAGCGGCGGCAUGGCAACGCUGUCGCCGGGGGCAGGGGCGAGCAGCCGCUGGAGCGUGUGUACACCAACGCCCCAAGCCCAGCUCGCUCCACAGGCAGCAGAUCAUCAGAGACUGCCCAAUCCUAUCAUCCUACGGCAACAUACUGGCAUACAGCCGCCUUCUCUAUCUGCUUUCGUUCUGUUCUUGGAGUAGGAUUUCUUUUCUGUGCGUUUUGGUUUUAGGUGAUUUCUUUUUUGUGCAUCUGAUGCCGCUCAUUCGACGGUUUCCUACCAUUUUGUUUAAGAUUUUUCUGGCGAUGCUCUAACGGUUGAUGGUAUUAUUAAUACUUCAUACUAAGAUAUGUUCAAAAAAGUUACAAACAAAUAUAAGCUAAGUUAAAUCCAGCGAAAGAUUGGUCAUCUACAGCAAAAUUAGCUCUCAAGUGACUUGUUUACCAUUAAAAAUGAUACGGUUAACAUUUAAACACAAUCUGCGGGAGUACAAGAUCAUUUCAGUAUUUUUCACCAGUUGCCGAAACAAACACAUGCCAGAUAUUUUGGAUCUUCCAUCCCCAGUCGGCAGGCAUAGCCGAUUUUGAGAGGUGCAGUCGUGAAGCUCCAACAAAAGCAAACACAACCUUAGAAAAACUGACUGCCACUGGGGACGAGGUCAUCGGCGUCGUCACUGUCCACAAGCAGAAUUAUGGGGAUUAAAACUAACCGCCAAUGGGAUACUUUAAGUUUAACUUCUAGAACUAUUAAUUAGUGUUUUGAUCCUGCAACAAAAGUAAACGUUUUGAAACAACAAACAAAUUCUCUAUAUGAUUUUUGUCUAGUCUACACAUAUUUAAAUUUACCUUUUGAAAUAGUAUUUGUAAAAAAAUACUUUUUAAAACAAUAUAUAAAGAUAUUAGCAGCCCAGAAUUUGAAAAGUAUCUUCACUUCGACGGGUUUCGUACUAUUCGACCAAAAUCCACAUUCCAAGUCGAAGGCGUGCGCGCAGCGCGGUGCGCCCCCGUACUCUGCACUGAUUUCAGGUCAGAGCAUGAUGACGACGGCGACGAGGAGGUGGUGGAAGCGGCGCGAUGGCAGCGACGACGCCGACGACCUCGUCCCCAUGGACACCCAAGGUAUGGACCAUCAAGUGCGCACCUCGUUUCCCCUCACCCUUUUGCCUGGGGUCCAGCUAUCUCCGGUUCCCUGAAACUUUUUGUCGCUCGUCGGCGUGAUCUGCACGCAGAGCAGGAGGAACUGGUCCGGUCGCUGGAGCAGAAGCAGACGCACGAGAGCCGCCGUUGGAGGGUGCGUGCCGCCGCCAACUCCCGACCCAUUCGGCUUAGGGUUUGGAGAUCUUGCUAUGGGAGAUGAUUCAAUUCAAUUCGAUUUUGGUGCUCACGCUCGAUGGUUAUCUCUUGCCUGUGCAGCGCGUGUUUGCGGGGUUCCUCCUUGGUUAUGCGGCCUUUCUCGUGUACUCCAGCUUCCACCAUGCCUGGUCUCCCUGGGAGCUGGUUAGUUGCUUGUAGCUUUCUUUUUUACUUCCUUACAUUGUGUUUUGCUAGCCAUAUUGAUCGCCUAAGAUGUUCGAUGCUGGCUUUUGAAUGGUGUAUGACUUGGAUUGGCCUUUGGUAAAUCCGUUUUGGGUGGAUUGGGACAUAGGUACUAGUUGAGUUUUGCCCAUUGAAAAGUAACAUAUAAUUACCAUGUAAUUUUUAUCUGUGCUCUGAAACAUUCAUCAGUACAGCUCAAGUAUUUAACCAUCAUAAAUUCCAAAAUAGUGGUGUAUGGCUGUAUGCUACAUGCUUUGGUGAAUCUAUAUGAAAUGAUUAUGUCUUGCAAGCUUGUUUCUCUGAACCACUGCUUGGUGCCUGACUCACGGUUCACCAUUGAACAGCGAUAUCAUGCUUACUUUAUGGAAGAUAUGCCUGCGCCGAUGGUCAUAAUUGCAGGUAAUGGUGGUUACUUGAUAUUUACAAUUGGCAACAUAAGGAAGUCAUUGUUACAACUUGCAAGGCAUAAUUUUGUAUCACACAUUCAAAACAUCUUGCUUAGUUUCUGAAUGUUAUCUCGACUCAACUUGUGGACACUGAGACAGUGGCAAUGUUCAUACUCACCCAAGGUGCUAACUUUAUGACUUAGUUUUUUAAUACAUAUGGAAAGCUUUCUAGAAUCAUAUGUCCUAUAAUAGGUCCCUGCAUCACCAGGGGCUUCUCUGGUCAUUGUCACCAAUAGACAUUUUCUUACUAAAAGUUUUAGUAAUAAGUUGAUUCUGAGACAAUGAUAUCAGGGAAUAUUUUGUUAGGCAUGCACAUUAGGACUAUCAUCAUUAGUUUAUUCCUUUCGUCUUCCUUAGUAUAUUUCUGAACAUACCCAAGAAUAUGCCACGGCCCACAGUGUACAAAACAUUUUUUUGUUUCUCUUUGAUUUCAUUCAUACCUGACGUUUUAUUGCAGAUUGGGUAGCUGCCAUUGCAUGUUUAUUUGCAGUUAAGGGUCUAGUACUAUCAUCAAGCUCCUCCAGGAAGUGGAUGUGGUAUUCAUUCUAUGUAGGCAUGGCAGUUGCUGUCUUCUGGACAUACUACCUCUUGAAGUAUGUUAUCUACAGACAAUUCACGUACCCUUUCCUGUGUCAAAAUGCAGCAUCAGAAAGAAGACAUUUUAUGCUAACCACUAAUCCUACACUGCACAUGACCAACACUCACAAACAUCAAGAUCUUGUUUUUCAGUAAUUGCGAUUGUUGUUUCUUUUGCACUGCAGAUUACCAAGAAUACGAUGGGAUGCGGUGUGGCUUCCCUUUGGCCCUUUAAUGUAUGCUUACUUACUCCUUUGACCUGCUUUUUUGCUGGCCAUUGUUGAAUAAUAAUAACAUUGCUAUCUUUUACAUGUACUGUUGGUCAGUGCUUCUACAUUGAGCCUCUAUAUUGACCAUACGCUUCUAAAGUCAAUGCAAGAUAUCAGUACAUUGAGGAGCUAUAUGUACAACUUCAAGUCCCUGUAAUGUCGAGCAUAUGAUUGUUCUUGAUCUUGCAGUUAGCUCUUUUUGGAAAUGGGAAGAUCUUGCUCUUAGCUCUACAUGGGCGGUUGAAACUUAUGUUCUGUCACUUUCUUUAUCAUCUCCUGUUCUCUCCCUCCCAAAACCAUCAUGUCAAAAUUCUAAUAUACUCAAAUUGCAUCAGUUUACCAGAGUAGUUUGUGUACUUGAGAAUUGUCAGGUCUCCUAACAUACGGAAUGCUGAUAUGAAUCAGAUACCUUUGUAUUUGUAUGGCUAUACUCUUAUCAUUGUCACUUGCGUACUUUUCAUAUGACACUCGGUAUUGAAGAUCUUUUUUGCUGAAAUGAAGGCAAGAUUUGGCUCCUUUCGAACAUUGCGAAUUUUCUCUUUGAGGAUGGGACAGUGCUGUAUUGCUAGUGGAACUUUGUCGGUAGUGGAUUCAUCCAUAUAAAGUCAUGGCCUAACAUUGCUCAAUCUAGUCCACUCGUCUCAAAAUCAAUGGUGCUAGUAUAAGUCUCACCAAUUAAAAAGAAUAAAAUACACCACUGGUUCAUAAACUUGAAAGAAAUGAACACCUUAGUUCACAAACUCACAAAAAGCACAUAUAAAUAUCUAAACUCAGAUUAGUGAUACGGUUUACUUUGAAAAGGCAAAAAACAGACAUGUGGCUGCCACGUCUAACCAAGCAUGGAACAUGGCAUGUUGAUAGAUUAUCACGCAAAGAUUGCUUGAGAAAUUGAGGAGGCGCGAGCCCGAGCCCAGCGCCCCUCCCCCCAUCUCUCCUCUCUCUUUAUGCCGUCAACGAGACGAUUAGGACUCCGGUGAUCGGUGGCGACGGCCGGCAAAUCGACCUAAAGUGAAUCUGGACCUCCUCCUCCCAUUGUCCAGUUCUCUGUCAUUCAGUUGUCUUAAGGGUGGGCCGGAAGUAUUCACAUCAGAAAUGCAGCCCAUUCACAAGUUCAGGGGAUAGUGCCGUGGCCGGUGGCCCAAGACUCAAAUUCUUCAGCGUACGAGGCGACACUCUCCCAUCCCGUAUCUCCCAACCACGGAGCGGCAGCGCACGGACGAGUUGGAUUGAUUCACUGCAAAAUGGAAGCCGCGUCCUUGCCGCUCGCCGCGCCCCGCUCCCUCUCCCCGCCAGCGACUGCGCCGUCCUGCUCGCGGCCGAAGAACCUCCCCUUCGUUCGCGCAGCCCCGCAGACGCUGGAAGCACGUGCCGCACCCAAAACCCAGCGGCCGUCCCCCCGGCGCAACGCCGUCGCCGAUGUCAAGGCUGCCGCCGACCCUGUCGCUGCGCUCACCAGGUAUGCUCCACCGCUGCUAUAUUGCUCUAGUACUUUGGUUAGUCCCAAGCAUUCGUUUCCUGUCGUUGUGGUAAUUCCGCGAAGCAAAGCUCAACUGCUGUGGCCUGUGAAUUAUGCCACUUGCGUACAAUGAACAGUAGAAGUGCUGUGAUGCCGAAAAAAAGGGUUGGUAGAAAUGGGAUGUUAGGAUAGGCUCAGCACUGCUCAUGUUUGAAAUCAAACCCUGAGGAUUCUGCCCUUUACCUACAGGCUGGAAGAUGUUCUGCAGACACAGGACUGCAACAUAAUCUUGCGCCACUAUGGGGACAUCAGGAAAUGGGAUGCCCUUUCUAAGGUACUCCCUCCGUCCCAUAUUAAGUGACUUUCUAUUACAUGUAUCUAGACGCUUUUUGGGUAUAGAUACAUUCAUAUUUGUGCAAAUUUGUGUCACUUAAUAUGGGACGGAGGGAGUAGUUCUCAGCAAUGGUUUUCAUGGUCAGUUAGGGUGUGUUUGGGUGGUGGGAAUUGAUGAGUUUGGUGUGGAGCUUUGCCAGUGCCAAUAGACAUGAGUUGCUGAACUUUGUUUCAGGUCUUUCGGUGGAUGCAGGAGCAUGAAAUGCUCAAUGUUGCGUCCUACAGCAGCUAUUUCAAGUACCUGGGGUUGAGCCGUAACGCUGCAAGAGCGCUGCAAGUGUAUGGUUCUAUCCAGGACCAGUCAAUCAGAGUUCAUGUCUCUGUUUGUAAUUCGGUUCUAGGGUGCUUGGUGAAGAAUGGGAGGUAUGACAGCACCUUCAAGCUCUAUGAUGAGAUGAUACGAGGAGGUCUAUCACCUGAUCUGUUCACCUACAGUACUGUACGGGACUUUGACCCUCAUUGUUUCAUAUUAGCACUUGCUAUAGGCAUUAUGCAACCUGUUUUGAGUUCUUUUUUCCCCAACCUCCAGCUUCUGUCAGGGUGCAUUAAGUUGAAGCAGGGCUAUGCUAAGGCAAUGGAGUUGAUCAAUGAGCUGAACUACCGCGGUCUUCAGAUGGAUAGUGUAAUAUACGGUACUCUCUUGGCGAUAUGUGCAUCUCAUAACUACUGCGAGGAGGCUGAGGUAUACUUCCAGAAAUUGAAGGAUGAGGGCCAUAACCCUAAUCUGUUCCACUACAGCUCCCUGUUGAAUGCAUAUUCGGAAAAUUCUAAUUAUGAAAAAGCUGAGCUGCUGAUGAAAGAUUUGAGGUCUUCCAAGUUAAUACCAAACAAGGUCUAUUUUCAUUACUUGUCCUUUAUUAAUUAGUUCUAUGAUCUAUGCUUUCUGGUUUGCUGAAGUCCACAGUUCUGUCAGUUCCAUUUUUGUAUUUGCCACGGUUCAAGUUUCUUGAGGUCAUUUCUCAAUAUAUGGCUUAUCCAUGGGACAAGUUGGACAAUAUCUUUUCUUUUUACUGAAAACUGCAGGAAAGAUUCCGACACUACAUAUAUAUUAAAGUUCAAUAAUAUUUACAAGGAAAAAAGGGUUGGGGGGGGGAGCAACUUGAGUUUUUCGAGCCGCACCAUUUAUGUUUAUUUGUUAAAGGUAGCAUAUCAGUGAAUAUUAAUUGUCAAUGUGCCUGGAAAGGAAACAAGUACUGUGCUAGGCAGCAACAUGCAUGUAACUAAACACUGUUUGAAAAGCAUAUCUUCAAAUCACUAGAUAUUGCCUACCGCAUAUCCUACCCAGACACUGAAGUUUUUGCUUGUUGCUUUACACGCGGUGUAUUGAAAUGAGCUUGUAGUUGAAUGGCCUGGGUUGAAAGUGAGGGCACCCUACCUAGGUGCUGGAAUGGUUUCUUGCUGCUUUCCGCAUAAUCUGUUUAGUAGGGCUUGCUUGUAGUUGAAUUGAGGGCACUGGUGCUUCUGGAUGUUUCAAAAAUAGCCUUUCCAUAAUCAAAUAUUAUUUCCUCAUGUUCACACAAUGCUAUUGUUUGGACAUUGACAGUCUCCAAACUGUUAACUAUAUCACUAAUUUAUACAUAACCCAACGAAAUUAUUAUAUUAUGAAAGUACCGAAACUGUCUACACAUAUCAUUUCCAUGUAUCCAAUGUAUACUUAUAAAGAUAUCUAUAGUCAAAGAUAUGUCCAAAGAGAUAGCUUUUUUUGAACCGGAGGGAGUAACUGUUGUCCUAUUCUUUGCUCAAAUGCUAUAGUCAUGCAAUUGAACUUAUAUACAUUUAGAAUUAUCGCAAAAUGGUGCUGCUAAUAAUAUCAUUCUGGCAUCUCAACUAAAUUUCCUUUGCAGGUAAUACUGACUACUUUAUUGAAGGUAUACUCUAAAGGUGGUCUUUUUGAGAAGGCUAAGGAGCUACUCACUGAAUUGGAAGCCUCAGGGUUUGCUCAGGAUGAGGUAAAAGUCUAACACACAACACUUCUUCAUGUGCACACUUCCAUUCCACAAUCUCAUAAAUUGACCUAACUUUAGUGCAGUUGUAAUCCCUUAAUCCUUAUACUGUGUACAGAUGCCAUAUUGCAUAUUGAUUGAUGCCCUUGCCAAAGGAGGAAAGAUAUGGGAAGCAACAAUGCUGUUUAAUGAAAUGAAAGAAAAAGGAGUUAAAUCUGGUACAACAUCCAACCAUACAACUAAUCUAUCACCAUGCUAGUUUCUCAUUCCUGAUUACUAUACCGUAUUUAGGAUCUGAUCUUCAUUUGUCUGGAUCCUACAUAUAUGUUAUUCAUUUUGUUGGAUGGAUCACUGUUCUUAUAUGUAAUGAUUACCUGCAAAUUAUGAUACCGAAUUCUAGUGUAACCUUUUGAGGAAGUACGGUAUGGUUUUUUUUCAUGCGCUGGUAAUGUUAUUCAGUAUACUAGCUUUUGAUAGUACUAUAAUAAUUUUGUAGAGCAUUGCCUGCGUGUUGCCAUGCAAAUGCCUUAGUAGGGUGCUAUUACAAUUGUGUCUUCUUCAUCUUUCUUGAUGUGCUUAUCUUCUGUUUCUGCAGAUGGCUAUGCAUUUAGUAUUAUGAUUUCAGCACUACAUCGAGCUGGUUAUCGUGAAGAAGCAAAACAACUUGCAAAAGAAUUUGAGGACCAGAAUACAACAUAUGACCUUGUUAUACUUAAUACAUCACUUCGUGCUUACUGCAACACAAAUGAUACAGAAAGUGUAAUGCGAAUGCUCAAGAAAAUGGAUGAAUUGAACAUAUCACCUGAUCAUAUUACAUUCAAUACCUUAAUAAGGUACUUCUGCAAGGGAAAGGUCUAUCACCUAGUAUACAAGACAAUUGAAGAUAUGCAUACAAAGGGUCAUCAAUUGAAUGAGGUAUGUUGAUUCUGCUGUCUUUGGUCUAUUUAUUAUGUUUCUAUUAAGUUUUGUGCUGGAUAAAAUAAUAACUAAUUCUUGUUAAAUUCUGUUCACUGGAAGUAGGGCUAUCUGCCUAAAGGGGUAAGGCUGAUUGAUGACCCUAGAUACUUGUAGUACUCCAAAAUUCAUAAAAAACUUUAUGGUAUCAGUACAUGUACAUGCAAGACUACACACAGAAAAUCUGUGCAAAAAUAACUUGUACUUUGUACUGUACAAAAAAGUACUGUUUUUCAGGUAAAGAUAGGUAGUUUAUGGUAUUGAAAUCCAGUACGUACUUGAUUUGUCUUUAUGUAUAGUACAAGGUAUGUGUUAAAAUUACACCAAUUAUGCAUGUACUCUUGUAUUUACAUACACUAAUAAUAUCUUUCAGAAAAAAAAAUUGGGGCGUACAUAGUACCUACACCCUUCAUGGGUAGUUGGGUACCGCUGGUGGUGUCCCAUCCGCUUACGGGCUAUCUAUGACAUGCUUGUAGAAUAGAGUGUGGCCAUCGCAUUUUUUCUUGCAACAUGAUUUUAAUCAGCUUUUGUUGCGACAGCAUGUAUGUUAACCUAAAUUUCUAUUCAUCUUCUCCAGGAGCUUUGCUCUGAGGUGAUGUUACAGUUAGGAGAAGCAGGUUUUCCUUCUGAAGCAUUAUCUGUAUAUAAUAUGAUGAGAUACAGUAAAAGAACAGUUUGUAAAUCUCUUCAUGAGAAGGUCUUAAGCAUCUUAGUUCCAGCAGGACUUCUCAAGGAUGCAUAUAUAGUCAUUAAGGUACAAUGCUUUGGCGUUUUCUGCUGGUAUCUCUAUUGUUUAUUUUUGUGUAUCUUCACUAAGCAAAUGCUAAUUUAACAGGACAAUGCUGAGCUGAUAUCUCCACGUUCCUUGGAGAAAUUUGCUAUACAGUUCAUGACAUCGGGAAACAUAAAUUUGAUUAAUGAUGUUAUGAAGGCACUGAACCAUUCAGGAUGGCGUAUAAGCCAGGUGAUGAUUUUGUACCUGUACUCUAUAAGUAUAGUUUGGAGUUGAACCCUGGAGGGCUGGACAUUGGAAACUUAUUAAAUCUUAGCUGCCUAGGACAGAGCAUGCUCCAGAAAAUCACAGAACAGCAUUACCAAGACUAACCUUAAUCUAAGCAUUUAAGGACCACAUCUUGCGUCCUAACUUGCUAUUUCUUUUAAGAGUUAAUAACACCCGCAAUACAUAAACUUGAAGCGCGCGAGCAAUUUCAUACAAGAACUUGAAAAAUGGGGCCAAGUGAUCCAAAACUUGUUUAGGCGGGUGAUUAGUGCCCAGAUUAGUCCGAAUUAGCCACGCUGGUUGUUUAGGCGGUUUGCAUUUUUUUCAUUUAGCCCCUGCGAUCAAAAUACAAUUUCUUUCUCAUCCCCAGACAAUGCAAUGCGAAUGAAAUUUUGCAAAAAUAUCUCUGUUUUCUUCCCAUUUUCCAUCAUCGCGGCCUCUCCCUCGCCGCCCUAUACCUCGCCGUGUCGGGGACUCGUGGAUUUAGGGUUAGGCCGCAGGGGUUUCGGGGGAAGAAAAGGAAGAAUCAUGUGUGGAGGGUUUUCGCAAGAGCGUAGGGAAACGAGGGUUUUUCUGUAAAAAUUAUCGAGCCCUCAGUGCGCAACUUUGCCACGCUGACAAGGCACGUGGCGGCUCCGGAGCGCAUCUGACCAAAAAUGAAUCUGCAACACAAGUUUUGGACCAACUGACCCCAUUUUUCAAGUUGUAUGAAAAUGCUCGCAUGCAGUUCUUGUACUGCGGGUGUUAUUACCUCUUCUUUUAAUGGUGAACAUGACCGUUUCUGUUUCACAUGCAGGAUACCUUUGGGAGAGCAAUUCAGCGGUACAUCCAAAAACCUGAUAAGAAGCAGCUAUUGUUAUCCCUCUUAGACUGGAUGACUGGUCAAGGCUAUUCCGUAGACUCAUCAUCAAGGAACUUGCUUUUGAAAAAUGCACAGCUCUUUGGCGAAAAACAACUGAUAGCAGAAAUCCUUUCUAAGCAGCAAGCAGCAUCAAGGGCCUCAGGCCAAAGAACAAAAAGAAUCAGUGAUUGAGGCACGAUUCAAUACUAUCUGAAUAGUUCAGUUCCACCAAAGAAUGUUCAGAGUAGUCAUGGUUGUUUGAUGAUCAACAAAUACCAUGCUCACAAGGGUCUGUCAGAUACAUGUUAUCACCUGUAUGUUCCCAGGGCACAAUCAAGGCUUGCCAGGAUUUCAGAUUAUGGUACGCGGUGUAUGUCUGCAUGUAGUUUAAAUUGCUCUAUUACAUUUAUGUGUGUAGUGUCUGAGAUGUGUCCAUUUUAACCAGGUUGCUCAAUUCACUGAGAUAUACACUUCAUCCAUUAGAGCUGCAACUGGGUCUGGGAGUGAAGAUAGAAGCCAAGGAUUGCAGUGAUGAGAAUAUUGGAUUCUGGGUUGUCUAAGAGGCAUACAAGUAAGUUAGAAUUCCAUUUUCUGUCAUCUUAACAGAGAAAGUUGCUCAAAUUUGUUGGUUGUGCAAUUUGCAUUAUGUUGUUGCAGGAAUCUAGUAUAUAUCUCUGGAUAGCUGAACACAUAUUUAAAACUUCUGUUCAGAGUUGACUGUACAUGAUUAUUGUAAAAGCAUAUUGAAACAUGGUAAAGAGUAGUUUCCUGGCGCAAUAAAUGUAAGACAGGUCAGUAAACAUGUCAGCGGGGCGCGCAGGGAUUAUGGUUAUGUGAUACUGUAUUAGAUUCCGAACAAGACCUCAUGGCUCCCAACUUCUCUUGUUACAUUUGGGUCAAGGAAUUCCCAGAGAUACUAGUUACUGAAAAAGGUUGCGAAAGAUUUUUGUUGUAAAAACUGCAAUAAAACCAUGGCAAAAAGAUUAGGGGAAUGGCAUAAUAGCAUCAGAAACGAAAUAUCUGUAUUAAAAACUAAACAUGUGUAGCGCAGUGCCGCAGUAGCAUUAUAAGUCCUCAGGGUUUUGCCUAGUAAAAGACCAUAACAGUACACAUUCCUAAAGUAUAGCAACAUUGCUAGCUACUACGGAUCUGUAAAAUGGCUUAUUUUUCUUAGGAGAUAACAUGUUGUUUUGAACGUUUUCUUUAUCCUAUAGAUACAUGCAGAAUGAAGUAGGGAUGCAAGCGGGAUCCCUCUUAUAUCCCAUUUCUAAGUCAAAUUUCAGAUCCGUUAGUCAAAUAUAGUAUACUAAAAUUGCUCGUUUUUCUUAGGAGAUAACAUGUGUUUUGAAUGUUUUCUUUAUCCUAUAGAUACAGAAUGAAGUAGGGAUGCAGACGGGAUCCUGCUUAUAUCCCACCUCUAAGUCACCCCAAAUUCACAAGUCAAAUAUAGUGCUCAUAUUUGACUAGCGGGUUUGAAACCUGUACCACUGCAAUUUUGGCGAAUUCGAAAAACACUACUGCAAUUCUCAUCUUUUGAAAAAUACCAUUACAAAAUCUGCAGAUUCUUCGAAAAGUGCCACCAUAAUGGGUUGAAAGGUGCCACUGCAGUGGCAUUUUUCAAAGGAUGAAAAUUAUAGUUGCAUUUUUCGAAGUUGCCAGAAUUCAAGUGGCAUAUAUCAAAUUAACCCCAACUAAAAUAUUUGAGUAAAUAUCACAAAACCCAUGGUUUCCGAUGAACCUUAUCGCACAACUACACAUUUUCGGUUUUUUUAUAACAUAACCCGCAUUCUUGGACAAAACUGUAUCGGUAAACCCAUAAUCUUGCUGUCAACGCGGCUAACAGCGAAAUUGACAUCGGGGCCCACCUGCCGGCCUCAGAAACGAAAACUGUGUUAACUUAGUCUGGUCUGGUUUGGUUUUCUGCCGGUUCGGGCUGGUUCGGGCCAUAGAGAUUGAGGGUAUGAGCGCGCCCGCAACAAAGCCCCUCCGCCACCCGCGAGCUCCUCGUCGCUGGCCUCUGCCAGAAUUCCGGCGAGGCUGCUGCCAUCAACUGUGCUACACCGCCGUGCCGAACAUGGCGGUGCUCAGUGCGCGCGACGCCGCGCCGCAAGCGACAUGGCCGCGCCCCGAAUGCCAGAGGCGUUCCCGCCCCCUCCAUCUCCUUGGCCCGAAUCAGCAGAAAACCGAAACAGACCGGGCUAACUUAACACAGUUUUCAUUUCUGAGGCCGAUAGGUGGGCUCUGAUGUCAGUUUCGCUGUUACGCGUGUUGACAGCGAGAUUAUGGGUUUAACGAUACAGUUUUGUUCAAGAAUGCUGGUUAUGUGAUAAAAAACCCGAAAAGGUGUAGUUUUGCGAUAAGGUUUGUCAGAAACCAAGGGUUUUGUGAUAUUUACCCAAAAUAAUUUGACUUAGAAAAGGGAUAUAAGAGGGAUCCUGCUUGCAUCCCUAGAAUGAAGUGGUUGAACAAGGAGAAAACUGCUUAGCACUGACUAGAUGCAGCCAGUUCAGUUGUCUUUGGUUAGGAUUUAGCUAAUUUAAUUCCUCUAAAUAAUGAAUAAAUGUAGAGAAAUUAAGUGAUAUCUGUUUCUUGAAAGGAGUAAAGGAAAAUAAGUUUGUAAUGUGAUAUUUUUUAUAGGAAAAACAAGAGGAUAACCAGUAAAUCUGCCCUUUUUUGUUCCAACAAGUCGGUUUACUUUGAUGAGGAUUCAGAAUAGACUGGUGAAAAGGAACUGUUCCUUGCCAAAAACACAGGAUAUUACCUUGGAAUUGCUCUCGCAGUGUCAACGGAAAGCAAGUUUGGAACAUUAUUUGAACCACUUCUAGAGGAUCAAUUGUCAUACCCUUGCUAUCGUUGGAUUUUUCAUGUAAAAUUAUCGUCUCCUAAUGCUGUUUCUUGUGUGGCCUCAGUAUAUUCCUUUUAACUUUUGAGAGGGUGGUCUCAGUAGAUUCUAGUGGUAUUGAGACUAGUUCUCGUUGGAGAGGUUCAAACUUCUUUGUCACUUUAUGGGGGAUGCGCAUCUGUUUUGGCAAACUUAAUUCUGGCCAAUGGAUACUUUAGAUGUCAUUUUUGAAGAUACGUCCAUGGCACGGACUGAUAACAGCACCAUGUAUAUAAAGUAAUAACCAGAAUUUCUUCAACUAUAAAGAUUGAGACAGAAUGAAUUCUCUAUCCAGGCGUCCCUUUUCACUGGAGAUAUUGUAUUCAUGGCUAGCUGAAUGGAGGGUACUCUAUUAUUGAAGUACUGACCCUUUUUUUUUCUAGAAUAGUUCAAGCACUGACCUUAAACUACCAUGAUAAGUUGGAGAGGUAAAAUUAGUGGUUCCAGGGAGCACAUGCUCCUGGGAAGCAAAAUAUUUAGGUGUCAAAAACUCUGAAAAGAUUACACAUGUAAAUGUUCGAGUCUUCCAUAUCUUUACUCCUAUAAAGAUCUCAAUUAGUGACGGUGGUCCGUCACCUUCAGGCCGUGUCGCCUGUUGAUUUUGGCACACUGUUGUGAAUAUGAAAUUAUUUGAUGUAAGAAAAUAAAUAAUAGAACAGCAUAGAGUUUUUUUUGUUAGUCUGUAGCAGCAUACAUGUACCGUGCUACUAGUAAAAUUUCAUGGAGAAAUGAACUUUUUUUGUGUCCUAGGUGAGAAGAACAAUAUUAAGUGCUUUAGAGAAGUAAACUGUUAACUAAAUGUGUUUUCACACAGAGCGCAAACUCCCUUUUUUCAUGAAAAAUUAUAAGCACUUACGCUACCGGCUACUCAUGGAUUUGAGUGACUUGCCACCCUCCUAUCCAGGGAGUUCGCCUCCCGGCCUGGUGGCACCUUUCCCAUCCCCCAAAACCCAUCCGCAAGGGCCUCGACUCUUUUCGUUCUGCUGAUAGACUGGAUGAUGAUUUGGAAACAGCGCAACAAGUGCACCUUCGAGAAUAACCGUCCCUGCUGUUUCACCAUCCACAACAGGCUCAAGGAGGAAGCGAAGGCUAGAGCAGGCGCUUUAGGACUCCAUGUGUUGCUACCUGAAUUCUGGGAUGUGAACUAACGGUUUUGCUAUUUCUUAUUUCUUAGGCGAAAUAGACACUCCCGUGAACUAAUUGUGUCUUGCAGCCUAUCUAUGCCUUUAAAUGCACUUUCGUCUUGCAGCCUAUCUAUGCCUAUCCAUGCUUUUGCGUUUUCUAGAAGAAAAAAAGUACUCACAUGUGUAACUUUCUGUAAAGAAUUGCGAUCUGGAAAAUAGUUUUUUCUUUCAUGUGCUCCCAGAGUCCCAGUGCACCAUUGAGCUCCUGGAUGUUUGGUAAUAAAAUAACUGCCAUAUCAAUCUGAGUCCACAUAUAUUUGGUCAUAAGAUUCUGUUAUAAUUCGAUCUAGCUUAACAGAAUUUGGCUGCUUACCUGGGCUUUAGAAAUUUGGGGUGUACAUUUGGUUGCCACUCUGAUAUGACCAUCACAUCUUAGUGAGUAGUAACCGGUGGUCCCCUGUGCUUCUCUGCUUGUAGCACCAAAAAUCAAGUUCAUUGCACCUAGACAGUGCAGAGUAAUUUGCAAGUUUACUCCAUGUUUCUUCUGCUUUUUCACUUAUGCUGUCCGAUUUUCGCAUUGAUUAUCUUAGGAUGGUGACAAAUAAACCUGAUGACUUUAAUGAAAAGGAUCAAAAUCUGUUUGUGAUGUUGUGUCGAAGUUUUCACAAAAUUAUCCUGUUAAAUUGAAGAACGAACUGCUUUGUUGUGCCUUGCUGACAUUUUUAUUUCGGCGACUAUGCCUUCAUCUGCUUGCUCCUGAGUUUAACACUACCUUAAAACAUUUCUUCUUAAUUGGCCAGUGGCGGCUUUCCCGUCAUGAUAAGACAAAUUAAGCAGCAGGUCAUUUUCAUAGUUCACAAAUCAGCAAAAGGAAGUAGAAUACAUGACGGAAGGGAGAAGAUUAGUAUCCGUUAGGGUACCUCAAUUCGUAGCGCUCAGUUUAGCAUUGCUGAACUGUGCUGCGCUGAACUUAUUUUAUAAUAUGAUGUGAAAAAAUACACACGAAAACAGUUAAAAGUUGGUUAGCCAAACACAAAAAUAAACAGAAGCUGGUUGGAAAAACUGGAUCAUCAUAAUCCACCUCAAUGCCAAACUCACCAUAAAUAUAAAGUGUUCUACUUUCAUAUUAGCUCAAAAAAUUUAAAGUUUGAUCAACUUCAUAAAAAAAGAUGUAGUACUAAGAUAUAUGUCAUGACGAAUUUAAUAAAACUGAUAUACACUUAUAGAUAUUGAGAGGUCAGGCUUUUUUCCUUUUCAACAAAGAUUGUAGAUGUUAAUUUUUUUUAGAAAUUUGGUUAAACUUUAAAAAGUUUGACUUAGACUAAGGCUAUAAGAGCAUCUCCAAGAGCUUCACCAUCCCAUGCCCAAUAAUUAAAUUUAGGGAUUUUGUCCAAAAAUAGCCCUCCAACAGAUGCCCAUAUCAUUCUCCAUUUCUAGCCAUCCCCCAAAUCGAACUCGGGAUUUCCCAUAUUGAGGAGUGAAAUGGGGAUUACUCAUAUCUAUCGGAGUUAAGAGAAAGAAAGAAAAUGGUGAGAGAGAGACAGAUCAGUCCUUAGUUUGUCUUUUCCGAAUCUUGAUGAGAUAUCGGAAAUGAAAUAUGAGAAAUUUGUUGGGGAGGCAUAGGAUUUGGGGAGGGUAUAUUUUAUAAAAAAUUCCUAAAUACAGGUUUUGAGAAAGCAAAUAUGAGGAACCUCUUGGAGAUUGGAGAUGCUCUAACAUUUUUACGAACGUAGUGAGCAAUCGAAGAGGCCAAGGAGUGGGUCCACCAUGACAGCUCCUCCAGUUCUGAUUUUUCAGAAGACGGCUUCCCCUUACGCCACCAUUGCUACUGCCAUUUAUUUUUUCUUGUUAGUUUUUCCCCCCACUAUCUCACUGUCAAAUUGCUUUCGUAUGUGUAUUCCUGAGUCCUGACCCAGCCGCUGCCGUCAAGUGGAGGAAUCUGAUAAGCAAUCCACAUCCAUGAAGAGGACAUACUUCUGCAACGUACAUACUUGUGCUACCUGAAUCUGGCUCCGAUCCCAUCGAUUCUCUUUUUAUUUUGACAUAUGUGUCUUGUGGAAAAUUUUGAGCUCAGUGACUGGUGAGCUAGAUAGGCCUUUCGAUCGAGAUUCACUUUGGUCAAACUAGUGAGGUUUCAAUCCUUAUCCUCUCACUUGCCCUACUGAAAAUCAUGAUUCUUGAUGUGAACUUUGUAUAUUUCAAUUGAUUUUUUGUAGUCUUGGUCAAAUUCCUGGGUGUUUCGGAUAUCGAUCCAACCCUCUCCUGAGUAGUGCUCAUGUCAACGGAACCAAGGCUUUGCACCUUCUUGCCUUCACGUCUCAGCAGUCGCCUCAGUUUCUAUUGCAGUUGCAGCUAAAGCCAUCCAGGUAUAGGAUUAUAGUUCAUCAGAGAUUGAGGGAGGAAAGUCAUAGACUCAUGAACGCCAAGUGGAUGGUGAUUGCCGAUUGGGAACUGGUCGACGGAGGUUGUAGUCAUAGUUUAUUCCCAGCCCUUAUCUCGAAACUGAGUGCUCUAAGUACCGAGAUUUAAUUUUACUUUCGGAAAUAGUUUUGGCUCAUGCCAAAAUAAUCCAAUUAAAAAGAUUCAUUGUUGAUUUAGACUCUGAGUAAAGCUUUCAAUCUUUCAUCAUCAUAAACAUUUCACAAAAAAGUUAAAUCGAAUCCACUGACUUCUAAAAAAAGGAUUCUGAUGCCUGAGAAGUUCAUGCUUACUGCUCUAAACAACAUGCUCAUGACUAGUCCCUUGCAAGAAACAAAACAUCAGUGAUACAUUAGAAUCCCCUUAUUCAACGGGGACAAAAAAACGGAAGAAGAAAAUCUCAAACCGCACUCAGUACUCAACAGUGACAGCUGCAGAAAAGGAAGCGGUCCCGUGUCAUCGUCGUCAAAAGCCAAGAUCGACGGGAUGAUGUCGCGGGUGACGUUUUGGGGAUCCGAUGGCUGAUCGAGAUUCUUCAGCUGAUCCAUUCGUUCGUAGCGUGGAAAAGUUGAGCGGAAUCUCAGCCGCAGCCCUGGAAUAUGUGAUGCCGACACCGCUGCACCCAGAGAGCGACGGUGUCAUACUACAAUCUGUUAGGUAGGGCCAACCUGGCCCCCACAUGUCAACGGCGGCAUAGUCCUAUGCCCGUCUGCAUUCCGUUGUGUAGAUGCACACAGUACUACAGCAGGGCAUACGAACUAUGGCGUGUGUGUCUGUUGAUCGACGAUUAUAUGUUGUAUCCUCCGUAUCAUAUAUUAAGUGACUCAUGUUUCGAUGUUGUCUCAAAUAUUACAUGUACCAUACUAAAAUACAUUUAGAUACAUGUAAUAUUUUGGCACUUAAUAUGAGGCGGAAAGAGUAUUAUCUUGUAUAAAAUCAUGUGAAAAUAAAACAUCGAAAUGUAAUAUCAGCAUGGCCAAGAACACACGUGUUAUAUCUAGUUCUAAAAUGAACAUUCAUCGGAAGAAGGUUCCUUCAACAUUAAACAAAAGGACUAAGAGGAGAGUAAUUGAGUGUACGAGUAGCUGUCAAAAAAAAUUUGAGUAUGAUUAUAAGUUUGUAACUACAGAUGGAAAUAACAACAUAAACAGAACAUAGCAACAAUUGUCCACUUAUAUUAUUUCAUCUGUCAAUUUCUUUGAAAAAAAGGAAGACUCUAAUAACUUUUCCCCACUUGCACUAGAACCUCCAUCCCUUUCUUCCAAUGUAGCACUAGUAGAAAUGUUUUGGCACAGCUAGCUAGUUAUAGCUACAUGGGAAGAUCAACCCUGCAUGUUUUUCUUCUUUGCUUUGCUAUGGUGACUCAUGUGACCACCAUAUGCUUGAGAGGAGUUGAAAGUGGCAUUACACAACUUGCAUCUGUAGCCUGAGCUCAUGGAACCUUGCAUGACAUCACCACCAAAAUUUUCAUUUGGGCCACCUACUGGGUCCUCGCCUUCUCUUGGGGAACUUGGGAAUGUAGCAAAUGGACCAGAGGGGGUAGGAAUACCAUAAGGAUCUUCAUUACAAAGCGCCCCAUGUUGUAUGUGCUGUUGAAGUAUAGUAUUUGAAGUGAGGGGAUACUGGUUCAGAGGAGAAAAAAGAGAGCCCAAUGGCAGUGAGUUUAAUUACCUUGGUGAAUAGCCUUGUUGGGUUCUCAAAUAUCGGACCAGCAUCCAACGCUCCAAUUGUGUUAAGGUGGGCAUGUACACUGGCAAUGGGAUCUCCUUGGAGUAGGGAUGUGAUAGAUGGAGAUUCCAUAGACAAGAUCUGCAUUUGCUGCGAUGGGUUGAAGUAGUUCUCAAUAGGGGUUGUAACAAAGUCUUGUUGUGAGAAUAUUUCUUGAUUAUUUUGAGAGCUUUCCAUGAUAAUUGGUUGUGAUGUAAUGGUUCUGCCAAGAGAUAUAUUGUAACUAUUUGUAUGGGGUAACACGUGGAGCGGUGCUAAUGGAACAUUUGUUUGGUUUUGCAGCUUGGACUCGUUUUUGGCUGGCAUCAUGGUAGGUACUUGUGAUGCAUGUGAAUACGGUGGCUGGGUCAUAAGGGCUAAAAACUCAUUCAACGUUGGCUUGACUAGGGGGCAUCUCAGUGCUUCAUGCAAGGGGGAAAUAUUGGACUCACUUUCACUAGAUCUAGCAUCUUUACGGUAGGAGCCAUUAGGAUCCAUGGCUCCUAGACUAAGGAUUUCUGAUGGAAAGCUUGCAAAAGGGAUGAAUUAUCUGCCACGGUAAUGUAAACUACUUCGAUUGGGGCUAUUUUUUAGAAAGAAUAUUGCACUAUUUAUAGGGAUAUGAAAUUAUGAACGUGCUUGGUCUCAUGCAUGCAAUCUUUAAUUAUGACAUUAUUGAAAAGAUUUGACAUUUAUUCAUUACAUUUAUACAAUAUAUUGAAAUAUGAGUAAUUAAGGUAUCUAAUAAAUAAUAUAAUCAUGUAGGAUAUCACUUUGGAAAAUCCAAUCUUACCAUUGUUUGGCAUAAAUUUGUCUAAUAAAUGAUGUAAUCUUGAGGAUCUCACUUUGAAAAAUCCAAUCCUACCAUUGUAUGGCAUAAAUGUUGGCAACCACUUGUAAUUUCAUAGGAAAAAAAUUCAAGACUCUAUGAACGAAAUUUCCCAACAUAGUAUGGUGUCCCUGUAAUGUCUAUACCCUUCAGUUCCCUUCGUUGCAUUGGAUUGGUUCUAGAAAUUUUGCAUACCCCUCUCCGAAUUUGUGUGUUCUCCUUAUGACGAUCCUCGUAUGUUCGAAAAUACACCCUCAACUUAAUUGAGAUUGGAGAAAAAUUGUACAUAUUAUUAAAAAAAACAUAUAUGUAUAUUCCAAAACAUAAAAAAUCAUGAGUUCUGCUGUUUUGGAUUACAAACCGAAUUGAAUCAUAUUCCACCAUCAACAUGAACAAAAUAAUUAUGACAUUAUCUAAAAGAUUUGACAUUUAUUCAUUACAUUUAUACAAUAUAUUAAAAUAUGAGUCAUUAAUGUAUCUAAUAAAUAAUAUAAUCAUGUCAGAUAUCACUUUGGAAAAUCCAAUCUUAAUAUUGUUUUGCAUAAAUUUGUCUAAUAAAUGAUGUAAUCUUGCAAGAUCUCACUUUGAAAAAUCCAAUCCUACCAUUGUUUGGCAUAAAUGUUGGCAGCCUCUAUGAACGAAAUUUCCCAACAUAGUAUGGUGUCCCUGUAAUAUCUAUACCCUUCAGUUCCCUUCAUUACAUUGAGACUGGUUCUAGAAAUUUUGCAUACCCCUCUCCGAAUCUCUGUGUUCUCCUUAUGACGACCCUCAUAUUUUCGAAAAUAUGCCCUCAACUUAAUUUAAAUUGGAGAAAAAUUACACAUAUAAUUCAAAAAAACAUAUAUUUAUAUUCCAAAACAUAAAAAGCAUGAUUUCUGCUGUUUUGGAUUACAAAACAAAUUGAAUCAUAUUUUCCACCAUGAAUAUGAACAAAAUAAGCUUCUUCUCACGCAAUAGCUUUAUAAAAAGUUUCACACUUUGGGCACAAUUCUACAUUUUGCAAGAUCUAAAUAUGAUACGAAUUUAUAUUUCUGAAGAUAUGGAUUUUUUUUACCAAACUAACAAUUUCUUCAUACAUGGAUCAUAAAAUAAUUUUUCAGAUCAGAAAAUCACAAAUUAAAUACCAUAUGUAGCAAUAUUUGUUAUGAAGAACAUGUCAUAUUUUUUUUAUCGGGUACAUGCCAUAAAUAUUUUUGGACCAAGAACAUGUCAUAUAAAUUUUCUCAUCAAGAACAUGUCAUACACAUUUUUCUGGUCAAGAAUCUAUUUGUGCAUCUCCCUUGUUUCGGAACAUAGAACAUGUCAUAUGCAUUUUUCUAAUCAAGAAGGGACACAUGAGAAAUCAUAAAUGUCACGUUUUUUAUCCGAGAAAUGUUUUUUAACCUUAUUAUUUAUGAAGAAGAAAUGCACACAUAUAAUUCAAGACACGUCACAUGAGCACAUACGGAUCAUAAAUGAACAUGAUCACAUCACAAGAAAAAAAGAUCAUUUGGGGGGGGGGGGGGGGGUUAGCCGAUGUUUUUUAGAUCUGGAUAUGUACCUUGGACAAAUUUCAGUAGAGGGCCCCAGAUCCGGGUCACUAACUCGCUGGCUUCGAGCCUCAUAGGGGAACAUGUUGUAGCAGGGCCGGUCCAGGAAUACUUGAUGGCGUCCGGUGAGGCCACCCUUGCCACAGUGCCCGUCCCACUAGUGACGUCAACCAUCAAGUCGGCUCCCUCCAACACCUCGAGCGAGUGGGAGGCGGCAACGGCUAAGACGGGACCGGCCAGAGUGAGGCCGAGGCUCCAACACAUUGUAGAGGCCUGCGGGAACAGGAGGUUGGUGGUGGCGGUGACGAACCAGGUGUUUGGGCAAGAUGUCUGCUGGCUGGCGGGGACGAGACCAAUGGUGGCUCCGCUCGAGGAGACGGGAUUCGGUGGGCAAAAAUGAAUCGGUGGGGAUGAGGAUAAGGAGGACGGAGGAGAUGGGAGAACCAAAAUAUUGCAGAUAUUAUGUUUUCUAGGGCUAAGAAAAGCAAGAUGUGUGCACGAAUCUUGAAACAUUGAGGGCCAUUGGAUAUGCACAUCCUUCUAUGCUAGGCAAAACUUCGUUGGCUCUAUGAAUAGACUAUAGAAGUUUCCAGUUGCUUGGACUGAAAAGAUCUCUAUGCUUUGAUACAAGAAAAAAAAUACAUCAUUGCAUCUUCUUAAGAUGCAAUCCCAUGCAUUUCAUGGUGAACAAGGAAGGCUCCAUGAGCAGACCAUAUUAAUAUGGGACAACUGCAUAUUCUAUUCCUUGGUGGGAAAAAACAUCUUUAGGCUUUAAUAAAAAAAACAGAUUACAACUUCUAAAGAUGUAAAAAGGUGAAUGUUGCCUCAAUCUACUCUCCCAACUUUCAAAAUUAGUUACCUAUUUCAGUCUAACUUUCUUUUGACGAUGUGUACGUAGUGGAAAAACUAAUGGUUACCAUACACGAUGAGGUGUGAUGAUGUAUACGACCCUGUGGCCCAUCGCCUUUCCAUGCAAGGACUGGGUCCGACAUGAGAAGGAAAGUACCAUGUGACAUGCAAUCUAGUAUGAAUAGUAGUUAUGGACAAUCCCCCCUUAUCACAAUCAUAGUCCACGACUCUAGCGGACAGUUUCUUGGAUAAAAAAAAGACUCGGAGGACAACAUGAUGACUAGGCAGCGGCAAUUGGCGCAUCACAUGGCGGCGGCGGCGUGGACCGGGAGUGCCGCACCCCAUGACCCGCUGUGGCAAUCUACAAGAUCCAGAGAAAGUGUGUGAUUGGGAAACUGGAUACAGAGGAAGAAUGACAGAGAAAGAGGAUUGAAAAUGCCUUACCGUGGGCGGGAGAGAGGAAGAAGCCCUUCUUGGCCGACAGGAUCUCGGCCGCGGCGACCGGAUCCGCCGGCAUGCCGUGGCGGCCGGAUCCAGGCCGGCGGUGGCCAGAUCCACGGGCCGUGGCUGCCGUCAUGCGGGGGCAGGGAGGAAGCGGCCCCGGCAGCAUUGGGCAGGAGGAGCACCAUUGCGCGGGGCAGGGAGGAGGCGAUGGCUACCGUCAUGCGGGGCAAGUAGGAGGAGGCGCGCGGCCGGUAGGAGGAGAGAAGGGGGAGGGAGAUGGCAUGGUGGGGAAGGGAGGAAGAUGAGGAGAUCGAGGGGGAGAGGAGAUCGAGGAGGAGAGAGAAGAGAUAAGGCAGGGCUGCAGAGGAGACGGAGUCACAGACUCAAGGGGUGGGCACUAGGCAGGGGAAAGGAAACACAAAACAGCCACAUCAACGAUACGGUCCUCCAUUCCUCAACCAAUCAAGAACCAACAACAACUAGCAUUCGGGUUGUGCUUUUCUGACUGUGACCUCCAAUGGCGGGCUAAUUCAUUUUAUUUUUUAUUUUUAGUAUAAUAUAAUUGUAUUUUGGAUUAUAAUUGAAUUGCUUUAUAAGUUUAUCAAUAUGAUCUUUUUUGUGUGCAAAUUGGGCAUGAUUUUGAACCAUAUUAAUAGUACUUGCUUCACAAAAUACAAUUUUUUGCGUUAAAAAAAUGGGAAAACAUUUUUUGGAACGAAAACGUUGUAAAUUUCUUUAACAAUAUUGUUUGUCAUGAAAAGACAACACACGUCUGUGCAAAAAAUGGAUACAAUAUCAUGAAAUAUGUCAUAGAAAUGGCUGUGACUUUGGUCAUUUGGCUUGAAAGCCAUAAACAUUCAUACUCGAUAGUCCAUUUUGUGAAAGAAUUUUUUUAACAUUUGCAAAAUUUUAAGUUUACCAUUUCUCAUAGCAACUAGUACACAUAAAAGGACUCCAUGUCAAGAAUUGUCUUUUUUGACAUUUUCUUCACAUUAUUAGAAUUUUCACAAGAUGGGGUGAAAAUUGUCAACACAUCUUUCCAUACAAGGUGUUUAAUAUUUCAAUACCCUAUAUGAAUCUUACAUAAUUCUUACUUGGGUACCUUAAAUGAUUUUUUGAAAUUUGUAGGAAAAACUAUCACACACUUGUAGUUCAAAUUUUAAUUAAUUUUGGGAAAUCACUAAAUUCAUUUAAAUGGAAAAAUUAUAAAUAAAGCUAGAAACUUCAAAACCUUUGGACACAACCAAUUAAAUAUGUUCUAGUUUGUGUGAAAAUUGUAUACGUGCCAUUUUGAACCAUAAAAAUUGUACUUGCUUCACAAAAUAAUUCAUUUUUUGUAUUGAAAAAAGACGGAAAAUCGUAUUUUAGGAGAACGAUCAUGUGAUGUUAUUGUUCAAACGUGUUAAUAAGUAGAAAGAAGACUUCAGCAAAAAGAAUCGCAUUGUUUAGAUUUUUUUUGAAUUAGUCAUGAUUUUUGCAAGUCUCAGUAGUGGCGGGUUUGAGCUUGGAACAACCACUGGUAGGUGGAGGGUCACCAGCAGCGUUUGUGAGCUUAGAACAGCCACUGGUAGGUGAUAGGUGAUAAUUGAGAUUUUGGCCGAGCUCAGGAAGUGGCUGUGUGUAAUGAUUGCCGGUGACUUGUUUGGAAUGAGAAUGACCGCCACUGGUGGGGUCCACCAGUGGUCGUUCCUGCUGUUCCCAAGGACGGCCACUGGGCUUCUGGGAACGACCACUGGCGAGAGUUCAUGUAAGGGGUAUUUUGUAGUAGUGUUAUGACUCUAUUCACAAAUUCAUUCGGAUCGAACCUGAUUAAGUUCCUAUCCCUUAAGUGUGGUGUGGGAUCCUUUAGGUUCACGUCCACUCAGACACGACUUCGAAUUCCUCCUAAGGGCAACUCCUUCGGGGAUACCCAAUGCGUCCGUUUUGGUCCAUUUGUGUAGCGGACCGGACAGAAAAAGGCCGAGUCUAGCCUGAGUCCAUUCGGGUCAGGCAGCACGUCCAACGAGGUGACCCAUGUGGGAACCAAUUGGCAAAAAAAAUUUGGAUGAACACAACUCAUUAAUAAACUUGGUAAAUUUCAUUUACAAACAUGAUCCACAUACAAUAUUUACCACUGGAUUUGGGGACCGGGGAGAGGAAAGAGCUGAGGGAUCAGUUUUGCCAUCAGAUUUAGGAACUAUGUGGCGGCUACUAAUCGUCCUCUUCGACGCGGGGGGGGGGGGGGUUCUGCAGGCUCGUCGGCGAAAUAACAGAGGAGCGGCAAGCUGCGCAUCCACUUGCCACUCCCGCCUCUUCGUCUCGUGCUUCGAUUCCAUUUCAAAUCCCCGCGAGCUCCUCCUCCAAUUCCUGCUGGCGAGCGUCGUCCUUGACGUCGUGCUCCAAUGAGGCUUGGCAAGCAAAGAAGCACACCUGCUCCUUCUCUUCCUCGUCGGUCCGAGUAGCAGAGAUCCGGACGCAUGAGGGACUGACGCCGCCUCCUCGAUCGCCAUCAUCUCCACCUCCAACGCCGCUGCUUCAUCCUCAAUCUUGGGCACCCAGCGCGAGCCGCCGCCGCUCGGCUAGUCAAGGGCGACGGAUGCCUACUCCUAGCCGGGAUGAUUGCCUCCACCGCGGCCGACGUGCACGUUCGUUGAGAACGCGGAGGGAGGAGACGCCGAUGGAUCCAUGUUGUCGGCGAACCCUAGAUUUGGGAGCGAGUGGAGUGUGUGGGGGUGGGGAAAUGGGAUAGACGUGGUCCCCAUUAAAAUGGACGGAGGGGGGGGGGAGGUCGUGGGGUCGCUGGCAGGUGGGGCCGGGAAUGAGAAAGCGUUUGACGGGUUCUAACCUAGGUGGACGCAUGGACUGAGUGACCAUACAUUUCUCGGUCCGUGGGGACGCAAACCCGGCUCAGAUUUUGGGCCGGACUGCCUCUCCACGGACCGAAAAGCGGACGCAUGACCAAAUGUGUCGCCGCGUUUGGUCCGUUCGGGCCAAACGGAUUGGUCUGCCUCAUUUGUGUCGUCCCGCUGGAGUUGCCCUAAGUUCUCACCUCUGUCCUCGAGAACGACUACACAUCCCCUUAUCGACUCUUACUCGCCCAUGAGUUCUCAUACUCAAGUCGAUAGUCGGCAGUGGCUCGUAGCAGAACGUGUUUUGAAUGAUCAGUGAGCCUAAUCUUCUAUAUCUAACUAGAAGCAACCCACUACUUGAUUUUUCUAAACAUGCAAGCAUGCCACAUCAUCACAUAAUUAAUUUGUUCACACCUUAUUUAGUGAAAAACUCAUACUUUUGCACAUGCAUGCAUGCUACUUCCAUCAAGUUAUUCCCACUAAGUGAAGAAUGUACAAUUUUAUUAUAUGUUUUCAAUUUUGAAUAUCUUUAUGUUAACUAAAAAAUUUCCGCAACAACGUGCGGGACAUCGUCUAGUGUAACUAAGUGAAAGCAGCAUAUAUGAUAAUACAACAAUCUCAAGCACGAAGGCGAUCACAAAGAUAACAACGACACCAAUGAAACUCGGAUAGAAAUAACCGAAGCACACAGAGACGAAGAUUUAUCCUGAUGUUUACUCUCUUGGGAGAGAGCUAGUCAACGUUGGAGACGUGUGGGUUAUCAUGAAUGACCACCAAUGCCACUGAGGACUCGUCUUGUUCUCCUCUCGCCUCCUUCACGAAGUAGGAGCUCAAUCACUAGUGGUAGGUCUUGAGGUGACAUCCAAACCCUCACAAACUUCCCCAGGGCAAAUUCACAUCUUGGAAGUUUCCGGAAUGGGCUCCAAGUGUCUAGGAGUACUCGGAACUCUAAGAGUAAUAAAUCACUUGAUGGACUUGAAGAGGAACAAAUCUCUUUGGUGAGACGUAGAUCUAGCCUCUAGGGCUGUCCUAGCUCACACUGGCUCUCGUGACAAACAUCGUCACAUUUCUUUCCUUAUCAUUAGUAGUAAUAGAAAGACAUUUAUUUGACGAUCUAGACCGUGGAAGGACCACCAUAGCAAAGUAGCAAACAUAUCUCGCUUGUGAAACUAAUUAAGAAGACCGACGUGUAUAUGGAAAUGCCGUCGUGGGAGUAGCUAGCGUGCUAGGUCGACAUGAUACUGUAGCCGAGGUGCAGCACGGCACUCAAUCGAAGAGUCUCCACGCGACACCUGGUUAGCAAUAUUCGAUCAGGCCAGCGGGUGCAGUAUACCUACCUGGAGUUUGCUCAACGUAGAGCGUGUAGAAUUAAUGUGCCGAACUCAACUCCCUUGAUCUGUCCAAAUUAUUUUAACAUGUAUGCAAUGUCACGUCCCCGCAAAAAAAGAAAAGAAAAAGAAAACUAUGCACUGUUACGGACGAUGAUUCAUACGGCCGGACGUACAGGUGGUUAAUCAUCGUGUUAAUUAAUUUGUUCCCUGCUUUAACACGCUCGCAAAAAAACAAAUGUAGGCACUAUAUUCCGAAGCUUCGAAGCGCAACGGAGAUUGGCUGUUCCGUUCUCCGUGGCCAAGCAGAAGGGACGGCUGAUUUUUCUCCAACGCAGCUGGCGGCACCUACAGGUCGGCCAAAACCGGAACAACCAGCUGGUGGUGUUGCAACCUGAGCUUCUUCUGGUGAUUGGUGAUUUGGCAUCGUACGUACGGUGGUGUUGCAACGGCGACCACCACCUGAGCUACCUGGCCCCACAUUCAGGUUUCAGCUACCCUCCACGGCCAACUGGGUUGUGGACUUGUGGUCCCUCACCGGCGGUCGCAUGGAGACAGAGAGGUGGUCCUGUGGGCCUACACACAGACACACGGACGGCAGAUGAAAGAGCAAGAAAAAAUCUAGGAGGAACAAACGAUUAUUAGUUCUUCUGAAGAAGCCAAAACAGACGAUUAGCUUAGCCAUCAAAGGACACAGCCCAACGCUGCACACACAACAUGUAAAAGUACUCAAACAUGUACUUCCACAAGAAUAAACUGAGAACCAAGUUAUGGAUUUAAAUCUACCCAAACCAUAGAGUAACAAAUUAUGUUCAGAGAGAAUGAAAAUAAACCUCGGUUGCUUUUGUAAGGUGUUCAUGUAAUCUCCACUUGGAAAAAGCGCUUUGCCUCUUAUACAAAAGUACUCCAUCCGUUUCAUAAUUUUUGUCUCAAAUUUGUCCAAAAUUAAAUGUAUUUUUUUUAAAAUGUCUAGAUACGUCAUCGUGUAAGAUUUCGACAAGAAUUAUGAAACGGAAUGAGUACAAGCCCCGAUUACUGCCACCGGGUCCCACCAAACGUGGGCCCCAGCGACGAGCCACUCAUUAAAUAAAGAUCUCGUGGGCGCCGGCGCGUAAUAAAAGGAGACGUUGGAGGCUUUCCCUUCCUCCAGCCCGAAUUAAACCCCUCUCUCUUCUUCCUCCGCUCCAUUCCCUUCUUCGUCUCCACGGAACCCAAAAUCGGAACCAAACGCCAUCCCAUGGCGUCCUUCCGACUCCUUCCCCUCGCGCUGCUGCUCUGCGCCUGCCUCUCGGCGCACGCGCGGACCUCGCUCCUGGAGCAGACCAUUCGGCUCCCGUCGCAGCGCGGCGCGGCGGGGCAGCAGGAGGUCGACGAUGACUCCGUCGGGACCAGGUGGGCCGUCCUCAUCGCCGGCUCCAACGGGUACUACAACUACCGCCACCAGGUGAGCGCGAGCUUAGGUGCCAGCAUGAUACAGUUUAAUUGCCUAAUUGGUAGCAGUUACUAGUGAAGUACUCGUUUAUUGUAUCUGCGAUCCUCGAUGUUCCUUCCUGUUGGUUAAUUCCUUGCGUGCAUCGCCGUAGAAAUAGAGACUCGAAGAUAUUCUGUUCCGUUUGGCGUUACGGUGCAUUCCGGAAAUCUAUCUCUUGCCCCGUAUGGUUCACAUGUCGAGUAAUCCCACCAUAAUUGGGUAAGGUUUUGCGCACCCGGUUAAUUAUUCACGAACGAUUUCAUGGGGGGCUCAUUCUGCUUAUCAACUGGUUGCCGUCCUUUUUCGUCCACUCUUGUAUUUAGUACUGUUGUUUUGGCGGAGUGGGAAAAAUAAAAUGAAAUGAAAUAAAAUAAAGGCGGCGAUAUGAGUGGGCUGGAAGUAGUACUUCUUUGAAAUAAUAAACCUAGUAAUUACGGCUCAUGCAUCAUGCUAGUAUCUUGUUUAUUGCUAGUGAAAAUUUAAUAAUUUAAAUUAAUUGCACUAGUCAGCUAAAUGAUUUUAUUGGUGCGACAUACUGGCAGCUCUAUUGACACGAUUUCAGCUGUGCUUUUUUGUACUUUUGCACCGUCCCUUUGUCAGUGUUCCAAAUUACCAGUAGAGUACUCCCUCCGAUUCAUAAAAAGUGUCGCCCACUUAGUACAAAAUGGACGACACUUUAUGGAUCGGAGGGAGCACUAUACUUCUAUCCUAGUGCUUAAAUUUGGCGUGAUUAAUGGUGACUACGAAGUGUCGUGUUUAAUUUAGGGAUUGGAUUUUGCAGGCAGAUAUCUGCCACGCCUACCAGAUUAUGAAGAAGGGCGGCCUCAAGGACGAGAACAUCAUUGUCUUCAUGUAUGAUGAUAUUGCACACAACCCGGAGAAUCCAAGGCCCGGUGUCAUCAUCAAUCACCCCCAGGGUGGAGAUGUCUAUGCUGGAGUCCCAAAGGUAGUCAAUAGCCAUGCGUAUUAAUCCGAAAGUUUUUAUAGUUGUUAUAGUUGCUUCACAAGGGUGUGAUGGUUGCAGAAAAAUAUGACACGAUAACUUAGAAAUUGCAUAAAAGAAAUUUCAAUAGCAGUUUGUACCUCAUUGAAGAUGACUGAAUUGCUAAAUAUUCGUCAGUCUUGACGCCUUCUGCCAAUUUGUUGUGAAUAAGAACAAGCACCACUGGCCCAUCUUCUCCUGAAUUGGGACUUGGGAGGUGACGGGGCAAGAGUAGACUUAAUCAAUAGAGUGCCAACUUUUUCUAUGAUAAUGUUAACAUCUCAUUUGAACGAACCAAUUCCAAUCAUCAUACAUUGCUAUCCAUAAUUUACCAUCUGUUUGACUUAAUUUUCUCUAUUUUCACUUUCACUGUAGGACUAUACGGGGAAGGAGGUUAAUGUCAAGAACUUCUUUGCUGUCCUGCUCGGCAAUAAAGCUGCUGUGAGUGGUGGGAGUGGCAAAGUUGUGGACAGUGGCCCUAACGAUCACAUUUUCGUUUUUUACAGUGACCAUGGGGGUCCUGGUGUCCUUGGUCAGUAUUCAGAACCAACCAUUUUUUGCACUUUCUGUCUUUUGAUGUCCUUGGAAUUUAAUGUCUGAAACCAAUCAGAAUAGAUAUAUUAUGUAUAUACAUACAAAUCUCGAUAUGUAAUUAACUUAUUCCAUAUAUCAUUGUUUUUUGUUCUAUGAAAUUUUCAGGCAUGCCUACCUACCCAUACCUUUAUGGUGAUGAUCUUGUAGAUGUGCUGAAGAAGAAACACGCUGCUGGAACCUACAAAAGCUUGGUACCGAUCAGUAGUUUGGUUGUUGUUAGCUCUGCGUCUGGGUGAUCUGCUGCUUGAAGCAAUGACUGGAGAAGUAUUCAUGAUUCUCUUAUUUUGCAGGUAUUUUACCUUGAAGCCUGCGAAUCCGGGAGUAUCUUUGAGGGGCUUCUGCCGAAUGACAUCGGCAUCUACGCGACCACUGCGUCGAACGCAGAGGAGAGCAGCUGGGGGACGUACUGCCCUGGAGAGUACCCGAGCCCUCCGCCAGAAUACGACACCUGCUUGGGCGACUUGUACAGCAUUGCUUGGAUGGAAGACAGGUACUUGAUUCCUCAUCCCUCACACAUUUUUGCACUCACGUCGGUUAGUACUUUCGGGCAUCGUAAGGUAUAUUAUGUCGAAGUGAUGAACCAACUAGUACGGCACUACCUGCUAUGUUUCCUGAUUUAACUAAGAUGCUAGUGAGGCGCAUGUGUUUUCUGAAGGAAGGUGAUAUACAUGUUUUGAUUACUUUUAGGUGCACAAGCAUGACAAAUGUUAUGUGUAUAGCAUGUGGCCCCGUCUUACUGUGCCUUUUUCAAAGCAUGUGACUAUGUCGUCGUCGUCGUCGUUGUUAAGUCCCUUAACUACACAAAAUAAAUCUACUAUUCAGCUGUGCCUGCCCAGCUUAUAGUCAACUCUUUGAGCUGGAGCAAACCGUGUAAGUAGACACCCAAAAAUAGCCCAUGUGCUGUUGCUGCAGGCUGCAGGCUGCAGUCAGCUGAAUGCCAUGCAUGUAACUGCCCGACUUGGAGCUGUUCUGUUGGCUGUAGGUAGUCUGUCCAAUAAACAAGGAUUGCAAGUACAUAUGAUGGCCAUGCAGCUGCGGGCUUCAUUAGUGCUGUAGCAUACAUGUUAAUGUUGCAUACAAUCACAUUCUGUGAAAUUGAAACAGAAGAUCACUAAUAUAUUCUCCUGUCCGCUGUUAUGGUAAUGCUUGUAGCAUUUCCUCAUGUUAAGAGCCGAACUCUGAGUCAAAAUCCUUGAGUCAUUUGUUUGAAGGGAGAUGCCAUUUUAGUUCUACUCUAAUAGUAUGAAUUUCUAAUUUUGACAGCGAUGUCCACAACCUGCGAACUGAAUCUCUUAAGCAGCAGUAUGACCUGGUAAGUGCCUCCCAUUGUGUUUUGUUUUACCUUAACCUUGCAUCAAUUCUUGCCUAAUAUGAUGUAAUGGUUGAUCAGGUCAAGAAGAGGACGGCGCCUGAGAACUCAUACAGUUAUGGAUCCCAUGUGAUGCAAUACGGUUCUUUGGACCUGAAUGCUGAACAUCUUUUCUUGUACAUUGGGUCAAAUCCUGCUAACGACAACACCACCUUUGUGGAAGGAAACUCACUGCCGUCAUUCUCAAGAGCUGUUAAUCAGAGGGAUGCUGAUCUUGUUUACUUCUGGCAGAAGGUUCGCAAUUACAUGAGAAAUCUUCUGAUCUUGAUUUUACUGUCACAAGAUCUGUUGAUCUUGCCAUGCGUUGCCCAUAACAAUGGCAUCAUUUUGAUGGAUAAACUAACUGGGUGCUUUCUUUUAUUUUUCAUGUAGUACCGGAAAUUGGCUGAGAGCUCCCCUGCCAAAAACGAUGCUCGGAAGGAAUUGCUUGAAAUGAUGGCCCACAGAUCUCAUGUUGACAACAGUGUCGAGCUGACUGGAAACCUUCUGUUUGGUUCUGAGGAUGGUCCCAUGGUGUUGAAGACUGUUCGCACAGCUGGUGAACCUCUUGUUGAUGACUGGGGCUGUCUCAAGUCUACGGUAAGGCCUCACUUUACUUUGGUCGGUUAUGUAUCAGCAUCUAUGUUAUGUUUCUGCCAUGUUUUUCUAUUGUUUAAGUGUUGAGUCUGGGACUUGGGUCAAAUUUUGAAAAUUCGCUUGCAGCUGUUAUUGGUUCAAAAUUCUAAUCACUUAGAUUAGAGCAGUAAUUCGAUUCUUGCUGAUUUUUUUUAUUGAUUGACUCAUAAGUAGAAUUGCCUUAAUCUACUCCCUCCAUUUCACCAUAACUAUCUACAACCUUGAGAGUCCCUGUUCUGAAAUAUUUGUCAAUUGAGGGAAUUAGUAUAAUAAAAAAGAGGACCGAGGAUACUCACCGUACUAGCACCCCCAACAUGUUCUUGAGAGGAAGGUGGGAUUCGAUCGAACCGGGGUUGGUUUGUAGCAGAACCGUGUGCCCGCCUUAAAUAAGUGGGUGGCUCGGAGGAACUAGCCAACUAGUGAGGAUUGGGCCCCAGAUGGCUAGCCCACCUGUGGUGCUAGCCGGUAAGACCCUGGGUGUUUCUCCUGGAUUUAGUAUAGUUAAUGCAAUGUUUCCACACUCUACUCAUACUUUUUAUGUUAUCGAAUAGGUUAAGUGGUUGUAGUAUGCCAUUUUAAUACUCCCUCCGUCUCAUAUUAAAUGACUUUCUAUUACAUGUAUCUAGAUGCCUUUUGGGCAUAAAUACAUCCAUAUUUGAACAAACUUGAGUCACUUAAUAUGGAACGGAGGGAGUAGGACAUCAGGGGUAUACAUGGUCAUUUCUUGUCAACUCUUUCUUAGAUUUACUGUCCAUACGUAACUAGGUGAGGGUUUUACUUUUCGGCAAAGAAAUUAAUUUAUGGAUUGCAAGCUGUCGAGAACCAACUAUCUUAAGUGAUCCUAAUUACCACUAAAGGAAGGAGUGGAUGCGAUUAAAAAAAAAAAAGAACCAGCAUUUCCUGUCUACUUCUUGAUUAAUAUAGUUAUGAAGGCAUCUGCUAAUUUGUACCCGGUGUGCUCUUCGUCUAACAGCCAAACUGUAAGAGAAAGGUCGAUCAAACUUUUCAAGAUGAUACUUUUAGUUUGAAGCAUCGAGUGUUCUAGCUAGUUACUUCAGUUCCACAUAUUGCCAGCUCUUGAUUGAAUACAUACAGGUGUUAUCUGGCAUACGUAAUAUCUUUUGCCCCUGCACAACUAAUAUGCUUCUGCUUUUUGUUCAGGUCCGUGCUUUCGAAUCACAAUGUGGCUCUUUGGCACAGUAUGGAAUGAAGCACAUGCGAUCAUUCGCAAAUAUCUGCAAUGCUGGCAUCCUUCCUGAAGCGACAGCAAAGGUCGCGGCUCAGGCUUGCCCAAGCAUCCCAGCCAACCCCUGGAGUGCCACACACAAGGGUUUCAGUGCUUAGAUCAUAGGUUAAUCAAACUUAGUAUUUCGGAUACUGCACCAUACCAAUUUCCCUUCCUAUUCACACAGGGUUGGUAGUGCUUCAACGAACCUUGGUGAAUCAGCUAUGCGUUAUUUCAGCUAUUCUACAAUAGCAAGUUGCCUUAGUUAUGCUCGACUUAUGAUGUACAUAUACCAUAGUAGGAAGUGAUUUGGGAAUAUUACCUGUGAUUGCUGUACAUACUUGUGAUUGGUAAUAUGAUAUGUUAGAUAUAGCUCGCAACUCCCUGUAUGAAGAAUGCAUUCUUUCUAUUUCUAUGUCGCCUGAGUAAUCUCAUGUUGAACAUGACUGCCUCUUGUCGCUCUUUUAUCGACCAUUUCAAAUCCUGUUGUUCCGUAGCAGGCUUGUAGCUUCUGACUGCCUCUUGUUGAUAUCAGCAUCCAGAGUUUGCAUGUACCACAUCCUGACACAUUGUUUUGUUGUAACAUGCCAUCCUUAUUCAUUACAUGCGCUUUAUAAUUUUACGAGUAAAUUUCAACCAACCACAUUUAUUACAUGCGCUUUAUAAUUUUACGAGUAAAUUUCAACCAACCAUAUUUCUUGGUGCAGUCUUUUCAACCAACCACACAUUUUGCUAAUUUGUCUAGAAAACCACACUUUUUCGGUCUAAUUGUCUCAAGUAGCCCAAAACUGAUGAUUAAACCUGUUUGACAGUUUUCCUUACAUGUGGGGCCCAUUGUCAGUUGCCCUCUCGGACAGCCCGUUAACCCGUCCGGCAGGACCAGGCCGCCGGAGCCGAAGAAGAACCACAUCGCUGCAGAGGGUCAGUCCCCCGGCGCGCGAACCUCUCGUCACUGCCUUCUCCAGGCCACGGGAGCAGCCUCACGGCGUCCUGUCUGGCGGCCGCGGUGUUCCUCCUGCUGGCCGAGGCAGAGCCGCGACGGCGCUGUUCCUCCUCUUCAGCCCGCACCCGCCGGACAUCGCGGUCGCGCGGUGGAUUCUUAGAAAAAUCCUGGAGCAGGUCGCGGACACGGAAGGAAGGCGGAGGCUCGUUAAUUUGUCGCCGGUCGAUGCCGGCGCCGGUGUCGGCGUCCGUGAUGCGCACCAGGGCGGCCAUGCGCACGCCGUGGGUGCAGACCUCGGAGGACGCGAUGUUGCAGCGGAGGUUCGUCAGCACCGCAAACACCUCCGACAGCAGGCCCGGCCGGUCCCUGCCCACGCUAUAUUUGCAUCUAGAAGUUGCAUCCACCCAAAAUCGAAGGCAGAAAGAGCAAAAUUUCUUCCCUCCAUGGCGCUCGCCUCCAAUCCUGCUCCCAAUCCUCCAGUCCCACAGCAGCACUAGCAGUCGCGACUCCAUCAACCAUCACCUAAGAUUGCGCUGCUGCUGCUGUUGUAGCAUGCCGUGGAGCCGUGGAGGCCCAGGCCAAUCAGGCUCCGACCCUCCGCCGCCGCCCGCGCGCCCUCGCUCCGACCCGUCGCGGCUCGCGAGCCUUCCCUCCGCCACCAGCGCGCGUCCAAUACGAUCCGCUGCCACCCCCUUUUGCUCUACAUUUCUACAUUUCUAGACAUUCUGGUAGUUCGACCGCGGAAUUUUUUUGUUUCGGUAUCUCUGGAAUAUGAGUGUGCGACUUGUUAAAAUUGAUCCUAUUGAUAAUACAUAGAAAGGGCCUGUUAUCUCUAUCAAUAUGAUUCUAAUUCGUCAGAUAUUAUUUAUUGUAGUAUUUGGAACACGAAAUAGAUAGAGUGGAUCAAAAAAAAAUGGAACUAUGAUUCAUACCCACUAUUCAGACCUCGCAACCAGACUGAAAAAAUUGAAGUAGUUCUUAAUAAAAAAGAAGAAAUUUUCUUCCUUCCAAUUUUGUUUGCCCAAAAGACAACUUUAUUUUCUCUCCAUUUUGUCGAGUCAUUACACGGAUUCCAUAAAUGAUUAUCAAGUGGUUCUUAUUCGAAGAACCCUUGCCUUUUGUUUAGCUUGAGACUCAAUCAUCUUGGCUCUAGUAUGAAUCUAAGGUUUAAAUUGAACUGAUUCAUAGGAUCGCAACAAGAUAAUUUCUAUCAGAAAACUACAAGAAUAUUGGCUUUCUUUAUUUACUAGUAAAUAAAGAGUAAAUCCGCAUUACACACAAAAAAAGAAAUCAAAAAUAGGGAAGAGAAAAGUCAAGAGGCCUCUAAUGACCAAUAUAAGGGAAAGGAAGAAAGACAGAUGAGCCAACUUGAGAUUUUUUGGCAUUAGCAUUACAAAGAGGAUAUUCCGGAUUUUUCUUAUUUCAUAUUUUCAAGGCAAAUCGACCCAAUCCAGUGGCUGAUGAAGUUUUGAACCUUUUUUCUAAUAUUCGUUGAAAAUUUGUGUGUUUCUGCUUGAGCCGUACGAGAUGAAAUUUUCAUAUACGGCUCUUAGAGGGGGACUUAGGUUAGUUACCUAUCUCAAUAAAGUAUAUGAUUGGUUUGAGGAACGUCUUGAGAUUCAGGCAAUUGCAGAUGAUAUAACUAGUAAAUAUGUUCCUCCUCAUGUCAACAUAUUUUAUUGUUUAGGGGGAAUUACACUUACUUGCUUUCUAGUACAAGUCGCUACCGGUUUUGCUAUGACUUUUUACUAUCGCCCAACUGUUACAGAGGCUUUUUCCUCGGUUCAAUACAUAAUGACCGAGGCCAACUUUGGUUGGUUAAUCCGAUCAGUUCAUCGAUGGUCAGCAAAUAUGAUGGUUCUAAUGAUGAUCCUACAUGUAUUUCGUGUGUAUCUCACAGGUGGAUUUAAAAAAACCCGCGAAUUAACUUGGGUCACAGGUGUGGUUUUGGCUGUUUUGACUGCAUCGUUUGGUGUAACGGGUUAUUCUUUGCCUUGGGAUCAAAUUGGUUAUUGGGCAGUCAAAAUUGUGACAGGUGUACCUGAUGCGAUUCCGGUAAUAGGAUCGCCUCUAGUGGAGUUAUUACGUGGAAGUGUUAGUGUGGGCCAAUCCACUUUGACUUGUUUUUAUAGUUUACAUACCUUUGUACUUCCUCUGCUUACUGCCGUAUUUAUGUUAAUGCACUUUCCAAUGAUACGUAAGCAAGGUAUUUCGGGUCCUUUAUAGGGAAGGCAUAUCAUAGAGAAUUAGAAUUCUCAUAUAUAAUAUUGGGUAGGUUGUGGUAUUUCAUUGCUACAAACAUGGGUUAUUGUAAAAUAACACAUGUCAUUUGGAUACUUCUCUUCAACUCCGAAGUAUUUUGAUAUAAUACAAAUAGUUGAAGUUAAUUUUACAAAAGAAAAAAAGGCGGAUUAUGGGAGUGUGUGACUUGAAUUAUAGAUUUGGCCAUGCAGAUAAAGAAUUGGAUCUGCCACAUUAGAAUUCACAACCAAAGGUGUCUCCGCAUCCAAUCAACACGUAAGUCCCCUACCUAGGAAGGAUAGGCUGGUUCACUUGAGGAGAAUAUUUUCUAUGAUCAUACCCCAACCAUGUCAUCCAUGAAAAGGCUCCGUAAGAUCCCAUAGAGUAGAAAUGGAAUAAGUCAUGUGACAUGAUCCAAUUCUCUAUUUAUUACACUUACCUUUUUUUAUUAUGGUAUGGAAAUGCAUUCAUUUUCUUUGCAUCGAUUGUGAUUCGCAAUACUAUCGGAGUAAAAGAAGGGAUCUAAGGAAGAGCAUAGGCUAAACUUUUUGAUUUUUUUAUUAGUAACAAGUAAAUACUUUGUUUGGGCGUAAGAAACUUGCGAUAGUGAGGGGAUAAAGACCAACUAAUCAAGAGACAUGAGACAAUCCACAAAGCAAUUGAUCAUGAUCAAAUUUGUAAGCCCACUUGGAUAUUGAGCAUUUACCCAUAAGAAUAGGAUUAUUUUCAAUGAGUAGUUGUAGGUGCAACUUCGGAAAAGAUAAUCUGAUAAAGCUUUUCUUGCCUAGAGUCAUUGAGUAAUUAUAUACCUUAUUCUGACCUAGGGCUCCCGCCUCUGCCCGCACGUCUCCGCUCGGCCCCGACGCCCCUGUCCGGCUCGCCCGCCUCCGUCGCCGCUGAGCGCGUGCUCUGGCGCGUCUAUGCAGGCCCAAUCCCAAGCCUGAACAGUCAGUUGCUGGGGAUGAUGGGUCGGCUUUGCCGUCCGACGUGGCAACCGACAGUAGGCCUCACAUGUAAGAAAAACUGUCGAAAGGGCUUAAUCACCGGUUUUGGGCUACUUGAAACAAUUAGACCGAAGAAGUGUGGUUUUUCGGACAAAUUAGCAAAAUGUGUGGUUGGUUGAAAAGACUGCCGCAAGAAGUGUGGUUUCUUAAAAUUUACUCUAAUUUUACAGAAUAACUCAACAAUCGCUAUUCUUGGAUGAAAAAUAUAUUCGUAUCAUAUUAGAUGAUUAAACGCAUGUACAACUCCAAUUUUCUCCAAAAUUAUGACACGAGUCAUGCCUACUUAGGAGUCAUGCCUAUAUAUCACUGUAAAAAAUGAGUGCAGUAACAAAGAGGGUUGCAACAACUGUUACACAUACAAACUUCUGACAACCGAACGUUUUGUGCCUUGUAACAAACUGCCUUUUCUUUAAGCUAACAAAAUGCCGUCUUUGUUAUAACUUGUAAUCCAAUGGUUACCUCGGAAGCUGGACUGGAAUACUUAGAGCAUCUCCAAUGGGCUACCACAAAGGUAUCCAAAAUGUCCUAUUUAGGACAAACGGACAUCUUGCUGUUUACUGAGAAGUAACAUUUCAAUUCUGAAUCUUGCUGUUUACCGAGAAGAAACUUUUCAAGUCUGAAUCUUGUUGUUGUUUUGUCGUUUGUUUCAUAGCUUAUGGGGCUUUGAGCUGAACUCCGUUGGAAAUGUUUCGUGUUCUGUCCAUCUUAGAAUUCUUAUUAGAUGAUGACAUAAACCCUGCAAGUAUCACCGUCAUGCAAUUUCCUUCAUGGAUAAUCAAGUCUUGUUUCCAGACAAUAAAGCUUUACUAAAAACUUUGACAUGCGACAGAGAUCUUCAGAGACAAGCUUUAGUAAAAUCUACAUAUUGGCUUUCUUUUUAAGGCUGAUCAACAGAAGCUUUGUUUUUUACUCGUAUUCUUGACUCAAAUUUGUUCAAAUAUGAAUGUAUAUAUUCUUAAAAAAGUCUAGAUGCAUGUAAUAUUUCGGCAACAAUUUAGGAUUGGAGGGAAUAGCUACUAUGAGAAAAAGAAAGAAAGAUUAGAGAUGUUUUUGCUAAGAAAAAAAAAGAUAUUUAGAGAGAGAAAUUUGUGGGACUUUGUUGGGUGAUGUGGACGGACACCGGCAGACACAUGUCCAUUUGUCCCUCCAAACGGACAACGAAGACAUUUUCGGACAAAAUUUGGGGUUUCCAUUGGAGAUGCUCUUACCAGUUAUCAAAGACCAUGCUAUGAAUUGAAACUGAGAGAAUUAUUACCAUUUUGCUCUUUAUUUCCUUUGGCACAGCAACGCAAGACAAAGACCAUGCUAUGAAUUGAAACAGAGAGAAUUAUUACCAUUUUGCUCUUUAUUUCCUUUGGCACAGCAAAGCAAGACAGACGGUACCAUACCAAUCCAGCUCAAAGUGUGAGUAGACCUCACCAUCACCUUUGCAAGCACAUGCCAUGCAAUAGACGCAACAAAGCAAUCGAGCCCACCUGGAAAAAAGACCAAGCAGUAUCCGUAUAAUUUCUUCUUCUUUUUGCGUAUGUUGCGCUGUCAAUACUCAAAACGUUUAGCAGUAGUAUAUGCUAAGCAUGGUUAACUUUGUAAUGCAGCAGCAGCAGCAGCUAGUAUGAUCAAUUUUCUUGAGCCCCUCAUCAUACGCAAAAAGGAUUCCUGCAGAACCUUCCAAUGACAUUCAGGUUGGGACAACUGAUUACUGGUAUUCAUUAUCGAGCUAAGACUAAUCAUGUGGAGCAUACUGCGACAGAGAUGCUGAAAGGUUUCAAUAACUAGGAUUCGUGUGGGCUGGAAAGCGAGCCGCAAUUCUUGGAUGAAUCAUAGAAGAGCAUAUUAAUUUAACAAUGCAAUCAUGUACUCGUAGUAGGUCGCCCAUAGCAGAGGGCAGAGGACACGGGCAGAAUUCCACAAACAGAUUAGAGAAGAAGUGAAAACGUAACGUGCGCGGCAAUCUCUCCUGACGACGACUUAUCAGUUACCAAUUCGACAAAUAUGUGGUAGGAUUACAGGAACACCCCGGCAAUGAUUUGCCUUCACACAUGGUCCACUGCGAAAUGAAGGCACUGGAAAUUAACCUUGAGAGAGAAGGACCAAAUAUGAGCUUCAAGAAACUGAAAGCUACCAAGUGCAAGUAGAAGGUAGUAUGUGUAAGUAAUUAGCUUGACUUGCAGACGAUUGAUUAGGUGAGGUUAAAAUGCCUGUUUGUGUGGCUAUUUUAGACUUGACAGCUGUUUAACUAGUGGCAUCGAUCAAACUAUCAAAGGUUGGCAACCACGUCCUCCUAUGAACGAGUCUGGCACACACAGCAUAUUGAGAGCAAUUUCCUACCUAACUACCAACCUUCCAAAGCCGUUGUUAAGUUUCGAGCUCUCACCUUUUCUCUUUCAUCUCCGAUUCAAACCAAUUUUUUUUGGCUUGACCAAAACAAGGUCCAGAUUUAACUACGGAAUAGGUAAACUUCACUGUCUUCCACCUUUGUUUUCUCUAUCUCCUUAAUCGCUUUCGCUUUCGGACGGAGGCGAAACAGCUGUGCUCGCCUUGUCCACAAGCCGUCGUCGUCCACCACGUACCCGACCCGACCGGCUCGCAUGUGCGAGCGAACCAUCGAAUCAUUUUGUUUUUCUCAGUGUCAUCUGAAACUUGUUGUGCUGGGCGUGCGACGCGUCAGCGAGCACAAGGAACCGACAGAUCAUCGUCGUGUGGUGGUGACCGGAUGAUGGAAGGGGAAAAGAAAAGAAUAUCUACCGGCCGCCGAUGAUCUCGUGUUUGUUUACCUAACGGAUAAACUGGAAGGAAAAACUCGAUUGGUUGAUUGAUCAAUUCAGCGGCUGCUACUGCUAGGUGUGAUGGUACCAGCCCCGCCGUGCUGUGUUUCUAUGUUGAUUUCCAAGUGUCACUUGGGCGAUUCUGCGACGAAAGCAGGGGGGGUUACUGCUAGACGUGGCAGCUUCUUUUUGGGUGCUCUUAGAUCGACGGGCGGAGGAACGGACGGACGUAGGUAAAAGGAGAAAGGAGCGGAGUGCGGGGCGCAACUCCUUCGCUUCGAGGCGAAGCAAGGCAAAGGAAAGGAGGGGGGAAGAAGCGAAAGGCAAAGGCGGUAUCGCUAUGUUUAGCAGUGGGUGCAGGCCGCGGCAUCCACGUAUGGCACGCACCAAAAGCCGUCAUGGCCGGUGGGGGACGUUACCGCCGCUUUGCACGAUCAGAGCCACUGCGCUAGACGCGGCUUUGUUUGUUUUGGCGUCUUGGGCUCGCAUUAGACGCGGCUUUGUUGAUUUUUGCGUCUUGGGUUCGUUGGUCCUGCAGUGGCCCGAGGACAGACUAUACGUGCAGGAGGGCCGUGUGAUGCGUGGCCGGCUUCACAUGUGAACGCCGUAAACCAUGCAAAGCCAGCCGCAAUCUCGCGGCGUACGAGCAGCCGCGAAAGCACGAAUGCAAAUUCGAUCUUGGCACUACGGUCAUGUACUGUUUAAUCAUCAUUUGAUCAUUUUCACCGGAAUGUAUGUAAAUAAAACCUUCUUACGCGUUACUAGUACAGUUACAUUUUACCUCGACUUUGAAACUUGUUGCGUAAAGAAAGGACAAGAUCGAAACGUGCUCAUCUAGCAUUUGUCGCAAAACUCAGAUGCCGCCUGGAAAAUUCUGGAAUAACGCGUCAAGUCACCAUAGGCCGGGGCAGGGCAGCUGUCACCCCCGACCCGUUAACCCGCGACUCCGGCCCAUAAAUACCCUCACACCCAGCGCCUUUCCCCACAACCAACAAAGAUCCCUCCCACUUCCCUCUGUUAUACAAGCCCUCGCCGCCGCCACCACCCAGAUCACACUUUCUAGCCCUCGGCUCUCCUCGCCACCCCCAACCGAAGCAAUGGCCGCCGUCGCAUCCAAGGCCCUGGCCGUCUUCGCCGUCCUGUCCGCCGCCGCCCUCUCCGUCGUCUCCGCCCAGGAGGCUCCGGCGCCGAGCCCCGUCUCCGCCGCCGGCGUCGCGGCCUCGCCCUUCGCCGCCGCUCUCGUCGCCUCCGCCGCCGGCUUCCUCUUCGCCGCCGUCCGCCACUGAAGCGACCGCCUACCUUCGGCUCCCGUGCCGAUGGCUCUGCUGCUGCUUAGUAGUAUCACUGCCUAGAUCCAUUUAUUAUUUACUAUUGCCACUAGCGAUUUGUUCGUUAUUCGUGUCAUUUUGCCCAGAUCUACUAUCAUCUCGUUUAUUAGAGAUUGUACCCGUGUGCUUGUAGAUACUUCUAUCUAGUGCUAUUUAUCCGGUUUGAUUCUACUGAUAUCACCUCGCCCACCCGUUUAAUUUUGAUUAUGCUUUGCCGUGUCUUGGUUCAGCUAUUAUGUGUCGUUUAAUUUCGUUCUUAACUACCGUGGAUACACCAGUGCUGUGAUAUCUGAAAUUCUGAAUGAUUUUCGUGACCGGGAUAAUAUUGUUCUCAGCGUCUCGAAAGAGCAGGAACUACUGUAGUCCCAAAUCUUCGUGUGUUUGUUUCCGUUCACCGUCUGACCAAAACGGAGCAUCGAUCGAUUCGAGGUGUAACAUGUGAAUCACUGAUUUGCCACACAGAUAUAAAAUUGAAGAAGGCGACAAAGAUUCGAGUAGACAAUCCACAUGGCUGAUGAGGGAUCUCAUGGACUCGGGGCAUGGGUCUCUCCCUCUGACUGACUGACUGCAGUGCUGGUCGUUUGGACUGUCUGUUUAGCAGUCAUGCAAGUUUUGGCAGAACGCCAAACAAGAGCUGUCAUGCAAGUUUUGGCAGAACGCCAAACAGGAGCAGUCUGACGGCUUGCCAUCCGCAGAUAGAUCAGAUCAGAGAAAACUAAUGUGAAAAUGCGCAAUGGACGGUUUAUGUGAGCUGGUAGAUCAAAUGCCAUUUUCUCCUGUGCCGUUGUGUUUGGUGUGACCUGGAGUAGUGCAGUCUUUGUUUCAGUUCAUUGUAGCUUGGUUAUCUGAUCGAGGCAUCGAGCUGUUCGCGGGCAGUUCAGGACUGAGUCCCAGCCUGACUGGACGGACCCAGCACCAGGGUUAAGGUCGGAAACAGGAGUAUUUGGCAGGGUUGGUGAGUGUACGUGUAACGUGUUGCGAGGGACUGCGAUUGUAAUGUGUGUUCUGAAAAGAAAAAAAUACGAGGCUGAAUUAAACACAGCAGCCAGCAAUCGGCAACCACGCAAAUAAGAAUUGUACGGGCUUGUCUUUUUGCUCCUGCUACGGUGGUAUACUGUACAACAUCAGUCUUGGGCUUUCCGCUGAUCCCAUGCCGCCCUCUACUAUGUUGAGGACGGUUUGCAGGAAUCUCAUAGGAAUUUUACAGGAUUUCAACCCUUAGGAAUUUUUCCUAAGUGUAGCAUUCGUUUUAUAGGAAUGGAAGUGUUAGAUUCCUAAGGAUUGAGUCCAAAUUGAUCUAAUUCCUAAGGUUUUUAAGCAUUAGGUAGGAUCUCAUUUUAAAUUCCUAAGGAAUGGAAUGUCAUGCACACUCCAAUCCUUUACUUUUCCUAUCCCUAUGGUUUCAAAUUCCUAUGAACUGAAUAAGCCCUGAAAGGGAUACCACCGCGAUAUCUUUCCAGAUCUACAUUGACUGUUUUGUGCCACGUAGUGCAAAACGUCUUGUAUGUACUAUUCUUCCGUUUGUCUCAAAUUUGUCAAAUAAUGAAAGUAUCUAUUCCUAAAAAAUCUAGAUACAUGUAAUAUUUCGACAAGAAUUAUGAAAUCGAGAAAAUACAAAUCAGAUCGAUCGAGUGACAAGGAAGUGCAUAGACCUGUACUUGUUUUUGGUAACAGUAGGGGAAAACAAAUGGAAGGCUCCAAAUUAAAGCUUCCCGUUCCAAACGGUAUUGACCUAAUUACUUUUUCCGUUCAACAAAUGAUGUCUUAACUUUGACUAAAUUUGAAUGCGUAUAUACACAAAAUCAUGUUUAGAUACAUCUAAAUUUUGACAAACUUGAGACAUUUUUUAUUGGUUGAAGGGAGUAUGAUUUUUUCUGUAUUCUGCAGUCUGCCUCUUUGAUGUUGGCGCCGGGAAUUGCGAACGACGGUAGGAGUCAUUGGUCGUUAUAGUAGGAAAGUGGAGUAAGCUAUACCAGAGACUUCCUAGACAGUUGACACUUACCAGGGAACAGCGAGCCAAGAACUGUAGUCCGGCCCUAAACAAACUCAAGAUAAUUGCUACUUAUGAUAUUCAUGAUUCAACAAUUCCCUCCAAUUCAUAAUAACUAAAAGGGAUUUAGUACAAAAUUAAAGUUGUAUUACUCCCUCCGAUUCUAAAUUGUUGUCAAAAUAUUACAUGUAUCUACACGUUUUUUAAGAAUAGAUAUAUCCAUAUUUAGACAAAUUUGAAUCAAGAAUUUAGGAUCAGAGGAAUACUAACUUUGUAUUAAAUUCUCCACACUUAUUAUGUACGUAUCAAAGGAAGUACUAAACUCAAACAACAAAUUAUUGAACAUGAACAUCAGUUCAUCACGUGGUUCCUCCGUUUCAUAAAAUAACUCAUAUAUAUCUGUGCACUUGGACCAAGACAGCUCUCAUUUCUAGCGUCUGGCCAAUUUUAUUGGACUAAGAGUAAAUGAGUAUGAGUACUUAUUGGCUGGUUGCUGGAGCCAAGAGAAAAACAAGAUGUAUUGUGGAUGAAAGGAGAAAGAAAUUAUAUGAAACGUUUUGUGGAACAGAGAAAGUAUUCAUUUGAUUUGUAUUCAAGUCAUCGCAUCACCUAAUUUGAUUUGUACACUAGAUGACAGGGAUUUUGAUGACAACAUCCCUAGUCCUUUACCAUCAUCUCCAAUUGAUGAUGUUGCUGCACAAGACAAGCCCAAUGAAUUUAGAUUUGGACCAAUUACAAGGGCACGUGCAAAUAUGGGUGAAACCGGAUCGGAUAAUUUCUGGCCGGAUCCGGUUCCGGAUCCAGUCGGAUCGGAUGUGGAAGAUGCAUUUUCUUAUCCGGACGGAACGGAAACGGAUACCGGAUAAUUCAAUCGGAGUCGGAAUAGGAUAUGAUAUCGGUAUUAUCCACGGAUACCGGAUUAUCCGUUUUCUAAUCGGAUUAUCCGGCGUGUCCAAUUCGGAUUAUCCGGUUUUUGUUAUUUGGCCCAUUGAAAAAAAAGGCCCAAGACCCAGCUUUCUAUCUAGGAUUAUGUACCCAUUAGUUUGUGUAUCAUUAAGUGUUUGAGUUAUUAAUUAGUAGGAAAGCCUCACACUUUGCUGGACAGUGGACACAUAGAGAGAUCACAAAGCCUGCAAGUUUGAUGAAUCGGUUAGUUUGUGUAUUAUUAAGUGUUGAGUUAUUAUUUAUUAGUUGCGGCAUUAAUUACAGAUCUUGCAAGUUUGAUAAAUCGAUUAGUCUUGCUGGACAUGUAGAAAAUUCUGAAAUUGUUCAGUCUUAUACUCUUAUGAAAGGAGAAAAAUGUGUUGAUGUGGUUAUUGUCAGCUUAGCUUUUAAAAUGGGGUCUUUAUUAUCUUGUAUUAACCGUUCAUGUUUGUCUACAUCCGGUCCGGCGCCGUCCCGCUACCGUACCAUGCCCGUUUCCGCUAUUUUCCGCCAUAUUCCGUAUUUGUUUCCGCUCCGCUUCUGAAUCCGAAAAAAAAUAUGGAAUAGGAUAUGGUAUGGCCAUUAUCCGUCCGAAUCCGAUCCGGUUUCACCCCUACGUGCAAAGCUACUUGAACAACAGGUGAACUCAGUCAUCUCAAUUGAAUCUGAUGUUUUACUUGAUGAGAGCUUUAUACUAGCUAAGUCUAUGCAUUUAUGUAUGAUCAGAUUCGAGGAUAACACAAGCAUUGCGCGUGGAGGAGGAGAGUUGCAGCAAGAUCCAUUGCCAUUGAUUUCCAAUAUCAAGAAGAGCGCGAGUGAGGAGAGGGAGGUCGGCGCACCACAUCAAGAGAAGGAAAUCCAACGACAAUAAAAGGUUACGUGGCUGAUGCUAGGAGAAGUCCUAUGACACGUCAAACAUGUCUAACGCAUCAUCGCACGUUGAGAGAUAUGUGACAUCCAUAUUGAUGGACUUGUAUCAAGGAAAGAUGAGUGUGUGUUGGCGAACUCGUCGGCUAACAAGGACACAGGGGACAUGAUUUACCCAGGUUCAGGGCCCUCGAUGAGGUAAUACCCCUACGUCUUACUUGUCGGAUCUGUAUUAAUGAGUCAUUACAAUGGGGUGCCGCAGAGUCUAGAGGCACCGAGUCAUCGAGUGCGUCUAGGCAACUUGUAUCUAAGUUGCAGGUGUCCUCUUGGUUCCCCCUCCUGAUCCUUUAUAUAUGCAGGAACUCAGGUCUCAGGUAGAGUCCAAGUUGAUUACAAUGAGGAGAUAUACUCUAAAUAACCUUUCUUGUCUUUAGUCACAAGAUUUGGCAUGUAAACUCCUAAAGUCAAGGUAGGCUUCCUUGUGGGCGCCCAGCUGGGCUGUACCGGGUAUACUCGAGUCGAGUACGUGGUUAGUCAUAACCACGUCACAUAGGGCUGCCAACGAUAUGUUGUAGUUGCCUAAGUGUGUGCACAAAAAGAGUUGGGCCUGCGUGCUUGUUGUUUGGGAUGAACCCCACGUUUUGGGUCAGCUUGUAUCAAGUUGGGAUGAACCAAGUUCGAGUCCGAGUCCUUUUAGGCUGUUGGACGCCCCCCACCCUUAUAUAUGUUGGGGUGCGCCCUAAAUUAGGGUUAGACCACGUUUAGAUUAAACCAAAACCUUUCGUUGAACUGCUGCAAGCAUUCAUCUGAAAUUAUACAAUUCCUCUUUGUUUCGAUCAGGAAAUUACCUCCACCACUUUGUUUCGAUCUGAUGUUUGCUACUGAAGAUUCAAGUGUUAUCUAUUGUUCCAUUGGGAAUUUGUAGAUUGCAGAACCGCUUCGUGGUCGGCGGCUACGUGUGCAAGCAUGUGGUGUUGCGAAUAUCAAAUAGGAUUGAGAAUUGUUGCAUUGGCAAUGAGGGAGAAACCAGAGAUUUGUCAGCGUAUCGCGAGUUAUCAUCCAUCAACAACGAGCUCAACGAGAAGAUCGGGCCACCCCUUAUCAGAUUUGGCCAUUUAGGGGAGAGAACAGUGCAGAGCCACAUAGAAGCAAGCAAAGUUGAUUACAAAUUGGGGGUACUGGCAGGAGGGUUAUGGCGACCUAGCGUUGCAGGAGCCCAUCAUUCCUUCUUCAUCACGUUUUUGGAAGGGGUGGCGAUGGCGGCCAUUGGAGCCCACGUGGGCGGCCGCCGCCGCCAUUGGAGGCGCCCAUUUGAGAGAAACAAGCAGACGAAAAGAGAAACGAGCAGAUAGGGGGACUGGGAGCAAAAGAGAAAACGAGAGGUGGAGAGAGGGGCUCAGGAGGAAGAAUUGGCCAUCAAAGGCGGUCAGAAGAGAAGCAGGUGGCGGUGUACGGGCAAGGAACAGAAAGCACGUGGAAAGCUAGAGAUAUAGCGUGUUGGGUGGAGAAGUUCAGUUGAUCCGCAGUUUUUUAUACGGAGUUCGCAAAUAUGAGGUAUUUGUUUAGGAUCGCGUUUUUUCUAUGGUUAUUUGUCAGCCCAGUAUAUGCGGGAUCUUCUAGAGAUGCUCUGAUACCGAGUCGUGUCAGGAGUUUUAGCCUUGUGGAGGUAGUUUCACCGUUGGGAGGUGCGCGUCUGUGUGGCCUGUUGGUAGGAUUAUCUGUUUUUCGUGUUUGUUAGGGUUUCCAUUUGGUUCUUGUUUGAAAGGUUUGAGGUCACUAAUUAUCUCACUCAUGUCCGUACAAGUCUCAUCCUCUGACAGGGUUGCUAUGAAUUUACGAUAUUAUUGUUAUUAUUAUUAUUAUUAUUAUUAUUACUAACAAAAAGCCCCGUGCGUUGCUACGGAAGAACAAAUGUGACGUACUGCGUUCACCCCCUGACAGUGGUGGCAUUAUUAUUAUUAUUAUUAUUAUUAUUAUUAUUAUUAUUAUUAUUAUUAUUAUUAUUAUUAUUAUUAUGUAUAUGCGCGUCGAGUUAUCACAAUGAAACUUGGUUCCAGAUUAAUCUCUUGAAGAGUUUGACGAACAAUCUCGUCUUGUUUCGUUGAGCUGAUAUAUUUGGAGUACCAGAGUGGUGGGAAAAGGAAAGCGUGUGGCUGCGAGGUUUCACCAGGCCAGCUCUUCUUUUUCUUUUCUUUUGGGAAGGAAGGACGGUUUUAAAAGCAAGCACACGCUGUGUGCGUGAGCGUGAGAAUGCCUGGCUGGCGGUCCCUCCUUGGCUGCUUCACAUGGGCGGGCGGCUGGGGCUGGGUUCGUUCGUUGCGAACUUGCGAUGCGGCCACCUUGGUGUGUGUGGGCCUGUGGGGGGGACACAUGGCCAUCGCUAGCUCAACUGACAAGCUGCGAAUCGUUAAACAAAAGAAUCGGUUUACGGAGGGAAAACUACUGCUCUGUCUCGUUCAGUUCACAGAGAAUCAUGUACAUGUGUGAUAUCUGUACUGUAACCGUGGGUCAAUAAAAAGGGUUGAUUCCGUGAGCCGUUACGAGAGUCGGUGCUAUCACGCCCGGACAAUACGUGUCGAUGGCUUGGUAGCUACGGCAUGGAACUGAAACGUGACCCAAGCACGGAGCAUCCUCAGGCCUCAGCCGUAGCCCGUAGGGUCAGCACCCAUCAGCGACCAAACUGUUGGUGAAAUCCGAUUGCCCUGUCCGACCUGGCGAACUUGCCGUGCACGACGGGCUGGAGAACUUGCGCUAGUAGAGGGUACGAGAGCUCCGACCUUGAAGGUGGAAAAAUGUCGAGAAACAACAAGCAGCAGCCAAACUAGCAUUAAAAUGGUUGAACGAGCGAAAAAGUGUGAUCAAGGGGAAUGAUCAAGGUACUUCGCCGCUCCACCUGUCUUCCUGGGUACACUGGAGAGGCCGUCUCGCCGUUAUGCGUUAUUACAGAGGGCACAAUCUAAGCUUAUCCCCGGGUUUGUCGUAUGCAGAUUCAAGAUCCCUCUCAUGCCGCUCUCCUGAGCGGCUCUGCCAACAAUGGCACAUGGCGACAACAGGCAGGGUCGCAGGUUAGAAGCAAUGAAAGCUUUUUUUUAAAAAAAAAACUUCUACCGUGACAUCAUUAUAAUAGUAUAAGAUGAUUCAAUAGUGCGAACCAUAUAUCCACUAACAAACUGAAAUUCCAUGUUUUCUUUGUCACGGAUGCAUACGGUUGUAUUUUUUAGAUUGCAGCGUUGAAUCAUCUUAUACUAUUGUCAUGACGUCGUGGUAGAAAUUUCAAGAUUUUUUAGAACUUUUAUAUUGCUUAACCCUCCAUGGGCGCAGGUUAUACAUGUGUACUGCUAGUAAUUCUAGCUAGUUUUCUUAAUGUUAAUCACGCACUGUUUUGAACUAAACAUUAUGUACAUAUUAUAUAUGAUCUGUAUAAGGGACUCUUAUCAGCCAACCAACUUCCCUAGCGAGAGCGUGUGCAAGAGCGAGAGCGCGAGGGCUCGUCAUGAGGAGGCUUGGCACCAUUUUAAGCAGGAAGGGACGGGCGAUCUCCCGAUCGCGGAUGAUGGUGGUCGUCUCGUGACUAAUGAUUGGAUUGAGAGUCAGCGCUGGUCGCUUGGUCGAUCUUCGACGAAUCACGCACCAUUGGAGAGAUUUGUUCACACGUGUGUGACACAGGGGGUGGCGGAGGCGCUCCGUGUACCGUUGGAGUCAUACCGUAACCCUAAUUCGAAUUCUUGUGGAGACUGGGCUGGUGCCGGGUCCGCCAUUGCCGUCGGUGCAAUUGGAGAAGUUUCGUGGCAGUAGGCCUUUUAAGCCUUGUGUGGUGGUGCAUGUUCAUGGGCCGGAUGUGGGGAUUGGCCACCAUGGAGGUCUGUCGGAGGUGGGAUUGGACCAUUCCAGUGGACAGGUGGCUGCGGGAUUCCCAGACCACGGAACCAGGGUUUCAGCGAAUCCCGGGUUUGGCGUGACAUCGCAUAUACUAGGAAGAUGCGGGGUGGUGUUUGUUAGGGUUCCAACUCGCCUAGUUGCAUCUGUUCCAGUUGUUUCGGUUCCACCAGUGAGAUACGGCGUCGCGGGCGAUUCUAGGUCAUACGCGGCUGUUGCGGCGAUUCCUCCACUUCCAGUUCGUGAGCCAGGACGACACAUGGAGAGAGAUAGAGAGGUCGAUUACAACCACGACAGUUCCAAGGGGAUCGGAGAUCUCUGCCGCGUCCCGGACGCGAAGGUGGUGCGCGCGGUCGAGGCCGCGGUCGGCAAGAUUGGCGAGAUGUUCCUGAGUUACGGAUUUGUGAAGAACGGCCGUCGGGAAGCAGAUCUCCUCCGCGCUGAGCGCCGGGCGGAGGAGCGGAGGUUGGAUGAGCUUCGCCGUAAAAAAGAGCGCCGUCAAGCUGCUGAGCGUUGCAGAUUGGAGGACAUCCGGAGGGGAGAAGAGAUCCGCAGGCUGGAGGCGCUGCAACGGGAGCGGGUGGAGCGCGAGGAGCACGAGGAACUGCGAAUGCGCGAGGAGCAGCGGAUCCGCGAGGUGGCUCUCGAGAACAGGCGCCGCGAGGAAGCUGCCGACCAUGCCGCCUAUGAUCGGCUGGGGCAUCGGAGGGAGAUCUGACAUACCAACGUUACCUCUUCAAGUUCGUCCUUGCCAUCGGCUCCUCUGGCUAGAGGUCACGCUGGUGCUCUUCGGGAAGGUCAGGCUGCAAGCACUUCGUCUGCCAAUCUGAGGUAUGAUUCUGCUCUAGCUUCAUCGGGGGAAAGUUAUGGACAUAAGAGGGCAGUUGUUUCUGAAACUGUUCCUGUGAUGCCUGUGAUGGAGAUACCUAUACCUCACAUCCCUCUGGGAUGUGGGGGUUGCGAUAAUUUGGGAAAUGAGGUGAUGCAGUGUCCUGAACGGAAACCAUGGGAUUAUGUGGCGCCAUACUAUGGUUCUCCAGAAUUUGAUCAGGGCUUUUAUUCGAUUCCAGUUCAUAGGGCUAGUGUUGCUGUUAAGGAGAAAAUGUUCUAUGGCUUGAUUACUGUGAUCAAGGGGCCGGUGGGUGCCAGAGAUAUUGAAGCUAAGCUUCAGGGCCUUGCUGGGCCAGAAUGCACUUGGCGCUUUUUUGCUAGAUCUAUCACUGAUUCUCAAUUCCUGGUACGCUUUCCCACUGAGAAAUUGUUGUCUGAUGUUUCUUACUUCCCAAGUGUGACCAUGCGCUCAAUUGCUAAUGCUCUGAUGAAAGUGGAGAAAUGGAGAGAUGAUAUUCAGCCCAAAGCUAAGCUCCAGGUGGCCUGGUUUAGGGUAGGGGGCAUACCAUCUAGUUUUAGAACUAAGGAAAUUGCUUUCUUUGUGGGAAACCUGGUGGGCAAGGUCAAAGGAGUUGACAGGAGCAGUUUAUUUAAUGAGGCUUAUGUCAGCGUUCAGAUUGCUUGCAAACAUGUGUCAUUGAUCCCUGCUACAAGAGAGGGGGAGAUAGAGGAGGGCAUCUAUGAGUUCACUUACACCAGGGAGUUACCUGGGGAACCAGCCAGGGUGAAUACGGAGAUUCAGGUGUCUGAAUCGAACUGCUAGAUGACGUCGAGUGAUGAAUUCAACGAUUCCAAAAAAACUAAGAGAUGGAUGAAAUUACGCAAGGAAUCCAGGUCUCAAAAAAAAAGGAAAAUGGGGAUAUGGCGAAAUCGGUAGACGCUACGGACUUGAUUGUAUUGAGCCUUAGUAUGUUGGUGGGGGUACUACUUCUGAUGCUCAAACACCAAAGAGACAGAGGAUUGGGGAUACCUGUACUACUACUGCUUCUCAACAAACCAAUGUUGGGUGCUCUACAGUGGAUUCUUCUCAUAUUCAUAACCAGUGCAUGACCAUGAUUCCAUACGAUUUCGAAAGGAAAAACAAAGGCAUUAUUAUUCAACAACCCCAAACUCUAGCUCCUGUUGCUGAGGAAGUGGAAGAGGAUGAGGAGGAGCUAACACUGGCUGACAGAGUUAGAUUGCUAGGUUAUGGGGAUUUCAGCCAAUGUCCUUCUGGCAUUGGAGAUCCUGGACAGUCUUCUUCUGGUGGCACUAAUGCUCAGAUGCAAAUUAUGGUGCAUAAUCAGGUUCCUCUGCUUGGUGACCUUCAACAUACAGUGGCCAAAUCUUUUGCAAUGACUGACCCUUUGAUGGCCCAGAUAACAGGAGAUGCUCAGGAUACCGGGGGGGGGGGGCUAACAUAUCUUUCAAUAGCUUCAUGGCACAGCUUUUGAAAUCUGGAAGUGAUAAGAGGUACAUGUGGGCUGGGACCUAUGGAGAUGUUGCAGGCUAGCAACCUGUUGUGGAACACUCUGCUGAUAGUAGCAGUUCUGCACCUUCUCAAUCUGGUAGUUCUGAAGGUCAUAGUGGCAUGUCUGUGGAAGUGGGUGAAGAAGUGCAUACUGGAAUUCCAACAACUGUGAUUCAUGAGUUGGAGCAUGUUGUUGACCAACCUUUCAGCUCUUAGGAGGAUUCUCAGCAGGAUAUUCCCAUAUCUCAAGAGGUUCAAGAGGAGGCUUUUGUGGAGGGGGCAAUGGACAUCCCAAUUUCCCAGCAUGAUGCUCUUGCUGUUUAGAUACCACAGAUCAGGGUCAGUGAACGAUUGAGGAACAUGGGUGGAGGCAAUACAAGAGGUGCAGCUCAUGCUUCUUCACUUCACACUUCAAGAACCAUGGAAGGUACCAAUUUAAAUUCUGUUAAUUCUUUUGCUAUUCUUGCUGAUGAUGAGAUUCAGUCUAGAGCUCUUGAGCUUGGUAUACAUGUUGAUAGUUUAUCUUUAGAUACUAUUCAGGUCAUGAAAGAAUUAGAAAUUGCUAGACAUAAUCUUGAAUUAAAAAAAAAACAACCUCAACCAGCUGAGGGCAUUGCCAUUGCUGAUGGGGAAGUAAUCAUUUUAGACUGGAAAAAAGAUCAUGUGGAUGAAGAGGGAUUCACACCUGUCAUAUCUAAAAAACCCCAAAAGAAAUGCAAAUAUGUGUGCAAGGUGAAGCAGGCUGGCAACAGGAGAAGACCAGUCUCCUCCUCUGUAGGGACUGGUGCUUCAGCUCACUCUGAGUGUGAGUCUUUGCCUGUUGUCAGGAUAAGAAAACCAAAUCCUAAAUAUCUAUGAUUGGGCUCAUAUGGAAUAGUAGGGGUGUGGGUAAAAAAGGAUUUAAGUCAUAUUUGCAGAAUGUGAUACAGGGUUUGGAGGUUGAUUUUCUGGGCAUACAGGAGACAAUGAGGAAGACUUUCACUGCUGGUUUCUUUAGGGGCAUUGAUCCUUUGAAUCAAUUUGCCUGGAAAUGGGUUCCAUCUUAUGGGAAAUCUGGGGGCAUUUUGGGAGGAUUCAGGAUUGAAAGAUUUGACAUUCUUGAUCACUCCAUGGGGAGAUAUCAUAUCAAAGUGAAGGUGUGGGAUACGAAAUUGAAGUUGAAAUAUUAUGUUAUUAUUGUGUAUGGAUCUGCUCAGGAAGAAAGGAAAGAUGAGUUUCUUGUUGAAUUGGGAGCUGCUUGUGGAGAUCAAGAACUUCCCAUGCUAGUUGGAGGGGACUUUAAUAUCUUAAGAUUUGAUAGUGAUAAAAAUAGAAACAGGAGAAGGAGAUGUAAGAAAACUGAUAUGCUCAAUGCUAUCAUCAAUACUCAUGAGCUGAGGGAAAUUGUUAUGAGUGGAGGACAAUUUACUUGGUCUAAUAAUCAUGUUAUUCCUACUUUAGAGAAAUUGGACAGAAUCUUGGUAAGUUCUGAUUGGGAGGAUCUCUUCCCUUUGAUGACUGUGAGGAAAUUAGUUAGAGAGCUCUCUGAUCAUAAUCCUUUAAUCAUUGACACUAUGGAACAGGCUGAACCAAAAAGAAAGAAGGAGUUUAGAUUUGAUGUUAGCUGGUGCAAACACCCUGACUUUUUGGAAAGAGUUAGAAAAGUCUGGGAGGAACCUAUUCAAGCUGGAGAUAGCCUUGGGAUCAUACAGGGGAUGUUGAAAGAAGUUAAAAAUUCUAUGAAAGGUUGGGGACAUAAUCUGAGGGGCCAGUUAAACAAAAGGAGAAAAGAGUUAGCUGAUGAGCUACAUGAUCUAGAGGAAAUACAACCUCUAUCCACUGAGAUGCUAGCCAGGAGAGGUGAUAUCAAUGCUGCUUUGUUUGACAUAUAUGAUGAGGAAGAGGAAUACUGGCAGAGGAAAGCUGGGCAGAACUGGCUUCAGAAAGGGGAUAAUAACACAACUUACUUCCACAGAAUUGCUAAUGGCAGGAAAAGGAAGAACACCAUCUUUUCUUUACAAAAUGGGGAGGAUGUGAUACAGGGUACUUAUGCUUUACUUGAACAUGCUACAGAUUUUUACAAAAAACUUUUUGGCCAUGCUGUUGGUUUUCAAUGUCAGUUGAGGGAGGACAUGUGGGCACCUGCUGAAAGAUUAACUCUGGAGGAACAGGACAUGCUUGAUGUGCCAUUUACAGAGGAAGAGGUGAAAGGCAUCAUUUGAUUCCAUGGAGAAGAAUAAAGCAGCUGGUCCUGAUGGAAUUCCUAUUGAAUUUUAUCAAACCUGUUGGGAGAUUAUUAAAGAGGAUAUGAUGCACCUUUUCUCUGACUUUCAUGCUGGAACAGUUGAUAUGAGCAGAAUCAAUUAUGGCAUUAUUACUUUAAUCCCAAAGGGAGCUGAUGCUGAUGCCAUCCAAAAAUAUAGACCCACAUGCUUGCUCCAAGUUCUGUUCAAAUAUUUUUCCAAGGGAAUGACUAUUAGGCUGGGCCCUUUGAUGCCCAAGCUUAUUAAUCCUUGUCAAAAUGGCUUCAUAAAAGGGAGAAACAUUAUGAAUGGUGUGUUAGCUUUGAAUGAGAUACUCAGAGAAGCCAAGUGCUGUAAACAACAAGGGGUGGUGCUGAAACUUGAUUUUGAGAAAGCAUAUGACAAAGUCAACUGUCAAUUUUUGUUCCAUUGUGCUCAAAUGAAAGGUUUUAGUGAUAGAUGACUGGGUUGGAUCAAAGCAAUAGUGACUAAUGGGACACUAAGUGUUAAAGUUAAUGAAGUCCUUGGACCAUACUUUGGGAGUCAUAAAGGUGUCAGACAAGGGGAUCCACUAUCACCAUUCCUGUUCAAUCUGGCUGCUGAAUGUCCUUGGACCAUACUUUGGGAGUCAUAAAGGUGCUGAAUGUCUUGCUAAAACUAUGUCUGGGUUGAAACUAAACUUCCUAAAUAGUGAGAUUAUGAUGAUCAUACCUGAUGAUGAGAAGUGCCAGGGUUAUACUGAGAUGUUUAAUUGUCAGACAGGAGAGUGGCCUAUAAGAUACCUGGGAAUGCCUGUCAGUGUUGAUAAAAUAAAAGUGGCUGACUGGGUGAUGUUAGAGGAUAAGUUGGAGAAAAGACUGACAGGUUGGAAAGGGGGAGCUUUGUCCAUUGGUGGCAGAGUAACUCUGCUGAAUGCUUGUUUAACAGCUACUCUCAUCUAUCAUAUGUCAAUGACCUUGUUACCUAAAACUAACCUGAGCAAAAUGGACAAGAUCAGAAGAAGAUUUCUGUGGCAGGGUGGGGAGAGAAAAAGGAAAUAUCAUUUAGUGAAGUGGGGACUGAUAUGUAGACCCAAGAUAAAAGGGGGGCUGGGUGUGAAAAAUUUAGAAUUAUUCAAUAUCAGCUUGAUGUGCAAGUGGUGGUGGAAACUAGAGGCAGAGUCAGGACUAUGGCAUGACUUGAUCCAACAGAAAUACUUGAAAGGCAAAGGCAUAUAUAACAUCCAGAACAGAAUUCAUGAUUCCUUCUGCUGGAAGAAUCUGUUGCAAGUUAAAGAUCUAUAUCUGAAGGGGAGAAGUGUGAUCAUAGGAAAUGGAAAACUAACUGAUUUUUGGGGGGAUGCUUGGUGUGGCCAAAUAUCUUUUGCUCAGCAAUUCCCUAGGAUAUAUGAUAUCUCCAAUGAGGUGGGGCUGACAGUACAUGAGGUAGCUGCUAGGAGAUGGAGAUUGACAUUCAGGAGGUGGCUGGAUGAGCAACUACAGGAGAAUUACAGGAAGCUGAGAGAUAAGUUGAUGGGUGUGCCUCUAAAUGAUCAAAGAGAUACUUCAAUAUGGAACUGGUCUAAAACUAGUAAAUUCACGGUUAAAUCGAUGUAUGACAUGCUUACCUAUGCUGGACCACACAGAUCGUUUAAACACAUCUGGAAAGCUAAAAUUCCAUUAAAGAUCAAAAUCUGGCUAUGGUUAAUCUGGUACAAUGCAAUAGCAACUAAAGAUAAUAUUAAAAAAAAAAAUUGGGAAGGGGACACUACUUGUCGUUUUUGUGCCGAGGAGGAAACAAUUCACCAUCUGUUUUUCCAGUGUGCCGCUGCGCAAUACACCUGGAGUGUUGUUGGUUUGAUGCUGGGAUUGAAUAAUCGACCCACUUGUUUUUCUCAUUAUUUUUGGUGGAUGGAGACAUCUACAACGGUUGGGCGAAACAUUCAGGUGGCUUGGUUAGCUGCUAUGUGCUGGGCUUUGUGGAAACUUCGAAAUAGAGCUUGUUUUGAGAAAAAAAUGAUUAGAUCACCGGCUGAAAUAAUUUGCCUGGCUUGUGCAUAUAUGAAAUAUUGGGCAGGACUUCACACGGCUGGUGAUGAUGAUCGUCUGCGAGCGGGAGCUGCUGCCUUACAACAGGAAGCGUUGAAGCACCAUCCAGCUCAAGCAAGGAUCGAUGUACCCAGAAUCCAGGGGCGAGAUGAUGGCGAAGAUGCACAGGAGAGGUCGGCUGACACCUGAAGGAAGAUGGUCAUUGAUGGUUCAAGUCGCAGCUAGUCUUUUUCAACAAACUUUUAUGUGGCGAUCCUCUGUAUUGCAUGUAAUGAUCUCCUACUUUGAACUUCCCCUUAGUGGGCUUUUGUGUAUGUGUGUGUGCUGGACUGCCCCUGCAGGCAGCAACUUAUUUUGCUCGGCGGCGUGAACCUCUGUUCCGUUAUCUUGAUAAUGGAACCCGAUCGAAUGAUCGUAUGGGGAAAAAAAUGAUCUGUAUAAAAAAAAUUAGUGCUGCGAUGUUUUUGUCAAUAAUUUUGGUAAAUAUUACGAGAUCUUUUUUGUACUAAUUUGUUGUAAAUAUCAUGUGUGUUUAAUCGAUCGGUUAUACAUACAGACCCCUGAUGCUUCCUACGCUUCAAAACGACCGUCAAAGCAGUACCAACACAUCUCUGAAAUUUCCUAGAGGACAAGGGUCUGAGUUGACACCAAGCGUCCUAGAUGUGCUAGUCACUUUUGACGAGUUUUAGGCAAGGAACCAUCAGAAGUACUAGAUGGGAUAGCGGCCUUUGCUGCGCCGUAGAGUUUAUCAACGAUCUUUCCGGAAUAUAGCUUAGCAUCUCUUCCUAAUGACAGUGCAAAGAAAGUGCACAGGGUAAUGCUCGCUGGAUGAAAGAAAUACCUUCAAUGGACUGAAGAUAUAACUCUUAAUUACAGUGCUAAGACCAAUAUAGAACAAAUUUGACAACGAAUAUAUUUACAUAUUCACACCUAGACAAUGGCAUCUUAAAUAAAUAUAUUAGACUGAUUGGUGGCAAGACUAUGCCAAAGAGAUAUUCAGAAUUUGGACAAAUGAAGCACCAGAUUCACUUGAAGUAGCAUGAACACAAUUCUGGCCAUAAAACCUAAUUAGAACUUGCCUCCGCAAACAAAAAUAAGUUUGAUAAUUUACCCCAAACACAGCCAAGACAAUCUUUUCGGCAAAAGCCAUUGGACCUGUUAUAGAAGAUGGUAAUCUCAUCAGACAACAAUGCAUGUCCUUGAGCGAUUUAGAUUUAGAUUGUUUUCCACCAAAAAGUACUGGAACUGAAACUUGAUCCAAUCUCCAAUCAGAAUCAUCUAAAUGCUCAAAUUUCACGGGAAGUCAACAAAGGUCAACAAGGUCAGUCGCAAAGAGUUAAGAAGAGGAAAGUCAAACCCAUGACGGCACACUGUAUUAUCUUAUCAUGAACUGUGAUGUGCCCAAAGCCUGAAGCAUUUCUCACUGGAUAAAUUUGUAUGACUGGAAACUUGAAACACAUUUGAUAUAGAAAUUUAUAAAGAAAGUACAACCUUUUUAUCCUUCUCAACAUCUCCAGGCUGACCUCAGCGUCAGCAUCACCGGGCUGGAUCCUCUUCCCGAGGCCUUUGUUCCCCCACCAGAGGCUCUCCACCAUCAUCUCGCCGCACCACUGUAUUCCCUUGGCCAGGUUCUCAGCACCCGUCGCAAGUGAAUAUUUUGAUACAUGGCAAAAAGAGACCACCUCUAUCGAAAUGAAUCAAGUAAAUAUAGUUAACACCAGGUUAAAAUUAUAGGUGAAGGGAGUUUAGGAUAUUCAGGCAUCUGCAGAGAGCUGCUUCUUUUGCUUCGACAACUUUGCUUGCAGUUUGUCGAUCUUUUGUUAACAAGAUAUUGGAACACUGCAAAUGCAACAGGAGACAAGGAAAUGUUAGGCAAUGGUAGUAGUACCUUACAAAUGAACUCAUCGAGGCCGGCAGUUUUACCUUGAAGUGAUGGCGUAGCACACGAUUGCAGUGCAGAUAGCUAAGGAACAAUAGCAAUUGUGUGAACCACCAGCAAACCCUCUUCAGAUAACACAAUUAGUAGUACCAAACAGGAAGGUAAGUUUCUGAACUCUGAACAAUUCCUUGUCUACUGCUCAUGUCUGUAGGUGUAAACACUGUAAACACUACAGACUACACCAGUGUUCUUACUUCUUCAGAAAAUAGGACGCCCCUUGCCUUCUUGAUCUCGCCGCUCUGGUGAACCCCUAAUUAAGUCAUCAGUAACUAAAAACCAGCGCAUACCUCAAAACGGAGAAUUUUUACAUGUGGUGGCAAGGAAGGCGAACGGCAAGAGCUUACAUUUCACCUCCUUCGCAACAACUUGUAAAGAUGCACGCAGAGGUCCUCUGCAAGUGACCACGCAGUAAGUUCAGUCUGUCUGGGCGUCAUAAAUCGAGAGCACGAACAAUCCCAACCAAAUUUACUGCUUUCGAAUGGUACUUGCACUACCUCGUCGACCCAUCCGUCCUUGCACUCGAUGAUGUGGGGGUUGCUGCAGAGGCUCGCCAUCAGAUAUAUCUGCAGAGCAAGCGUGAAAACAAAAGCUUCAGAAUCCAUUAGCUGCCAACCAAACCAAUCGUCCCCACGAGACAGCUGUUACCCGAGUGGGGAAUUUGCGAGGGUUUAAGCUUCUGGUAAUUAGAGUACCUCCUGGUAAGCAGUCCGCUAGAACGUGUCGUUGUGCUUCGACAGGCGGAUCUUCUUCAUCACUUACCUACCGAGUGAAAACACGAAGAAAAAGAAAAGAGAAGGAGGAGGAAGGAAGGCGCGGUGUGGGAGUAGGUAAUCCCUCGUUUGCCUAGAACAAAUUCAUGUGCUCAAGCAUCAGCGCAAACAAAGGGAAGGAGAUAACCUCCAACGGCCGCGCUUCCAGCCCCUGUCUCCUCGUCGCCAGGCCGCCGCGUGUCCAGACGCCGCGGGCCUCAUCUCCGCCCGGCGCGUCGUCAAGCCGCCGAGCCGACGCGCGGCUCCGCUCCCUGACCAGCAGCGCCCCCCGUAUUCUGCAGGCUGGCUCUCACUGCAGUACACAGCGCGCACACCGCGUCCUCUGCCUCUGCCGGCCCAGUGCCGCCACCUAUCUGCAGGUACGAUGCGAGAUCCACCAAGGGGCGCCGGUUCUGCGGAGAGAAUGGAGACGGCGGCGGCGAUUUGGCCGUAGGAAGCCGGAUUGACAGGAAGCAGCAGCUGCAGUGGUGGGGAUGAGAAGAGGGACGGGGGCGGCUGCGCUGGAACAACGAACGGGUGCGAUCACAACACACCAACGGCCAGGAUAGGAAAACGUGGACACAUAAAAAGAGCCUCAGAUCCUCCGCCUUCAGAGAAGAGAGAUAUUUAGAGUCAAGUGCGACCACUCCUCCGACGCUUCCUUAUCUCAGGGGUUAGAGAUGAUUUGACUCCUCUGUACGAGCAUAAGAGAUGACUCCUCCUGACGCUUUGGCUUUGUGCGUCAAAAGUGGCCAACUUUGUUUAAAUAAUACAAAUUAAAUAAUCAUGUUUGAAAAUAAUAAGCGUUUUUCAAAACUUUCAAAAACCUAGCAAUUCGACUGAAAUUAAGACACGACUGAAAUUAAGAGAGCAAAUUAACAGAAACUGGCUACAGAACUGAGGCACGAUUGGACUGAAAAUAAAAAAUUUCGUCCAAUCAUGCCUCAGUUCUGUAACCAUCAGUCAAUCGUGGCUCCGUUCUGUAACCAGCUUCUGUUAAUUUGCUCUCUAAAUUUCAGUCGAAUUGCUAAGUUUGUGGACGAAACACAAGCUAUGUUCAUUUAAACAUGCAUUGACCAUGCAACUAAGUAGCUUGGGGAAGAUUUAAACAUGCAACUAAGUAGCUUGGGGAAGUUGAUUAGUUCAGUCGGAGAUGAUUAGUUCCAAUCGGCUUGGGCGAAACCAACUGGAACUAAUCAGCUUCGGCCAGACCAACUGGAACUAAUCAGCUUAAGCUGAAACUAAUCAGCUUCGCCCAGACCAACUGGAACUAAUCAGCUUAAGCUGAAACUAAUCAGCUUCGCCCAGACCAACUGGAACUAAUCAACUAAUCGGCUUGGGCCAGGCUGACAGGCCCUAAUCGGCUUCGGUCAGGCCGACUGGAGCUAAUCGGCCUGGCACAAACCGAGAGAGUUAUUUUUGAAAAUUCUAAAAAACGUGUAUUAUUUUCAAAAAUAAUUAUUUAAUUCGCAUUAUUUAAAAAAUAGCUCAAAAGUGAACUUAAAGGAAUGACGAGUUUUAUAGCAGUGGAUUCAUGUGAAUUUAGCUUCAUUUCAGCACAGGUAAAAAUUGUCAUGAAAUCCCAACUAAAUGGUAAAAUGCAGCAAAACAUUUUGACUAGUGUAAAAGCUGUCACGAAGUCAGAACUAGAGGGGCAGAAGUGGAAUUACUCCAAAUUAAAUACUCUACCAUCAUACAAGCUCCUGAAAGACAACUGCCGAGCAUAAAAUUGCAGCCGGCGCACAAGCUGAUUUCAUGUGAUUGCUUAAAAAUUUAUUCUUCGCAAGAGCUUUGACAAAUGGUAGAUCCAAAUGGUUAUAAAUUAUCGACGAGGCAUUUUAUUUUGUCCCAGUACUGCACCGAAGAUUACUAGUCGACUCGGAUAAAUGCUUAGAAGUCAGGAAAUUAUGUACAAACUGUUGCACAAUCACCUGGUGACUGCGCGAGUCCGCUUGAUUUGGCACAGAAUCUUUCUUUUUAAUCAAUUGCAGUUCACAUUAACCAGAUUUGGGGCACAUCUACAGCUCGUCGCGGGGUUCCGACUUGGCAGCUUUAACAGGCUGGUGCUCAAGCAGGUAGCGAGCAGCCAAUGACGUUUGCAUGGCCGCGCCAUACGGCAUUGCAUCCUCGUUGAUGGUGAAGUAGGGAGAGUGAUGAGGCGCCUGUGGUCCGCGGGUCUCGUUGAGCAUGCCCACGAAGUAAUAGUAUGUCGUGGGAACGGCUUCGGCAUAGAAGGAGAAGUCCUCAGCACCCAUCAGUGGCUGCCUGUCUCUCACGUUGUUGGGGCCAACCAUCUCACUGGCCACCUUCCCAAAGAAAUCGUGCAGCUCCGGGCUGUUGAUUGUUGGGGGGAAGAAAGGGCGAUCUUUCUUGAGGAAGUCCACGACAGCGCUGCACCGCUGCACAGAUGCCUGUGACACUAUGACCUGAGACAAGAAACACAACUUGCAUAAAGGUUUAACAAUGAAUUGCAAUAUCAUACCGCAGUCAAGCCACAUCAAUGAGGAUCUCGUUAAAACAGUGAAGUAGAACGACAUGUCCGUGAAAACUAAAUCCACAAUUUCAGUUUUAGGGUUAUGAAAAGAUGAAAACUAAAUCCACAAUUUCAAUUUUAGAGCUUUUAAUCAAUUUUCGUAACUCAAGAGAGUAUAAUGCCAAGCAGAGAAUACAGAACUAAACGACCAGAAAAAACACUGAAAAAUUCUAAGUUCUAAUGCUGUUACCUCUUCAAUUCGUUGUUUCAAUUGAUUAAAGCUCUCUUUUAAAAAGGCUCGGAAGGUGCCACCUAUUGUAACCGAGUCAGGGAUAACAUUGAAGGCUCCACCUCCUUGAAACUUUCCAACUGUUACCACCUGCAAGACAAAGCCAACCAAUGGAUGGAAAUAAGACACUGGAGUACAGAGGAAUGAUUACGACCACUACCUAACUAAUAUAGCAAUGCUAAAGGGGUGACUAGUAAUAUCCCCACUUACCAAAAUAGUGCUAGUAACGAAUAUCUAUAUCCUAUAAUAGUAACGAAUAUCUAUAUCCUAUAACAGCCCAGAACAUGACAAGGGGAACAUGAUGAAUAGAUAUAAUCUAUAAUACUGUAUUACUGUAAUGUGCAGAAAAUCGUUUCAUGCAUGAAAUCAUGAACAGCUAGAUCAAACAGUUCAGGAGUGAAGGUGGCAAAGCUUGAAUGAUGAAGCAUUUGAUGAUAGUUAUAUGCUAAUAACUAUGGAGAUGACAGUUUCCAUGUAAGGAUGUGUAAUUCAUUAUCGAAAAAAAAUGUUAGGAUAUGAUUAGCUAGCAUGCAGUAAAUCAGAACCAACAGUUUUCCAGAAGAUGGUCUUGUUAAUCCUCAGAAUCCUAAAAAGUUUUGAUUGUUAGCAAAUGGGUUUGCCGACAGCCCGACACACCAUUAGGUUCACUUGUAAAUUCCAAGCACAUGUACAUUAUUCCCUUUCUUUAGUCCCAUAUAACACUAGAGUGAAAGCAUACAUGGAACUUCCACCAAAAUAAACCAUUUAAAUCACAUAAAUAUCUAUACAGCAAAGGCCAAUAAAAAACUAUGUAAUUCACAUAAGAUGUACACAUCAUUAAAUGAAUUGAGUAGCUUAAGGAUUGAAUGGCACCUGUGAGUCCAAGGGAUCAGCUUCUCGGGAAACAAGUUGCUGAAGGCUAACGAUGACAUUCGAUGCAGCCAGUAUCGGAUCUAUAGUGUGAUGAGGAAGUGCAGCAUGCCCUCCCUUUCCACUUAUUACUGCCUCAAAGAAUCCACUCCCUGCCAUAAUAGGCCCAGGCCUGGAUGCCAGCACACCGAUAGGAACAAUGUCAGCUACGUGAAGCCCAAACAUGGCCUCUAUGUUUUCCACAGCUCCAUCUUCUACCAUUUUCAUUGCGCCCCCACCGCCUUCCUCAGCUGGUUGGAAAAGGAGAACUACAGUACCCUACGGUAAAUAACAAGACAUUCAUAACACUGAUAUUUCGGGGUUAAUUAAAUUUCAUGGCUACAAGAUAGUUUUGUUUUUUUGGCUGAGGAUUGCAAAAUCUCAACAAGAACAGAUACUUCGGCAGCCACAUGGUUUAGUUUGUGUAGGACAAGAACACAGACCUAUAGGGAAGUGGGGACGAAACAAUUCUUGCAGCAGCUGUAUGCUGUCUGACCAGAGCUAAAUGAUCAAUUAUUGACCAACUGAAUGACCACGCACAUUUUCCAGGAAGAGUGUCAUAAAAAAAAUGAUAUCGGAAGGCUGGUUUGAAACAUCAACCAAUGAAUCACCAAAUUUGUGCAUCUGUUGAACAGAAGUGUCGAGAAAAGGAGAAACCCAAAACCAUUCCAACUAUCAUUCGCCAAAAUCUCCAAAGCAGUUCAUAAAACCUUGCAUGCUGGAGUGGGAAUUAAGCACAUGCCAAAUUUUACCUCCUUUAGUUAAGAAACUAAAAUUCGUUUAGUAUAUCUGGUAUACAGAAUCAAGCACUGCCUGAACUAUGAAAGUUGAUAUAGCUGUCAAAAUACUGCAUCACCACAUUUCUGUGACAUGAACAUCUAACGUUUGCAACUAGUUUGUACCAAGAGUAGGAAACCGCAAGCAUGAUGGGGCUUAAGAUGGAACGAUCUUAUGACUACAUUUUGUUAAAAUUCUUUGCUGGGAGACUACUGUUAAUGGAGAAAUUCUGAAACAAUGAAAUGAUGAACCUAUCUGAACUGUCAAUCAACAAACAUUCUUCCAGUAUUGAAAGAGAUAAUUAAAUUCCUCUUGCAGCUUUUCAUUGUAAAAUGAGGAAUACGCAAUCCUUUUUUAGAAACACGGAAAGAAAUUUGUAACCAACCUGCAACUCAUCACGGUGCUCCUGAAGAAUCUUGGCAGAGCCCAAUAGCAUAGCAGUAUGUGCAUCAUGGCCACACCCAUGCAUUUUCCCAGGCACUUUGCUCUUAUGCUCCCACUCCACACUUUCCUGAAAAUGGAACAAAAGGGUAACUUAAGUAAUAUGACCUUUCAAAUGGAUAGAGUGAGUGAAUGGCAGCCAAAUAAAGUCUAAACAUACUUCAGUUUGGCCAGAGGAGGCUUACAACACUUAUACUAGCACCAAUAAACAAUUCAAUGAAAAAAUACAAAUGUCCAAAAACUGGGAGCAGAAAUUAUGCUACCCUUCAAGACAAUGUAUGGUCUAAAAGCAGGACGCCAGAAAUUCUUAAGUUCCUAAGUAAUUAUGUAUUUGUAUAUCAGAGUGAGGAAAAAAAGAUCUGAUGCAUAGAUUCUGAUAAAAUACAGCGACCUAGUUCUGAUACAAUCAGAUGUUAAAUGAUGUGAACAAUUAUUAUCGACUUAUAUAAUAGCAAUAUAGCAAAUUGACUCAUCAACACUCGGGACAAGAUUCAAGCCUAAUCAUGCACAUAGUCAAUUCACGUGGUUCAUUACCACAAUAAGCAAAUAACUAAUGUUGUAUGAUCCUAGUCAUAAGACGAGGAAACUAGCUAGGACUAAGUUAGUGUAUUUCCCCCCUUUUUUUGUUACGAAAAGGAAUGUUUGCCUCAAGCCAUCUAGCGAGACUCAAAACUUCAAUACUCCCUCCGAAUACAGAUCCAUAAUAAGUGUCUCAGGUUUAGUACAACUUUGUACUAACUUUGUAAUAAAUCUGAGACACUUAUCAGCAUUAGUUUGCAUUUCCCUGCUCUCAGUUUCAAAGAUAUGAAUCCUACUGAAUUGAAGGUUUGUUUACAGUUCAAAUCUCCGCCACAAGCUUUUCAUUACUUUGCUGUUCCUACACCUUUAUCUCAAUCCUUUAAAUGUGAAAUAUGACCUCUCAAACAAUAUUACUAAUAAGGUGUAUCAAUCCAGCUGGUUUGCUUUCGGAUAUUUCUGAAAAAAGAUAUGUUGCUAUCUCACUUCACUGAUAUAUUGUGCCUAGCAUCAGAAGAACAAUUCGUCUGAAAAACUUACUCAUAAAAAGCAGUACUCAAGAAAGCCUGCGAUUCUGUGAUCGCAAAUAAAGUAACUAUAGAAAUGGAUCGAACAACCAAACCAAGAAAAAUUACAUCUACCCAGCGUCAGCAAGCCAAAGAGCGAUGGCCCAAUAAAAACUUUAGAAUUCAGGGGCAAGAAAGGACAGGUGAAGGCAAAGCAUAAGGUAGCGACCUGCAUGGGGAGCGCGUCCAUGUCGGCCCGGAGCGCGACGAAGGGCGGGCCGCCUGUGCCGACGGUGGCGACGACGCCGGUAACGGCGAAGGGGUGCCUGUAGGGGAUCCCCAUGGCGUCGAGCUCCCGCCGCACGAGCUCGCUGGUGGCGAACUCCUCGUAGCCGAGCUCCGGGUUCUCGUGGAUCCGCCGCCGCACCCCGACCAUCCAGUCCAUGAACUCCGCCUCCUUGGCCCGCCGCAGGAGCCCCGCCGGGUCGUCCAGCCCCGCCGCCGCCGAGCUCGGCGCCGCGGCGGCGGCGAGAACGAUGGCCGCUGGCAGCAGCAGGAGCAGGAGAGGCGAAGCACGCGCGGCCAUGGUCAACAACAGUAAAUUCCGCCGCGCUGUUCGCGUUUUAGUUUUGGACUCUUGUAUCGAUCAGGCGAAACGUGCACGAUUCAGGCCCGGCUAAGGCUACUAGGCUAUCAAGGCUCUCUGCCUGAUGGUGCUACUAGGCUAACUAGGCUCCCUAGUCUUUUGUUUUGAGACGUUUUGGUUCUAUGUGAUGUGUAAAUGGUUGGUGGAUUAUCUAGUUGGUUCUCACUAAGUGACUAAGGCUCCGUUCAUCCCUCAAAUUAGGAAGACUGAGACGGAUUGAGAGAGAUUUUAGUUCAUUUUCUUCUAAUCCUUCUCAAUUCAGGGCAAAACACCAGAAAGACGAGCCAGUCCUAAGGCUAUUUCAUUCUCCUUCAAAUCCCCUAAAUGUAGGGAUUGAGAAGAAGAAAAAUUUACAUUCUCAACCCUGUCAUUCCCUUUGAGUUGGUUUGAACGAGGACUAAACAUGCUAAAGCAUCGUAGAAGAACUACCAAUCGUGCUACAGUAAGUUUUACGUCAAAACAAGAGUAAAUUUCAUUUCUUUACUGAAUAUUAGUGACAAAAUUUGUCAUUAAUAUUAGUGACAAAAGUUGUCAUCUUAGCAAAUUUAACUUUUCGCACCACAGAUGAAGACAAAAAAGGAUUACGAGAAGCCGCCAUAAUUAUGACAAAAGUUGUCAUCUUAGCAAAAGUCGUAUAUUUUACAACUUAGAUAGAGUAUGACACGUUGGGGCCACCAUCUUGGCUAAGCUAGCUAAAAUUUGUGCAUUUCUUUUAGCAGUAUUGUUUUUUGGGGUACAUUAUCUUCUUAAACCUUACUACAGUUCAUUUGGUCCAGCAAUCAUCCAUCGAAGAUCGAUCGAUCGACUCAUGAGGCCAUGAUGAUUCUACCAUUUUCAAUUGGGACUUGGUAGAAAUACUUUCAAAUGCAUGGCCAGAGUUAAACUGAAUUUGUUGUUCCCUUUGAGGCAUGGGUUGAAAAUUGAAAUGCUUUCUUCUCAAAAUUUCACAUGUGUUUAACAUUUGCCGAGACUGAACAAGCAAAAGCAACUCGCAUAGGAAGCCUUGCUGCCCACUGCAACACUAGGAAUGUAGCAUGGAGGGCCACAUUCGACUACGAGAGCUUGCUGUCUGGUGGCCUGCCCCAACGUUCUUUGCUGCUCAAAAUUAUAUUUCGGGUAUCUCAAGUUGCUCCACUAUGCUGUGGUUUAUUAUUUAACAAUUGACACGUUGCAAACGAUUAUGCUGUAGCAUUGUUAAUCGUAGCAAUUGAUUGUUCGCCAAAGUGCCUGACCUCCCUUAAUGCUUUAGUCUUAUAUGCAAUCAUUGUCUCGAAUAGCCUGUGCUCGUGAAUAACAACCUAACCUCUAGUCACAGACAUUUCAACUCCGGCAGGUUCGGGGCCGGAUCCACCCAUACCAGACCAGCCACCCGUGGGCAUUCCCGACACUGUGGCCGGCUGCUUCACGGGGCCGCGCGUUAAGCGGAUGACUUUAUUAACUUGCUAAAACUUGCUUACAAUCAGUUCGCAGACUGUGAUAAAGAAAACUAGGUGCAACAUCUGUCCAAUCUUCUGCAACGCCGUUCAAGGCGCCAAACCUAGCACACUCAUGCGCUGGCAAAUUCGUCCCAGGCCUAACAAACGAAAUGUCAAAACUAGUAAAAAACUGACUUAACUCCUCAAUUUCACACAAGAUAGGAGCAAUAAUUGCUCGAUGCUUCCUCCUCUCUACCCAGAGACGCACAAGGUCAGCACAGUCCGUUUCAAGGAUGAAAAAUGCAAAACCCUUCUCCCUGACAAAAAUGCAGGCGUCCCGUAAGGCCAAAGCCUCGAUGAUCAAAGGAUCAAUAAUCUUCUGGUAAACACGACAUCGCGCCGCUAUGAAGCCAACACCGCCCCGGAUCACCAUCCCACCUGCCGCCCGGUCAUCAGAUUCAUUGAUCGCACCAUCACCAUUUACUUUGAUAGUUCCCAUUGGCGGUCCAUGCUAGGUACAUGCCGGCCUAGGUUGCUUCCCCGAGCUCCCAGCCACCUUCUUCUCCAACAGAGAUCACGACUCUGUAAUUGAUUCAAUGGACUUAAUCGCAUCAAAACCAAUAUCUUCAUGCGCCCAUCGAUUUCUAGAAUCCCAGAUCCCUGCCAUAAUAGAGAUGAUCAACUCCCUCUUCCCUGAUCAAAGUUCUGGAGACACAUAAUAUCAGUUGCCCAUGUAUCCAGAUGCAGCCGUGGAGUCUGUAAGUGAAGCAUAUUCCUCGCCGCUGCCCAGAAUUGACGUGCAUGGGGACAUUCCAUCAUUGCAUGCAAAAGUGUUUCUACUGAAGAUUUACACAAAUGACAGGUGCUUAAAACCUUGACAUGCCGCCGGGCUAGAGUUGCAUAAUCGGGUAAGAUACCUCGCAACACUCACCACCAGAAGACCCAGACCCUUGGUAAGACAUCCAUUUUCCACAAUUGCUUCCAAUGCUGUUGAUCGCUGGCCAUCGAAAUCGACGCCGCACCACUCUUGGCACUUUCAGUUCGGUCACGCACUGCCACCAGACUUCGGUAUGCCGAUCUGACAGAAUAAAUGCCAGAUUUCUCACCCUGCCAGGCUAGCCAAUCACUCCCAGCAGUCAGCCACAACGUAAUUUGCAUGAUGAGAUCCACAUCAGGUGCAAGGAAAUUGUCCCGGAUUUUCUGCUCAUCCCACUUGAACAACCUCGGCUCAAUCAGAUCACUCACAAACUCCACAUUGCUUGCUUGCAAUCCUCCAAGUGGCUUCAUCGAGAUGGAGCCCGGAAUCCAUCUAUCAUUCCAGAUCGAGAUAGAAGAGCCAUCGCCGACCCGUUUAAUGAGUCCUGAUUCGAGGGCACGUCGCCCUGCUAAGAUCGCACGCCAAGUCUUUGAGGCAGUUCUGGGAGCAACCGCCUCCAUGAAAUCAACAUUGUGAUAGUAUCUACCUCGUAGCACUUGCGCACAUAAGGAGUUUGGCGCCAUUAACAGCCGCCACCCCUGCUUACCAAGCAAAGCUAAAUUAAAAAGCUGCAAAUCUCGGAAACCCAUACCUCCAGCACACUUCGGCUUUGUCAGUUUAUCCCAAGAAAUCCAGCGCAUGGCCCUUCGAUCAAGCGAGCCACUCCACCAGAAAGUAGAAGCGAUGGAAGUCAGCUUCUGGCAUGUCCCCUUGGACAGCAAAAAACAGCUCAUACUAUAUGUGGGCAUAGCUUGAAUAACAGCCUUGAUGAGCACUUCCUUGCCGGCAUAAGAAAGUUUUUUUUCCGCCUAGCCAUUAACCUUACUUCGGACACGAUCAGAGAUAUAAUCAAAAGAUCCACUUGUAAGCUUCCCGACUGCAGUAGGCAAACCAAGGUAUUUCUCAUUGAAAGCCUCAACUGGAAUAUUAAGUUCCCCCUUGACUAAACACCUUGUUGCCUCCUGAAUGCUAGGACAGAAGAAAAUACUAUUUUUGUCGCAGUUAACAAGUUGUCCCGAAGCUUCAUUAUACAUCUGUAAGAUAUUAUUUAAGCACCCAGCUCCCUCAACUGAUGCAUCGAUGAAGAUCAGACUAUCAUCCGCAAAUAACAAGUGGGUAAUCCACGGCACUCGGUUGCACACUCUGAGUCCACGAUCCACGAAUCCGCCAGUGUAGUUAUUCAGCAUCGGGAGUUCAGGACGAGGACGAGGAAUAGGGUGGCUGGGUGGGUUGGCCGAUUAGAGGGAUUGGGCCUUAAGGCCUUUUAGGCUUAUGCAUUGGGCCUUGAGGCCUUCUAGGCUUAUGCAUUGGGUAUUUCCGUAUUUGGGCUAGGCCAAAUUUUAGUAACUCAAUGUUAUUCUGAACCAGGUUUUCGGGUUUGGGUAAGGCACUGCCAUACCUGACGGGUCCGAAAACACCCCAAUUACUUCUCCAGAACCGCACUCUAAUCGGGCCUAGACCCAUCGAGUAAUCGGGUUUCGGGUACCCAUUGCUAUCCAUAAUUCAACCGACACGUUUGAGGUUUGAGUUCGCCCCACUGCCAUCUUCGUGUCCGGCUGCAAUCCAUAUAUAGUCCCUACCUAGUGAUGCGCGCCUUCACAUGUUCACAGAAGAUCUGCCCGUUCUAACCUUGUUGUCUACUAGUCACCGGCUACCAAUACACACCUCCUUUCCAUGUUUUAUCCAUUUUAUAAGAUAGAAGCAGUAAAUAUAUCGUCGUUUUGUCUUAUUACGUUAUUGAUUUGAUACUGAUAUAGAGACAUACCCCCCACACCCAUACAAGAAGCCUCACAUCCAAUCUCGGAGGUUUGACAAGGGUCAGGUCAGCAUCGAAGCCCUGUGCCAAACGGUAAAUGAGGCCUCCUAUCUCACUAGAAAUAGUUGCUUUAAGAAAAACCUUCGGGUGAAAACCUAGGUCCUUUGGACCGGCCAGCGGUGGCACAUGGGUGUGUGGGCUCCUAGGAGACGUUAUUUUUCCGUGGAUGCAGUGACUUUGGUGGACGGCGUGGAGCGACCUAUAUUGGCCUCUUCCAUCCAUUGUCAUAGAUCCUAUGAUUCGUGUUUUGCGAUGAGCUUCACGUUCCUCAGUACUACAAAACCCCUUAUCACUUACGCGUUCAAAACCCUCUAAGCUGACGCAAAUAGAAAGCGUUAGGAAUCAAGUGUCAGAAAUGACUCGGGUACUAUUAACGUUUUGGAAGGCGUCAUAGAUGAGGACAACCAUCUGACGCUUCUUUCGGCGAAGUGUCAAAAGUGAACUCCUCCAAGCCUGAAAUUAACACUUAGAGAUCCCUCUUGUCACUGCAGAAGUGUUAGUGGUGAUUAUCCGCUGACGCUUUCUUGCUUAAGAAGCGUCACAUGAAGAUUCUCCAGGAAUGCACGCGCGCCCCAGGUUACUGCUUUGACGCUUUUACGCCUAAGAAAGCAUGAGAGAAUAUGCUCUCUUGACGCUCUUUGUGCUUUGAAGCGUCAGCAAUCGAGCGUGCGGUUUAAAAAAAUUUAGACCACUAGUGUGUUUUCCUCCCAACAUCAGCGCUCAGGAUUUUAAACACAAUUAAAUUAAUUGCACAGAGCCACUGAAUCGAAUGCAGGAUAAAAAAAUUUCAUUCCUUUGAAGGUCGAACAUUCAUUGCAUUGCAUACAAGAUCCAAACAUAAAUUGCAUUGCAUACAAGAUCAAAGGUACAUAUAAGCAUCUAUGAAAACAUCUAAUUAGAUUGCAUAGAUCGUCCCAUGGCACAUCGUCGAUGGCGAGGCGAUGGUAAUGCUGCAUGGACGAUGUGGAUGCUGCAUUGGCGAUGGUGAUUGUGCCAUAGCAUGUCGUCAUCGGAGGUCGCGCUAAAGCACUCCUUGACGGUGAACGGCGGCGAUGACGGAGUACAACAUAGUGGUGAUGGACUACGAGAAGGGAGAGCAUGCGUAUAAGAAUCAUGGAAGUUGAUGGCCAAAGGGAAAAUUUCUUAGAAAUAGAAUCCUCAAAAUUUCCUAUAAAAUUCCUUCGAGUCAAAGAGGCCUUUUCUUCUACACACAACCAGCUGGCUACCUAAUGAUAUGUUGAUAACAACUGACGCACACAUGCAUGCCCUAGACCCUGACUCACAGAUUCUCUCGUCUAAUCUCGUAACUCACAACUACAUGAAGCCGGGGCCCUUAGGCGAAAAAAAGAAGACAACCGAAACAGGCCCGCCUGCCCGAUUGCUUGAGACGCCUGUCGGCGGUAGGCAUCGUUCACUCGUUCAAUAGGCCAUCGCCGGCCCCCACCGUUCCAAUGCUCCACUUGGGCGACAAGAAUCCAAUUACUAAUUGAAGUGAUAAUCAAUUGAUGGUAAGAUUUUAUUGAAUUGAUUUAGCAAAUUUGUAGCUUCGUAUUAUAUUCUAGUUACUAAUUGUUUCAUAAAAUUGUGAUUUGUAAUCUUUGGAACGAGCUGUUAAAUAGUUUGACAAUUGUUUAGGUUGAGAAAAAAUAUCCCCGGAUGACAUUGAUAUUGAGAUCAUCGCUUUGUAUCUAGCAAAUGUUAGAAGUUUUAAGUUAACAAUACUAAAACUACUCCGUACUUGAUAUGAGUAUUGUUUUUUGAUGCAAUAUAUUUAUCAUUGUCUCGAAGUUUAUAUUAAGGGGCCGGAUUCUAGUUUUACCCCAGCCCCCAAAAAUCUCAGGACAUUGCCUAUCCAACGGCCACAAAGAUGGCACAACGGCAUCUCCCCUUCAUGUCGCAUCGCACGGCAGGCAUCUCUAGCAUGUUGCAACUUUGUCGGCUUCUACAUGCAAAUAAAAAUAAACAUGAAGAUACAUAAUCAAGAUUAAGGGCAACAGUUUCCGUCUCUUCAUUUUGAGAUCACGAUGCUACAAUUUCUUGUUCUAGCAAAUUGUCUAGAUUUGCACCAUUUAUCUUCGAUGUUUUGUUCAUCGUCUGUAGUAGUUUGUAUAGCUAGUUUAAUUUAUGUUCUUGCGAUCAUGAUUUAUCUACUCUCUUUAUUACUUAAAUCUCAUGGUAAAUUGCUCAUGUUUUCAAUGGUGUCAAUGGCGUGCUUGUCUCUGCCAAGACCGCGGCGAGAAGACGUGACGUCAAAAAAAUGCGACCGCCUCCGUCGGGGAGCGUGCCGAUACGAUAUACUCCCUCUGUCCCAUAUUACGUGACUCAAAUUUGUAUAAAUAUGUAUGUAAGUAUAUACUAAAAGGGUCCACAUAUGGAUUUGUUUUCUGAGAAAUAAUCAGUUGACGUAUUUGCACCGUCCGAUGUCCCAUCGGCACCGAUUCCCUGCGAGCGCUCGUCCGCCCUCUUCAACGAACCAGCGAGAUGUGUUGUAUCGUGUGUGUUUUCUUUUUUUUAGGCAUCUCUUACAUUACAGCUAUACAAUCUGAACUCACGCAAUAACACACGCCACACGCACACCACACGUACACACGCUACCCCUAGUGCGCAAGACAGACCUUUCAAACUAAUACACGCUUACUAGAUUCCCAGAGUCACUGGACUCUGUCGGCAACAAGUACGUUGCACUACCACUAAAGUACAUGCGUGGGAGAGGCGGAAGCAGGAGGGAAUUAAAUCCCAGAGAGACUCUCAGGAACGCCCCAACCGGGGAUCAAACCUGAUGAGGACAUCCUAGCCAUUGACACUACACCAACAGUCAAUGGACCUAUCACACGAAGUCGUGCCAAACUGAUAAUCGAUCAGGUGAACGCUAACUUAAGUUUAUCUCCCAGCUUCCACAUGUUCUCGAACCUGUAGUGUCGUAGCCCAGGGCUUAGACACCGGGGAUGCGAGGCACCCCCUUUCAGGUUCGGCAGUGGGCGUUGGGGAUCGCUCCGGCGAUCGCCGGUGAGGCCAUUGUCAAGCGUAAAGAUGCACAAGACCGUUUUACCCAGGUUUGGGCCACCCUGAGGUGUAAAACCCUACGUCCUGCUUCUGAGCUUGUAUUAGCGAAUGAACAAGCGUUUACAAGUUGCUGGGGGAGUCCCAGGGCGCUCUCUCCUUUCCUGCUAAGUGCUACUUGCUAUUUCAGGGCUUAAACUAGUAAGAACCGAACCGAACCCUUUGACCGUUGGCGAUGGUCCUCCUUUUAUACUCAAGGGGAUACCACAGGUGCCUUGAUGCAUGGGUGACAAGUGUCGAGCUUAGACCUUAGGCAGCUUGCCCUUGCUGCGCUGUCAUGCAUGCACGGUACAAAGCACUGCACCCAGGGCGGUACGUGCCUUGGAUUCACUAAGAGCCACUCACGGUGGCCUGACUUGACAAGGAACCACCCUUCUAUCGGAGCAUUUAAUGCUUGCUUGUGCCACACUCCUCGCCCUGACGAGUCCUGCGCACAGGUAGCCUGCCGGGGCGGCCACGUGGCGCAGAUGCUCUGCCUGGUGGGCACCGGCCCUGUCGUAGGCGCCAGCGCCCGGGAACACCCUCCCGGCAAGUGACCUUCCCAGGGGGGCGUCCUGACCAAGAUUCCCUUGUUGCCUUCGGGGUAACCCCGUAUCCCGGCUAGUCCCGCUAGGCCGGUGACUUCCCGGGCAGCUCGAGCGGUGCUACCUAGGGUGUUGUCCUGGCGGGAAGCACGUGGAACGACCCAUGUGUUAGGCAGCGGUGGUACCCCGGGUGGCACUGGUGCGACAGUAGCCCCCGGGCGUGGGCCGGCAACGCCUGCUCCCGGGCGAACUCAUUCUUGGUCGGUUGCCGGGCUACGCCCUUAACCGACGCGUGGGUCCCGAGCCGCUUCAGGUGCCCGUUUAUGCGUUACUCCAAGGACUCCGCCGUUACGGGCAGAGUGGUGGGGGCGAGGUUUCCGCCCUAACCUCCCCUUAAUCGCGGGUGGUUAAGGCCACGUCCCGCAUUCCCCCUCUUUAAGCGUAGUUAUCCCCAGCGCACCCGUAGGGUGCGGAUGCGACCGUUGCUUAGCGCCCGGGUGCUAUAAAACCCCACCGCUGUGAUGAGGAGCAAACACUUAGCCCCCAGCCCUUCUUCCUCAUCCCCAUUCUUCCUUGAGCCCCUGAAUCCUGCUAGUCUCCGCCCACAUUCCCCAUGGCGCCCACAGCCCCCAAGAGAGGGAAAUGCUCCAAGAGUUCUGCGGCCGAGGAAGGCGAGAAGGCUCCCAAGAAGCCUCUCUCGGAGAAGGACCAGAAGAAACAGGAGUUGAGGGCCAUGCAGGCCUUCUUCAGGCUCGGCUACAACGGCGAGGGGCUUGACAAGAUCCGGCACGCCGUCGCCUCCCGGUUCAACGAGUACGGCGAGACGCUCGUCUUCCCUGCCGGCGCCGACCACCAGGACAACGACUUCCGGGUCUUCGCCCGCUUCAUCCUUGCCGGGCUGGUGCCUCCAUACUCCCUCUUCCUCCACGCACUCAUGGCGGCAUACCAGCUCCGGGUUGCGUAGCUCCACCCCACCGCCCUCUUCCUUCUCGCCGUCUUCCAAUUCCUCCGCGAGGGGUUCGUUGGGGUGAUGCUGUCAGUGGCGUUGUUCCGGCAGUACUUUUACCCGCGCAUCGAGCAAUCGGAGGCGAUGUCGUCGGGGGUGGUGUUCCGUGCCCACGACAAGAUGAAGUCGGAGUUCAUCGUGCGGACGGAGAAGAAGAUCGAGAAGGAGUGGCGCGCGGAUUGGUGCUGGGUUCGCGUGGAGGAACCUGAUGAGUUCAUCUACAUGCCCACCGAGCUGCCGGUGAGCAACGACAGUUGGCAGGACCGCUACGGACGCGACUAGCGGGGCUCACUGAUCUUGACGUGGCACGCACCUACAUCAGCCGGCGCAUUGCACCGCUGCAGCCGCGGUCUCGCCCCGCGUGGAUGUACACGGGGCCCGGCGACAACACGCGCCUCCAGAGCGCGGGCGUGACCCCGGAUGCGAUCCGGGCGUGGGUGAAGGGGAUCACCGGCGAGGAUGCCCCAUUCACGGAUCUGCCCCCGGGGGCUCCAUCCCUCCACGCCGGCGUUGCGGGGCUGCACGACAUCGUCAGCAGCUACCCGCCCUUCAACGAGUGGGGGCUGAUGUCCGAUUCCCCUACUCGAGCCCCGCAACCUCCGCCACCCGCAGCCCGUGCGAAGCGAGUGGCCGAGGAGAGUGGUGGGGGGGGGGGGAUCAGAACUCAGCGGGCCCGACGUCGAGUCCUCCGGUGACGAGGCUGGCCACGUUGCCGGGGCCCAGACGGCCCUCCCUGCGGCGGAGGAGGAGGAUGAGGACGACGCGCCCCUUGUGCGGAGACCAAGGGCGCCCGUGGUAGCGGCCGCAAGCGCCGUGGCAGCUUCCCCGGCAACCGGGGCUGCGGCAACCCCACGAGGGUCCGUGGCUCCGCCCAAGCGGGGAAUCUUUGGGGGCUACUUGCUCAAGCUCAACCCCUCUGAGGUGAGCUGACGUCUCUCCCCUCUUCUUCCUUCAAGUUUUGCGCCAGCUCUGGUUUCCUUACUCCUUUGUUGGCGCUUUGCAGGGACAGCACCCCGGCGGGAGCCGGCAAGAGGGGGAGGGCCGACACUGCACCCGUCACGCCGAGCAAGAAGCCGCGCACCCGGGCCAGCGUCAGUCAGGCUGGCGCGGGGGCCACCGACCCAAUUCCAGUGGAAGAGGAGCCCGCAGCAAGUACGGACCCUUCCCCUGACUCCAAUGUCCAUGCUCUUUCUUCACAUUGAUCCAAAACCGCGCGCUCACCUUGGCACGCAGGCGAAAUCCGGCCGCCAGCGGACAGCCCGGCAGUAGAAGCCGGGACAGAGGGGGAUCAGGCUCCCCCUAUAAGCACGGCGGCCGCGCAAGGUACCUAUCCAGAGCUCCCUUGCAUUCGCCGCCGGGUACCUCAGCUUUAGCUUGAAGCACUCAUUUUGCCCUUUGUCGCAGGCCCCAUUGCGCCCACAACGGGGGCGGGCGACGCAGUGAUCGACCUCACCUCCGACGUCGAGGACACAGGGUUGAGGGACAAGCCAGAGGCGGCUCCCGCGCCAAGCCCCGUUGCCCCAGACACAAUGGUGGCGGCGCCCACUGUCGCUAGCGGAGCGGGCCCGGCAGCGCGUCCCCGGCCUCGCAGGCCGGAGGCACGGAUCCCGCGGCUGCCUAGCAGGAGGCGACUCCUGCCGGGAGCGCGGUUCCUCCACCAGACCCGCAAGCUACGGACGCGGGGGUGGAGGAGGAAGUGGCGGGGGAGCGGCAGGUGGCUCCCCUGCAAGGGGACGAUGCUCCUCCCGGCCAGACCGUUGCGGCAGGAGUUUCGUCGUCGUUCGUCGCUACCUCCAACCCAGACCUUGGCAUUCUUGCCGGGGCAACUUGGGACCCAAUCACAUGGGACCCGAGCAUCUACGACCAGUGGCACCAAUUCCUCGACGCCAUCAAGGAGCAACAGCUGGCGUUCGUCACCUCAUUUAACAAGGUGAGGGAGCACCAUGAGCUCGUGAAGGGCCAACUCGGCGUGGUGCGGCAAGAUGUCGAGAGGGAGUGGCAGGAGCUCUCCCGGCUACGGGAGGAGACGCGCCUGUCUCGGCAGGCCAGGGACGAGGCCGCAACGCCGGUCGUCCCCGAGGCAGAGCUCCAUCAGCAACUGGAGGCCCAGCGUGCCGAGCACCAGCAAGCACUGGACACACUGGCCGUGGCGUGGGAGAAGGCCAACAAGGAGCACGAGGAGGUGCUUGCUACGGCCCAAGCUCGCCUCAACGAGAAGAGCCAGCUGGUCAGCAGCUACUCCCAGCUCCAGGCGCUGCGCACAAAGCUGGAGGAGCAGGCCAAGGCCGCGAAGGACGCGGCAGCAGUGUCAGCGCGGGGAGAGAAGGAGCUCAACUCCGUGAAGGAACGGAGCGCCCAUCUCGAGUCGGAAUUGUCCACCGCCCGGGGCGAGCUCGUCAAGAUGGGCGAGGACAAUGUGGCCAAGGCCAAGGAGAUCGUGCGGCUCGCGGAGCUCAUCCGCAAGGCCAAGCACGCGGUGGCGCUGGCACGCGGCAACCACGACAAGCUGGCGGAGCAGCGGCGGAAGAAGACCGAGAGGCUGCACGAGAUCGCCCAGACCGUGCGUGAGUUGCUGCCAAGGUUCGAGCUGCAUGCCGCGAAGGUGGACGGCACGGACAUCAGCACCCUCAUCCCGUUCUUCUCUGACAUGGUGGGGAAGCUCGUGGCGCUGGAUGUGUGGCUCUCCAAAUUCUGCGACGGGGAGAUAGCGUCGUGCGCCAGGGAGAUCGCUGAGAUGAUCCUCCCCCAGGUGCAGUACCACCACCCCGACUUCCCCUUCGAGACGCUGCUAGACACGUGGUCGGACAGCGAGGACGGCCCCUCCCACACCAGGGCGGUAAGCCGGUUGUCGACGAAGUGGUGGACCGGAUGAAGAGGAAGCCGGAGCCAGAGCCUUCAGCGGAAACCCCCGGCAACCAGCCGUCUUAGUUCCUUGCAAGCAUUUGUUUUUCCUUUUUGUUUCCUGCAAGUGUUGCGCUUGGCGCCGUGGAACAAUUAAUGCUUUAUUAGCCCAGAUAAUCAUUCGCUACAUUUAUGAAUUUUGUUUUCUAGUUCUACUUGGUUCUUGUUCCUGAAACUGACUCACGGGGUGGAUCUUCUUGUCCCCGUGAGUUGCGCUUUGUGUUGCCGAUGACUCGCACGCUACCCACUUAACCGGACCAGGGACCCAGGACGGACCCGCAGUGCCAACCUGGGGCCAAGUAGCAGCGGCAACCCACUCCGCUUGCGGGCUAGCUACUCCCAAGCACGCGCCCAUAGGACGGACCCGCAAGCCGCAUGAGGAGCCACUCCCCCCGCAAGCGUCCUUUUAACACUCCAGCCACACGCAAGACCAGACCCACGCCAACAAGCCAGCGUUGAGUAUUAGAAAGCUAGGCGGCUAGGAUCAUGCACUUAGCUGUCUGUUCUCACGUCGAUCGCAUUAGUUCUGCACCUGGAACGCUUGCUGGAGGGAUGCGGCAAGGACGCUAUGGCAGUGCACCCAUCAGCGCUCUACACCACCACAGUGUCUCCGCGGCAACCCUCGCCUUGGAACCGCCUGUUGGAGGGAUGCGGCAUGGGCAUGGAGCGCUGAUGGCAUGCACCACCACCGUGUCACUGCGGCCUCCCUCGCCCUUGCAGCCAUCUUCUUAGCUCCGCUCUGAGUUGCUCCGUGGCCACCAUGCCCUUUUAUAGGCGUGGUGAAGAAUGUUGCCGCCGCGCGUGCCAGGCUACCGCAGCGCACGUGGCGACACCCUCCUGCGGUAAGAACCUUGAAGCGGUCGCCAUGCACCGGUGGCUACCCGCUAGAUGACACGGUCCGUGAGCACUCCACGAGCAUCAUAGUGUGUCUGACCCCCAUCCUUAUACUGCAUGUGAGAUUCUUACCGAGCCCGAGAUGCUGCAAUUUUUUUCAAAAUGCACGAAAAAAGGUACAACACAGAUAGCCCUCCUGCCUCCCAGCCCCCGGGCACAGAAGGGUCGAUACCAAACUUGGGUGUGAGCACUCUCCUACUCCCAAAACGCAGCUGCUGCGUGGUGCGCGUUGCGGGGAACCGGCAACGGGAUUUUUGUUUUCGAGGCUCCGGCAGCCCCGCUGCUCAUAGCCAAGGAUGGAAAGAGACUUCUGUCAACUUAGAGCAGGAGACAGAAGAAAAAACACGCAAUAAACGAAUCGACUUGAAAUUCAGAGGAAAACACUUAUCUCUAUUCACAGAAACUAGCGGUUUACAAUCGGGGGUUGCCCGCUACACUAGUUCGAGAGGCAUGCUGCACCAGCAUCACCCGUGGGUCAGGCUCCGUCGCUUCAUGGGUAAAACUUGCGCAAGUGCUCAAGGUUCCAACUGUUUUGCACCGGCAAGCCUUCUUCGGUUUCAAGCCGCACAGCCCUCGCCCUGGUCACCUGCACUACCCGGAAGGGGCCUUCCCAUUUCGGAGCGAGCUUGUUCCUGGCCUUCGUUCCUUGUAUUCGGCGCAGGACAAGGUCUCCGACCUCGAGCUCCCGGGGACGGACCCGCCUGUCAUGAUAACGGCGGAGUCACUGCUGAUAGCGUGCAGCUCAUACAGCAACCCGGCAUCGGAGUUCUUCGAUGAAGUUCAGAUCGUCAACCCUCUGUUUGUGUUGGCUAUGGUUGCCGUAUGCGCAUACCUGAGGGGAUCCAUGCUUAAACUCGAGGGACAGCACCGCUUCUGCCCCGUAGACAAGGGCGAAAGGAGUUUCGCCCAUUGCCCGGCUAGGUGUGGUCCUGAUGACCACAACAUGGGCUGGAAUUCUUCGACCUAAUGCUUCCCGUGGCCUUUGAGCUUGUCAAAGGUUCUCGUCUUGAGCCCCCGCAGCACCUUUGCGUUGGCUCGCUCCGCCUGUCCGGUCCUCCUCGAGCGAGCAACAGAGGCGAAGUGGAUCUUGGUGCCCAUGCCCUCGCAGUAGGCUUGGAACACCGCGCUCGUGAAUUGCGUGUCAUUGUCGGUGAUGAUGCCGUUGGGAACACCGAAUGGGCACACAAUGCUCUUGAAGAAUUUGAUGGCCGCCUGAGCUGUCACCUUCCUUACGGGCUCCACCUCCACCUGCUUGGAGAACUUGUCGAUGGCCACGAGCAAAUACUCGUCGCCACCCACCGCUCUUGGCAACUUGCCGACAAUGUCCAGCCCCCAGACCUUGAACGGCCAGGAGGAUGGAAUGACUUGCAGGGCCUGCACCGGCUGGUUACUCUUCUUCGCGUGGAACUGGCACGCCUCACACGUUUUGACUAGCUGCUCGACAUCGGCUAGCGCUGUAGGCCAGUAGAAGCCGUGCCGGAAGGCCUUGCUGGCUAGAGCCCGGGAGGCCACAUGGUGCGAGCAUGUGCCUCGGUGUAUGUCCUCUAGAAGCACACGCCUUCGUCUUGGGGCACGCAGAGGAACUUCACUCCAUUUGCACGCCUCCGGUAGAGAUCCCCAUCUACCAAAGUGUACAUCUUGGCUUGCCGGGCUACGCGCUCCGCGGCAACGUCGUCUUUCGGGAGGGCUUCCCCCUUGAGGUAGCGGGCGAUGUCCACCGCCCAAGGAGGGGUUUCCCUGCUCAUGUAUGCCGCCACAUCAGCGGCAUGGACCUCCGCUGCUGCUGCGGGGUUUCCUUCGGUUGCCGAGAGGGCUUCCCCGGCAGCCGGCUUGGGAGUGAUUGAAGGCGCAGUCUGCCUGUGCCAGAACACCCCCGACAGGACCUUCCGGCGCUCCGCUGCCCACUUGGAUAGUUCGUCAGCCGCGAAGUUAUCCUUGCACUUGACGUGCUCGAAUCGCAAAACCUUGAACUUGCGUUCUAGCUUGCGGACUUCAUCCACGUACGCUGCCAUCUGCGGGCAGUCGUAGUCCUUGGUAACCUGGUUGACCGCGAGUUGGGAAUCCCCGCGAACAACCAAGCGCUUGAUAGCGAGCAGCCCCUCGUACUCAGCCGUGUUGUUGGUGGAGUUGGGGAAGUCGAGCUGGAUGGCGAAUUUCAGCUGGUCUCCCGUGGGCGACUCGAUGACGACUCCGAUGCCAGCUCCCUGCAGGCUGAAAGCGCCGUCGAAGUACAUGAUCCAGUGGCCUUCGUCCAGCUUCCCGGGCAGGCUGGUCUCCGGCGGCUCUUCUUCUAUGCCUAUCGAGGUCCACUCUGCAACAAAAUCUGCUAGAGCAGCACUCUUGAUACUCUUGGUGUUAGUGAAGUGCAGAUCAAACUCCGACAACUCCAUCCUCCACUCGGCCACUCUUUUGGUGGCUUCACGGUUCGUGAGGGCCCGCUCGAGGCAGAACCCCGACACCACCGUGACGCGAUGCGCCUGGAAGUAGUGGCGCAGCUUGCGUGAUGCAAGCAGAAUCCCCAGCAAGAGCUUCUGCACUUGCGGGUACCGCGUGCGGGCAUCGCGCAGCACCGUGCUGACGAAGUACACCGGGUGCUGCACAAGCCGCUUGAGCAGUGUUGGCGCCGCCGACUCGACGGCGGUUCCCGGGUCCGAGGCGGUUGCCGGGGCUGACUCAGCCCCCGGGAGAUCUUCUUCUCUCUCGGCAACAAGCACCGAGCUGACCACCUGGGCCCUUCUUCUUCAUUGGCAGCGACUUCAGGUACUGCUUGAGAUCCUUGAAUGUUGCCUCAGCCUCGGGGGUCCAGUUGAUUGGACCCUUCUUUUUCAUCACCUUGAAGAAAGGCAGGGCGCGUUCGCCCAGCCUUGAGAUGAAACGCCGCAGCGCGGCUACGCAGCCGUUGAGGUGCUGGACGUCCCUCACCCUGUAGGGAACCUCCAUCUUCUCGAUAGCUUCUAUCUUCUUUGGGUUGGCCUGAAUCCCCCUAUGCAAAACCAAGAAGCCCAGAAGUUGCCCUGAGUCUACACCAAAAAUGCAUUUCUCAAGGUUCAACUUGAGCUUGAUCCUGCGAAGAUUAUCAAAUGUCUCCCUCAUGUCAUCAAUAAGCGAGUCCCCGCGCUUUGACUUGAUGACGAUAUCAUCCACGUAGGCCUCAAUGUUCCGGCCUAGCUGGGGUCCCAAACACUCGCGCAAUGCACGCUGGAAUGUUGAGCCCGCGUUCUUCAACCCGAAAGGCAUGCAUGUGUAGCAGUAACAGCCAACCGGGGUGAUGAACGCCGUUUUUUUCUCGUCCUUGACUGCCAUCUUGAUCUGAUGGUAGCCGGAAAAGGCAUCCAAAAAGCACAACAAAUCGCAACCGGCAGUGGAAUCUACUAUUUGAUCAAUGCAAGGUAUAGGGAAAGGGUCUUUUGGACAUCCACGAUUAAGAUCGGUAAAGUCUACACACAUGCGUAAUUUAUUCUCCCCCUUGGGCACUACAACUGAAUUUGCUAACCAAGUGGGGUACAGUACUUCCCUGAUAGCCCCCGCAGCCUUCAGCUUUUCCACUUCUUGCUUGAUGAAGUCUUUGCGCUCCUGUGCUUGCCGGCAGAUCUUCUGCUUGACGGGGCAGGCGUCUGGACUUACCGCAAGUCGAUGCUCGAUCACCUCCCUAGGGACUCCGGGAAGAUCCGACGGUUCCCAAGCGAACACGUUGGCGUUCUCCCGGAGGAAAGUGAUGAGGGCGCUUUCCAGAGCGCAAGCUCAAGCUUGUGCUUCCCCCGGCAAGUUGUUGCGGGGUAACACGAGCCUUCUUCACUGCGGGGCAGUCGCCCGGCAGCAAGCCUUUGCUUUUGGCGACGCCUUCGUCACCGGAAUCAGCUACGGCGGCGGCCCAGACGACCUCGCCAACACACCAAGCCGCGUCCUUGAGAUCGCACUUGAUGGAGAGGACUUCAUAAGUGGAUGGCAUCGUCGUCAUGCCGUAGGCGCAAUGGGUUGCCGCCAUGAACUUGAUCAGUGCCGACCGACCAAGGAUCCCGUUGUACGGCAACGGGGUCUGAGCCACAUGAAACACGAUCAGCUCAGUUCUGAACGCCUCCCGGGACCCGAAGGUAACCGGCACCGUGAUGCGCCCCAGGGGGCGAACGAUCCCGGGGUUCACCCCCCGGAACGGGUCGGUGGGCUUCAUCUGCUCCAGCGGCAGCUAAAGCUUCUCCACCAACCUGGCGAACAGGAGGUUUAACCCCACUCAGUUUUCCACCAGCACAUUGGUCACCGUCAUGUUGUUGAUGAUCGGUGAGACCACGAAGGGCAAAACUCCUGACCCAAGUUGCCGGGCUGGGUAGUCGUCACGGCUGAAACCGAUCGGCACGUGCGACCACUUUAGCGGCUGCUGCGGCUCCAUGUCCAGCAACAGCGCACACACUUCCCGUGUGAGGCGCUUCACCGCGCUAUGGGAUGAGAGAGAGUAAGCUCCCCCAUGAAUGCAGGCGACGCCACGAGGCUCCUGGAAGCCGGGCUCGUCGCCCCCCGCUGUAAUCGGACUCGCGCCGCUCCUCAGCACGAGCCUUGUCCCAUCCUCGGGGAGGCCGCUCCCUGCCGGCUCGGGCUGGGGCGCGUCCCCCUUGGGCUUCUUCUCUGCCGGCAUCUCCACCGGCAGGCUUCGCCCCAUCUCUGGGGUCAUUCGGGCAAUCCCGGGAGAGAUGCCCGAUAUCCCCACAGUUGAAGCAGGCGCCGGCUGCUCGGCGCUCCUCGUGGCGGUACUCACGCCUCUGCUUGAUGCCCUGCAGGAUGUGACAAUCCUGCACGUCAUGUGUGGCGUUGGCGUGGAUGGGACAGCGGGGUGCGUCGCCCGGCUUGCCACCAGACCCGCCAGCGGGUGAGGCCUUCUUCGCAGGCCUCGAGGCAACCCCGGGUUCCGCGGCAAGCACUUGCUUUCCGCUGCGCUUCCGGGAGCCCUUCAUUCUGCUAGCCCUCAGCGGGACUCGCGGCAGCCUUGGCUGCAAGUUCGGGCGCCAAGCGCCCUUCCUCAGCCAUGGCACACUUGUGCGCCAAGGCGUAGAGCUCUUGCGUCGUCCGGAUCCGGUGCGUGCUUAGCUUCUCAUGCAUCUUGGGGUCACGGACGUUGAUGGCAAAGGUAUUGAUGAUGGCGGCAGCCUCCGCCUAAGGAAUGGAGUAGGAGAGACAGGAGAAGCGGUUGACGAAGCUCCGUAACGUCUCCCCUGGCUUCUGCACAACGGUGUGCAGCUCCGCCAUGGUUCCCGGACGCUUGUAGCUGUUGGAAAUAUGCCCUAGAGGCAAUAAUAAAUUUGUUAUUAUCAUAUUUCAUUGUUCUUGAUAAAUGUUUAUUGCCCAUGCUAUAAUUGUAUUGAUUGGAAACUCAAAUACAUGUGUGGAUAAAUAAACAAAUACCGUGUCCCUAAUACGCCUCUACUGGAUUAGCUCGUUGAUUAAAGAUGGUUAAGGUUUCCUAACCAUAGACAUGUGUUGUCAUUUAAUAACGAGGUCAUAUCAUUAGGAGAAUGAUGUGAUGGACAGACCCAAACCUAAACAUAGCUUUUGAUCGUGUCACUUAAGUUUAAGUUGCUUAUGUUUUAUUAUGUCAAGUAUUAUUUCUUUAGACCAUGAGAUCAUGCCACUCCCUAGUACCGGAAGAAUACUUUGUGGGCAUCAACCGUCAUCUCGUAACUGGGUGAUCAUAAAGGUGUUUUUCAGGUAUCCCAGAAGGUGCUUGUUGGGUUGUAUGGAUCAAGACUGGGAUUUGUCACUCCUUGUGACGGAGAGAUAUCUCUGGGCCCUCUCGGUAAUAUAACAUCCUAAUGAGCUUGCAAGCAUGCGACUAAUGUGUUUAGUUGCGGGGGUAUUAUAUUACGGAACGAGUAAAGAGAACUUGCCGGUAACGAGAUUAAACUAGGUAUGGCGAUACCGACGAUCAAAUCUCGGGCAAGUAAUAUAUCGCGAGACAAAGAGAAUUGGAUACUGGAUUAAUUGAAUCCUCGACAUAGUGGUUCAACCGAUGAGAUCUUCGUGGAAUAUGUGGGAACUAUUAUGGACAUCCAGGUCCCGCUAUUGGUUAUUGAUAUUUGAUCAUGUCCACAUGUUCUCGAACCCGUAGGGUCACACACUUAACGUUUCAUGUUGCUUGGGUUAGAUGAGAUAAAUGAUGAUGAUAUCGAAUUAUGAUUCGGAGUCUUGGAUGGGAUCCUAGACGCAACGAGGAGCUCCGGAAUGUUCCGGAGAUAAAGAUUUAUAUAUGGAAAGUUGUUUUCAGGGUUCUGGAAAGUUUGGAAUAUUUCCCGGUUUUGACCGGGAAGCUUCUAGAAGGUUCCGGAGGGAUCCGGAGGGUUCCACCUUGAGGCCCACGUAUCCCUGGGCUAAAUGGGCCUGUGAGGGAGCACCCUGGCCUUAAUGGGCCGAGGGGCUAGCCCACAGGGCCCAUGCGGCCAGGAGGAGAGUCCUGGCCGCGGGAGAGUCCUGGCCGCGGGAGAGUCCUGGCCACGGGAUAGUCCUGGCCGGCCACGCCUCCUCUACCCCUAUAUAAAUAGAAGGGGGCGCAAGGGAGAGAGACACCCCAAGCUUUCAGUUGGAUCUCUCUCCCCUGAGCCCUCCUCUCCUUCUCUUCUCACGCGCACGGCGUAGCCCUGCCCGCGAGAAUAUUCACCAUAGUCACCACGCCGUCGUGCUGCCGGGAUCUCGUCUACCUCUCCCUCUCGCUUGCUGGAUCGAGGAAGGAGGAGACAACGUGAAGCUGAACGUGUGGAUACCAAGGAGGUGCCGUCCGUUCGGCACUGAGAUUGAUCUCAUUGAAAGUUCCACUACACCAACAACGAUGUCGUGAUCGUAACGCUUAGCGGUCUACGAGGGUAUGGUGUUCAUGAUCCCUCUCGUUACAUACAUCUAGUAUAUAUAUUCUUGGGUUUUCUUCCGCACUUCUCGUAGGAAAUUUUUUGUUUCCUAUGCAACGAGCCCAACAGUGGUAUCAGAGCUAGAUCUAUGCGUAGAUGUUUUGUACGAGUAGAACACAAUUUAGUUGUGGGCGUUGAUGUUCAUAUUGCUACCUUCUUUGUGCACUAUCGGAUUUUGCGGGAUAGUGGGAUGAAGCGGCUCGGACCAACCUUACUUGUCUUCGCACAAGAGACCGGUUCCGUAAUUAACAUGCAACUUGUAUUGCAUAAGGCGGCUGGCGGGUGUCUGUCUCUCCCACUAUAGUUGAAAUCUGAUUUGCAAUGGGAGGCCUAUAUGGUUAAUAAGCAAUUUGUAUAUCACCGUUGUGGCUUUUGCGUAAGUAAGAACGGUUCUUUUAGUGCAGCCCCUAAAGCCACGUAAAACAUGCAACAACAAAGUAGAAGCGUCUAACUUGUUUUUGCAGGGGCAUGUGAUGUGGUAUGGCCAAGAUAUGAUAUAAUAUAUUUGAUGUAUGAGAUGAUCAUGUUUUGUAAUAUUUCACGACUUGCAUGUCGAUGAGUUUGGCAACCGGCAGGAGCCGUAUGGUUGUCUCAUUAAUUAUUGUAUGACCUUCGUGUCAAUGAUUUAAUCGCCAUGUAAUUACUUUACUUUAUCGCUAGUAGUAGCAAUAGUCGUAGUAGCAAUAGUUGGUGGAGGCAACUAUACAUGACGCCCGAGGACCUAGGCGCCAUGCUGGUGAUGAUGGAGAUCAUGCCCGUGCUUUGGAGAUGGAGAUCAAAGGCACACGAAGAGAAGGCCAUAUCAUGUCACAUUAUUUAUGCAUGUGAUGUUUAUCCCUUUUAUGCAUCUUAUUUUGCUUAGUUGACGGUAGCAUUAUAAGAUGAUCCCUCAUUGUUAAUAUCAAGAUAAUAAUGUGUUCUCCCUUAGUAUGCACCGUUGCAAAAGUUCGUCGUUUUGAAGCACCACGUGAUGAUCGGGUGUUAUAAACUCUACGUUCGCAUACAACGGGUGUAAGCCAGUUUUACACAUGCAGGAAUACUUUGGUUAACUUGACGAGCCUAGCAUGUACAGACAUGGCCUCGGAACACAAGGAACCGAAAGGUUAAACAUGAGUCAUAUGAAUGAUGUGAUCAACAUGCUGAUGUUUACCAUUGAAGCUACUCCAUCUCACGUGAUGAUCGGACUUGGUGUAGUGGAUUUGGAUCAUGUGUCACUAAACAACCCGAGGGAUGUUGAUUUUAGUGGGAGUUCAUUAGUAAUUUGAUUAGCUUGAACUUAUUAUCAUGAACUUAGUCUAAUUGCCUUUGCAAAUAUGCUGUAGAUCAAUGGCUCGUACUACGUUCAAUAUGAAUACUCUCCUAGAGAAAGAUAAACUGAAGUCCAAUGGAAGCAACUUUACGGACUGGUUCCGGAAUGUGAGGAUUAUCCUCGAAGCUGCCAAAAAGGCUUAUGUUUUUGAUGCAGCGCUUGGUGCAGAACCCGCAGCAACUGAGUCUGCUGACGUUAGGAACGUUUGGCUGACUCAAUCUGAGGACCACAAUGUAGUUAGGUGCGGCCUCUUGCUUGGUAUGGAACCUGAGCUCCAAAAGCGUUUUGAGCACCACUCGGCAUAUGCUAUGAUUGGGGAACUGAAUACUUUAUUUCAAACCCAAGCCCGUGCGGAGAGGUAUGAUGCCUCCGAAAGGUUCUUUAACUGCAAGAUGGAGGAGAACAGCUCUGUUAGCGAGCACGUGCUCAGAAUGUCUGGGUACGCCGACCGCCUGGGACAACUGGGAAUUGAGAUUCCUAAUGAAUUAGGCAUUGACCGGGUUCUUCAGUCAUUACCACCUAGCUAUAAAAGUUUUGUGGUGAACUACAAUAUGCAAGGGAUGGAUAGGACACUUCCUCAGCUCCUCGCGAUGUUAAAACCCGCGGAGGUGGAAAUCAAAAAGGAGCAUCAAGUGUUGAUGGUCAAUAAGACCACCAGUUUCAAGAAGGCAAAGGGUAAGAAGGGAAAUUUCAAGAAGGGUGGCAAAACUGUUGCCACUCCCGCGAAGAAGCCCAAAUCUGGACCUAAGCCGGAUACUGAGUGCUUCUACUGCAAGGGGACUGGCCACUGGAAGCGUAACUGCCCCAAGUACUUGGCAGAUAAGAAGGCUGGCAAUGUCAAAGGUAUAUUUGAUAUACAUGUUAUUGAUGUGUACCUUACUAGUACUCGUAGUAGCACCUGGGUAUUUGAUACUGGUUCAGUUGCUCACAUUUGUAACUCGAAACAGGAGCUACAGAAUAAACGAAAACUAGCAAGAAAUGAGGUGACUAUGCGCGUCGGGAAUGGAUCAAAAGUUGAUGUGAUCGCCGUCGGCACGCUCCCUCUACAUUUAUCUUCGGGAUUAGUUUUAAACCUUAGUAAUUGUUAUUUGGUGCCUGCGUUGAGCAUGAACAUUAUAUCAGGAUCUUGUUUAAUGCAAGACGGUUAUUCAUUUAAAUCAGAGAAUAAUGGUUGUUCGAUUUAUAUGAGUAAUAUCUUUUAUGGUCAUGCACCACUUGUGAAUGGUUUAUUUCUAUUAAGUCUCGAUAGUAGUGACACACAUAUUCAUAAUGUUAAUGCCAAAAGGUGCAAAGUGGAUAAUGAUAGUUCAACAUAUUUGUGGCACUGCCGUCUAGGUCAUAUUGGUAUAAAACGCAUGAAGAAACUCCAUUCUGAUGGACUACUUGAAUCACUUGAUUUUGAAUCAUUUGAUACAUGUGAACCAUGCCUCAUGGGUAAGAUGACUAGAACCCCGUUUUCAGGCAUAAUGGAACGGGCCAGUGACUUGUUGGAGAUCAUACAUACUGAUGUGUGCGGACCAAUGAGUGUUACAACGUGCGGUGGAUAUCGUUACUUCCUAACCUUCACAGAUGACUUGAGUAGAUAUGGGUAUAUUUACUUAAUGAAAAACAAGUCUGAGACAUUUGAAAAAUUCAAGGAAUUUCAGAAUGAAGUGGAGAAUCAUCGUAACAAGAAAAUUAAAUUUCUACGAUCGGAUCGUGGAGGUGAAUAUUUGAGUUACGAGUUUGGCACGCAUUUAAGACAAUGUGGAAUUGUUUCACAACUUACGCCGCCUGGAACACCACAACGCAAUGGUGUGUCCGAACGUCGUAAUCGUACUUUAUUGGAUAUGGUACGGUCUAUGAUGUCUCUUACUGAUUUGCCACUAUCGUUUUGGGGUUAUGCAUUAGAGACAGCCGCAUUCACUUUAAAUAGGGCACCAUCUAAAUCCGUUGAAACGACACCGUAUGAAUUAUGGUUUGGCAAGAAACCUAAGCUGUCCUUUCUUAAAGUUUGGGGAUGCGAAGCUUAUGUAAAAAGGCUACAACCUGAUAAGCUCGAACCCAAGUCGGAAAAAUGCGUCUUCAUAGGAUACCCUAAAGAAACAAUUGGGUACACCUUCUAUCACAGAUCCGAAGGAAAAGUGUUUGUCGCUAAGAACGGGUCCUUUCUAGAGAAGGAGUUUCUCUCGAAAGAAGUGAGUGGGAGGAAGGUAGAGCUCGAUGAGGUUAUUGAACCUUCUCUCGAAUUUGAGUGUAGCGCAGCACCAGAAACUGUUCCCGUGCAUCCUGCAUCAGCUAGAGAGGAAGCUAAUGAUAAUGAUCAUGAAGUUUUGAAUGAGACAACUACUGAACUUCGCAGGUCGACGAGAACACGUAAUACUCCUGAGUGGUACAAUGUUCGUGUCAUGAAUGUCAUGUUGUUGGACAACGAUGAACCUGCGAAUUAUGAGGAAGCGAUGAUGAGCCCAGACUCUGAAAAAUGGUUAGAAGCCAUGAAAUCCGAAAUGGGAUCCAUGUAUGAAAACCAAGUAUGGACUUUGGUAGACUUACCGAAUGACCGAAAGGCCGUUGAGAACAAAUGGAUUUUCAAGAAGAAAACAGAUGCUGAUGGAAAUGUUACCGUCUAUAAAGCUCGACUUGUCGCAAAAGGUUUUCGACAAAUUCAAGGAGUUGACUACGAUGAGACUUUCUCACCCGUAGCGAUGCUAAAGUCUGUUCGGAUUAUGUUAGCAAUUGCUGCAUUUUUCGAUUACGAAAUCUGGCAGAUGGAUGUCAAAACCGCAUUCCUUAAUGGUCACAUUGAGGAAGAGUUAUACAUGGUUCAGCCCAAAGGUUUUGUCGAUCCUAAGGAUGCUAAUAAGGUAUGCAAACUUCAGCGUUCCAUUUAUGGGCUGAAGCAAGCAUCUCGGAGUUGGAAUCUCCGUUUUGAUAAGGUGAUCAAAGGGUUUGGAUUUGUCCAAACUCACGGAGAAGCUUGUAUUUACAAGAAAGUGAGUGGGAGCUCUGUAGCAUUUCUAAUACUGUAUGUGGAUGACAUAUUGCUGAUUGGGAAUGAUAUAGAACUUCUUAAAAGUGUUAAAGGCUAUUUGAAUAAAAGUUUUUCAAUGAAAGACCUUGGUGAAGCAGCUUACAUAUUAGGCAUCAAGAUUUAUAGAGAUAGAUCAAGACGCCUGAUAGGACUUACACAAAGUACAUACCUUGACAAAGUUUUGAAAAGGUUCAAAAUGGAUCAAGCAAAGAAAGGGUUCUUGCCCAUGUUGCAAGGUAAGAUAUUGAGUAAGACUCAGUGUCCAGCUUCGGCAGAAGAUAGAGAAAAGAUGAAUAGUAUCCCCUAUGCCUCAGCCAUAGGCUCUAUUAUGUAUGCCAUGCUGUGUACUAGACCAGACGUGUGUCAUGCUGUUAGUUUGACUAGCAGGUACCAAAGUGAUCCAGGAGUGGAACACUGGACAGCAGUUAAGAAUAUCCUUAAGUACUUUAAAAGGACUAAAGAAAUGUUUCUCGUUUAUGGAGGUGACGAACAGCUCGUCGUAAAGGGUUACGUCGAUGCUAGUUUUGACACUGAUCCGGAUGACUCUAAGUCUCAAUCCGGAUACGUAUUUAUUUUGAAUGGUGGUGCAGUUAGCUGGAGGAGUUCCAAGCAGAGCGUUGUGGCAGCAUCAACAACUGAAGCGGAAUAUGUGGCUGCUUCAGAAGCGGCACAGGAAGGAGUUUGGAUGAAGGAGUUCAUAUCUGAACUUGGUGUGGUUCCGAGUGCGUUGGAUCCCAUGGACAUCUAUUGUGACAACACUGGUGCCAUAGCCAACGCCAAGGAGCCGAGGUCUCACAAGAAUUCCAAGCAUAUUAAACGCCGGUUUCACACUAUUCGUGAAUAUGUCAAGGAUGGUGACAUAAAGAUUUGCAAAGUACAUACGGAUCUGAAUGUCGCAGACCCGUUGACUAAACCUCUUCCACGAGCAAAACAUGAUCAACACCAAGACUCCAUGGGUGUUAGAUUUAUUACAAUGUAAACUAGAUUAUUGACUCUAGUGCAAGUGGGAGACUGUUGGAAAUAUGCCCUAGAGGCAAUAAUAAAUUUGUUAUUAUCAUAUUUCAUUGUUCUUGAUAAAUGUUUAUUGCCCAUGCUAUAAUUGUAUUGAUUGGAAACUCAAAUACAUGUGUGGAUAAAUAAACAAAUACCGUGUCCCUAAUACGCCUCUACUGGAUUAGCUCGUUGAUUAAAGAUGGUUAAGGUUUCCUAACCAUAGACAUGUGUUGUCAUUUAAUAACGAGGUCAUAUCAUUAGGAGAAUGAUGUGAUGGACAGACCCAAACCUAAACAUAGCUUUUGAUCGUGUCACUUAAGUUUAAGUUGCUUAUGUUUUAUUAUGUCAAGUAUUAUUUCUUUAGACCAUGAGAUCAUGCCACUCCCUAGUACCGGAAGAAUACUUUGUGGGCAUCAACCGUCAUCUCGUAACUGGGUGAUCAUAAAGGUGUUUUUCAGGUAUCCCAGAAGGUGCUUGUUGGGUUGUAUGGAUCAAGACUGGGAUUUGUCACUCCUUGUGACGGAGAGAUAUCUCUGGGCCCUCUCGGUAAUAUAACAUCCUAAUGAGCUUGCAAGCAUGCGACUAAUGUGUUUAGUUGCGGGGGUAUUAUAUUACGGAACGAGUAAAGAGAACUUGCCGGUAACGAGAUUAAACUAGGUAUGGCGAUACCGACGAUCAAAUCUCGGGCAAGUAAUAUAUCGCGAGACAAAGAGAAUUGGAUACUGGAUUAAUUGAAUCCUCGACAUAGUGGUUCAACCGAUGAGAUCUUCGUGGAAUAUGUGGGAACUAUUAUGGACAUCCAGGUCCCGCUAUUGGUUAUUGAUAUUUGAUCAUGUCCACAUGUUCUCGAACCCGUAGGGUCACACACUUAACGUUUCAUGUUGCUUGGGUUAGAUGAGAUAAAUGAUGAUGAUAUCGAAUUAUGAUUCGGAGUCUUGGAUGGGAUCCUAGACGCAACGAGGAGCUCCGGAAUGUUCCGGAGAUAAAGAUUUAUAUAUGGAAAGUUGUUUUCAGGGUUCUGGAAAGUUUGGAAUAUUUCCCGGUUUUGACCGGGAAGCUUCUAGAAGGUUCCGGAGGGAUCCGGAGGGUUCCACCUUGAGGCCCACCUAUCCCUGGGCUAAAUGGGCCUGUGAGGGAGCACCCUGGCCUUAAUGGGCCGAGGGGCUAGCCCACAGGGCCCAUGCGGCCAGGAGGAGAGUCCUGGCCGCGGGAGAGUCCUGGCCGCGGGAGAGUCCUGGCCACGGGAUAGUCCUGGCCGGCCACGCCUCCUCUACCCCUAUAUAAAUAGAAGGGGGCGCAAGGGAGAGAGACACCCCAAGCUUUCAGUUGGAUCUCUCUCCCCUGAGCCCUCCUCUCCUUCUCUUCUCACGCGCACGGCGUAGCCCUGCCCGCGAGAAUAUUCACCAUAGUCACCACGCUGUCGUGCUGCCGGGAUCUCGUCUACCUCUCCCUCUCGCUUGCUGGAUCGAGGAAGGAGGAGACAACGUGAAGCUGAACGUGUGGAUACCAAGGAGGUGCCGUCCGUUCGGCACUGAGAUUGAUCUCAUUGAAAGUUCCACUACACCAACAACGAUGUCGUGAUCGUAACGCUUAGCGGUCUACGAGGGUAUGGUGUUCAUGAUCCCUCUCGUUACAUACAUCUAGUAUAUAUAUUCUUGGGUUUUCUUCCGCACUUCUCGUAGGAAAUUUUUGUUUCCUAUGCAACGAGCCCAACAGUAGCCGCCUUGGAAUGCGCUCACAAACUGCUCGCGCAGGUCAGCCCAGGAGGCUAUGGACCCGGCGGGCAGGUUGAGCAGCCAGGUCCUCGCUGAUCCUUUGAGGACCAUCGGGAACCAGUUGGCCCUGACCUUGUCGUCGGCACCGAUGGCGUGCAUCCCCAAUGUGUAGGUCAGGAGGAAAUCUUUCGGGUUCACGGUGCCGUCAUACGUUCCAAGCGCUGGCGCUCGGAACUUGCAUGGCCAUGUUACCCGGUGCAGCUCGCGGGUGAACACGGUGCAGCCGUCCUCGGCGCCCAUGGGAGCAUCCUCCUGCUACUCUGGGUGUUGGCUCUGUGCCUCACGCCGGCGCUAGCGCUCCAAGCGCGGGCGGAGGUCCUCUUGCUGGCGAGCGUUCAAGACGGCCUGCGCAUCACCCCGUGUGACGGUCGGUGAUGAAUCCGAGGACCCCUCAGGAUCCUUGCCUCCUUGCCCUCCCUGCAGGGGAGGGUUUUCUCCCUGCCCCGAGGCGCGGGGCGCGUCUCCGCGUCCCGGGUUCUGCCCAUGGCCUGAACCGGCCGGGACGCCCUCGCCUUGCGGCUACUAGGCGGCGAGCGGAAGGAGCGCAUCUAACUCUGCACUCCAUGCCACGUGCACCGGCGUGCCUUGCGGUGGCUCAUAGCGCACCAUGACACGCGUGGCGAUGAUGGCCUCCGCCGGGAUUUGAGCGGGAGGCUGCCGAUUCUCCGACCGGCUGCCCUCCUCCGUGUCCCCCGGUGCCCCUGGGUGAGUAGGGCGAGAUCCCGACGGCGUCACGCGCGACACGGUAUGCUCGUGGCGCAGCAGCUGCUGCGCUUUUUCGGCCCGCGAGUGGAGUCGCUGGCCGGCGCGGGCAGCGUCGUGGCCGCUUGCGCGACUAGCUCUGGCGCUGGGAGCCGCUGGCCCCCUCAGCUGGUUGUCAGCCGACGGCCGAGGGGGUGGGGGAGGCAGCUGCGACUGCUGCUGCUGCACCCGAUAGGGCUCAGGGUUCUCCUGAUCCUGCGACGCGGGUUGCACGUCGUCUGACAGCGUGUGCGCCGCUAGGGCACCAUGCGGGUCGAUCCGAGAGUUGCCAACCUGCUUGGUAGGCAUGGCGACGGGUUCUGUCGUCGGAGAAGAUGAAGCUGGCGUAGCUGCAGAUGACGGCACCGGCUGUCACCGGCGAGCUCUCCACACGCGCCCCCUACCUGGCACGCCAGAUGUCAUAGCCCAGGGCUUAGACACCGGGGAAGCGAGACACCCCCUUUCAGGUUUGGCAGUGGGCGUUGGGGAUCGCUCCGGCGAUCGCCUGCGAGGCCAAUGUCAAGCGUAAAGAUGCACAAGACUGUUUUACCCAGGUUCGGGCCACCCUGAGGAGUAAAACCCUACGUCCUGCUUCUGAGCUUGUAUUAGCCAAUGAACAAGCAUUUACAAGUUGCCGGGGGAGUCCCCGGGAGCUCUCUCCUUUGCUGCUAAGUGCUACUUGCUAUUUCAGGGCUUAAACUAGUAAGAACCGAACCGAACCCUUUGACCGUUGGCGAUGGUCCUCCUUUUAUACUCAAGGGGAUACCACAGGUGCCUUGAUGCAUGGGUGACAAGUGUCGAGCUUAGACCUUAGGCAGCUUGCCCUUGCUACGCUGGAUGCAUGCACGGUACAAAGCACUGCACCCAGGGCGGUACGUGCCUUGGAUUCACUGAGAGCCACUCACCGUGGGCUGACCUCACAAGGAACCAUCCUUCUGUCGGAGCAUUUAAUGCUUGCUUGUGCCACACUCCUCGCCCUGACGAGUCCCGCACACAGGUAGCCUGCCGGGGCGGCAACGUGGCGCAGAUGCUCUGCCUGGUGGGCACCGGCCCUGUCGUAGGCGCCAGCGCCCGGGAACACCCUCCCGGCAAGUGACCUUCCCGGGGGGUCGUCCUGACCAAGAUUCCCUUGUUGCCUUCCAGGGUAACACCUGCAGCCCGGCUAGUCCCGCUGGGCCGGUGACUUCCCGGGCAGCUCGAGCGGUGCUACCCAGGGUGCUGUCCUGGCGGGAAGCACAUGGAACGACCCACGCGUUAGGCAGCGGUGGUACGCCGGGUGCCACUGGUGCGACACGUAGGGUCACACACUUAACGCUUAAUGUCGCUAGGGUUUGAUGAGAUAAAAGAUGGUGAUAUCGAAUUUUGAUUCGGAGUCCCGGAUGGGAUCCAGGACAUCACAAGGAGCUUCGGAAUGGUCUGGAGAUAAAGAUUCAUAUAUGGAAAAACUGUUUCAGGGUUUUGAAAAAGUUCGGGAUAUUUUCCGGUAUUGACCGAGAAUAUUCUAGAAGGUUCCAGAAUUUCUCGGAAGGUUCUGAAAUAUUCCGGAUUAUUCCUGAGAAUUUAAUUGGGCCUUUGUAGUAAUUAAUUAGAGAAAGCUAAUUAAUUAUCCCCUGAUGGGCCUAAGCAGGCCCAUGAGGGGAAAAGGAAGCCUUCGGUGGAGCUCUCCACCAUGUGGUGGAACUCCACGUAUGUGGGGAGGCCGGGCAGAAGCAGAAAUCCUUCCGGGACUUCCUUGGCCGGCCCUAGCCCCUUGUUGGAGGAGGGACAAACCCUGGCCACCACCCCUAUAUAAAUAGAGGUGAGGGGCAGGGGGAGAAAACACACCAAGCCCUCAGCUGGAUCACUCUCCCCGAGCCCCUCUCCUCCUCCUCUCUCGCGCGCAGCAAAGCCCUGCCCGCGGAGCUCUCCACCAUAGCCACCACCACGCCGUUGUGCUGCUGGAAUCUCAUCGACCUCUUCCCCUCGCUUGCUGGAUCAAGAAGGAGGAGACGACGUAAAGCUAAACGUGUGGAUACCAAGGAGGUGUCGUCGGUUCGGCAUUGAGAUUGAUCUCAUCAAAAGUUCCACUACGCCAACAACGAUCCCGUGAUCGUAACGCUUUGUGGUCUACGAGGGUAUGAUGCUCAUAAUUCCUCUCGUUACUUACAUCUAGUAGAUAUGAUCUUGAGUUUCUUCCGCACUUCUUGUAGGAAUUUUUUUAUUUUCCAUGCAAUGAACCCAUCACAAAGAUCAUCAGGGACUUUUGGUGGGGAGCGGAGCAGGGGAAGAGGAAAACCCAUUGGGUUGCGUGGGACGCCAUGCUCCAGCGAAGAACAUGGGUGGAUUGGGCUUUAGGGAUAUGCAAACUUUCAAUCAAGCUCUCCUCGCCCGACAAGCAUGGCGUCUGCUUGACAAACCAAACUCCCUGUGCGCGCGAGUGCUAAAAGCAAAAUACUACCCCAAUGGUAUGCUGGUUGAUACUGUCUUUACGGGGAAUGCCUCUUCCUCGUGGCAAGCAAUUGAGUUCGGGCUUGAGCUGCUCAAGAAUGGUAUCAUCUGGAGAAUUGGGAAUGGAUAGGAGGUCCGUAUCUGGGGGACCCUUGGAUUCCAAGGAACUAUAGUCGAAGACCGAUAUCGCAAAGGAGAAAUUGCCGUCUAAAGUGGGUUUCUGAACUCCUAACCCCCGACGGCAAUUGGAACAUGGAGCUGCUAAGGAAUUUUUUUUCUCCCGGUCGAUAUUGACUACAUUGUAACAAUCAAGCCGUCACACAGGAACGAGAAAGACUUUCUGGCGUGGCACCCUAACAAGAGAGGCCAAUUCUCUGUGAGGUCGGCGUAUCACCUUCAGCGCUGCCUCUCGCCCAAUGCCUAGGAUUUGGGGGCAACGAGUAGCAGACCAGACGGAGACAAUGCUAAGUGGAAAACUGUUUGGAAUGACAUUGUGCCAAGGAAAGUCAACAUCUUUGCGGGGAAAGCUAGCAGGGAUGCUUUGGCCACGCAGGUUAAUCUCCAUAAUCAGAGGAUGAAAAAGGUGAGAACUUGCCCAAUCUGCGGUGUCGAGGAUGAAGAUUUAUUCCAUGCCCUGGUCCGAUGCCCUAAUGCCCGGGCCAUUUGGCAUGCUAUGAGCUCUUAUUGGGACAUCCCGGAUCCUGGACUCAUGCAGAACACGGGGCCGGGCUGGCUGUUGCAUGUUCUGUCCCCCUUGGACAAGACGAAGGCUGCGAUGUUGCUCAUGAUGCUUUGGCGGAUCUGGCAUGUGCACAACGAUAUCACGCACGACAAAACACCUGCUCCUGUUGUGGCUUCUAGGCGUUUCCUUUGCAGCUAUAUGGACUCACUCCUUCUAGUCAAGCAGAACCCGGUGGUUGAUGUCGAGAAGGGAAAACAAGUUGGCUCCUACUCUGCUAGAGCGAAGGCAGGCCAACGGCGAAUGGGGCAACUCUGUUCCAGUGAUUCAGGAUGGAAGCCGCCGGACCCCGAUUCUGUCAAGUUAAAUGUUGACGGAUCCUUCUCUUCGGCUGAUGGUUCCGCGGGAGUUGGCCUAGUGCUUCGCAAUGAUAAAGGUGAGGUUAUCUUCUCAGCCUACCAGAGUCUCACGCAUUGCACGGGUGUCCUUGAAGCUGAACUGGCGGUGUGUGAGGAAGGCUUGCGGGCGGCAGCGGGCUGGACUGACAAGUUCGUCGUUCUGGAAUCAGAUUGCGCUGAAGCUCUGUCGCUGAUCUGCGCCAAGAACGCCGAUAGAUCACCCUAUACCAUGUGUGUCAGGGAGAUCCGUUGCUUGCUCGAUGAACAGCCUACUGCUGUGCGUAAAGCGGGUCGAUCCCAAAAUUGUGUUAGUCAUUUGCUUGCAAACUAUGCUAGAGUUAAUAAUUGUACGGAUAGCUGGAUCCAGCAUGGUCCAGAUGUGAUUUCGGAAAGUGUAAUGUUUGACUGUCCUGAUGAUUAAUGGAAUUCUCCUUUCACAAAAAAAAAGUAUAAACUUGGAACAGUAAGUAUGCCCAAGGAAAAGGAUAGUUCCUUCAACAUUAAACCAGAGAGUAAUUGACUACGCUGCUAUACCGAUUAUUAUAACUUUGCCACGAACAGAAGGAAAUAACAACAUGAGAAAACAAUAAAGAAACAAUAUAUAGAAUAGAUUAAUUGUCCACUCAUAUGUUAUUGGAUACAUUCAGUUUUGUUUCAAAAACAGAAAGGAUACUAGAAACUUUUGCCCUUACACUACAAACUCCAUCCCUCCUCCAUUGUAGGACUAAUAUAAUUUGUUUUCGCACAACGUAACUAGUUGCCAUGAGAUGACUAGCUACGUGGGAAGAUCAACCCUGAAGGUUUUUCUUAUUUUGUUUGCUAUGGUGACUCAUAUGACCACCAUACGCCUGACGCAAGUUGAAUGUGGCAUUACAAAACCUGCAUAUGUGGCCUGACCUCAUGGAAUCUUGCAUGACAUCACUGGCAAAACUUAUAGUUUGGCCAUCUAUUAGGGUCGUAUCUUCUCUUGGGGUACUUGGGAAUAUUGCGGAUGGACCAGAAGGGGUACGAACACCAUAAAUAUCUUCAUUGUAAAGCGCCCCGUGUUGUAUCUGUUGUGUGUAUAUAGUAUUUGAACUGAAGGGAUGAAGAUUUGGAGGAGAAGAAGCAUAGCCCAAUGGUACCCCGGUGAAUAGCAUUGUUGGGUUCUCAAAUAUCGGUCCAUCAUCCAACCCUCCAAUUGUAUUAAGGUGGGCAUGGACACUAGCAAUGGGAUCUCCUUGGAGUAGGGAUGUGAUUGAUGGAGACUCCAUGGAAAAAAAUCUGCAUUUGCUGAGAUGGGUUGAUGUAGUUCUGGAUUGGGGUUGUAAGAAAUUCUUGCUGUGAGAAUAUUUCUUGAUUCCUUUGAGAGCUUUCCAUGAUAGUAGGUUCUGAUGUAGAGGUUCUGCCAAGAGAUACAUGAUAAGUAUUUGUAUGGGGUAACACUGGAGGUUGUGCUGAUGGAACAUUUGUUUGGUCUUGUAGGUUGGACUGAUUUUUGGGUGGCAUAGGUACUUCUAAUGCAUUGGCGGUAGGUGCAGUGUUUCUCAUCGAAUUAGAAUGCGGUGGCGGCUGGAACGUAGGGGAUACAAACUCAUCCAACAUUGGCAUGGCCGUUGUGCCACUCAGAGCUUCAUGCAAGGGGGAAAUAUCGGACCCACUUUCACUAAAUAUGGCAUAAUUGUGGUAGGAACCGUUUGGAUCCAUGGCUCCUAGAUCGGGGAUUCCUAAUGGAAAGCUACCCAAAACAGAUGAAUCAUUUGCUCGGAUGAUGGAAACUACUAUCGAUGGUUGGAUUUUCCUUGGUACUAGAUCUAUUUUUCUGAAAGAAUAGCAACACUAUUUAUAGGGAUAUGAAAUUAUGAACGUUCUUGGCCUCAUGCAAUCAUUAAUUACGACAAAUCUAGAAGAUUUGACAUUUAUUCACUACAUUCAUAUAAAAUAUUAAUAAAUGAGUCAUCAAUUUGUCUAAUAAAUAAUGUAAUCUUGCAUGAUAUGGCCUUGGAAAAUCCAAUAUUACCAUUGUUUGGCAUAAAUGUUGGCAAGCUCUUAUAUUUCUAUGGAUUUCUUUUAAACCGCUCUAUGAACAAAAAGCUAUUGCCCAGCAUAGUAUGGUGUCCCUAUAUUAUCUAUACCCUUCAUUUCCCUUCACCGCCUUGAGAUUGGAGCUAGAAAUUUUGCAUACCCUCCUCCGACAGUGUGUUUUUUUAUUUCCUGCAUGUGCACAAGGCUUGUUGAAGCACAUUUUCACUAAACUAAUUAUACUUGUUUUUAUAUUGUCCUAAUUACGAGCAGAGGCGAGUUCCAUUGUGAGUGUUUUGGUUGCACAUAGGUGUCAAUUGUAUCCAGUGAAUUGACUAUUGUGGCAUAUGCAAUUGGGGAUUAAAAUUGCUAGAACUUAAAGUAAAACAGAGAUUAGCAAACAUAAAGUAAACCGGGGACUUAAACGGUAUUUCUUGUAAGAAAGAAGUUCGGACAGAGAGGUUCUGGUCAUGCUAAUAAGUGAAUGUGCCUUUUUGCCUUAUAUUGGACGUUCAGUAGGCAAGUCGCCCGUGAAUAGCCAAGCUCCUCCUGUCAGAAUCGGUUACCAUAUAUCAUCAAUGGUCCACUCAUUAAGGUGGUAAGACCGUUCAAUGCUAUGGGCAUUCUGGCUUCUCGUUCCCUUCUUAUUGUCUUUGCUCCUCAUUGAUAUCUCCACAUGCCACGUCACAGAUUUGUUAAAGAAUAGAUGCUUACCCAUAUUGGUCUUGAGAACACUAGUAUUUUGGAGGUAAAAAGGGAUUUUUUUUAGAGUAUUGGCUGAACACUCAACCACCUCAAAUACCAAUGCGCUAGUGACUAAAAAAUACGCCUAAACGGAAUAAGACUGGGCAUUCCCCUCGUUAUCCGUACGGGGAGUCAGGAGCCUGACGGUUACCGAACUAGACAAAGAGGGGAAGAAGAAGAAGACCCUCGUCUCACUACUGCCCACCCUCCCCGACCAUGAUGCCGUAGAGAAGAUCGACAGCUUCAUCCAGCACGAGCUGCUUCUGUAGGAAUUGGGAGAAAAUCAAGUUAGGAAGAAGAGUAAGAACCCUAGAAAUUAUAUGUGAGAAAGGAGACAACGGGGAAAAACCUCUUGCGAAAAUUCCUGCCUCACUACUUGACGAGGACCAGCAAGGUCAGGAGAGACGGUGGCAUGACCGGCGGUGGCAGUUGGUCUCAUCGGAGUCGCCACAACUUGUUGCAGACUCAUCGGCGUCGCCUGAGGAUUCAUCGGCCGCCGCGGAGUCAUCGCAGGCGCGGGUUCGACGCCUGGACAGUGGGGCGCACGGGUCAUGCUUGGUAUCCUCCCCUCGCGUGAGAGCUCGCUGUGUCGUCGGCUCAAGUGGAAAAAACGCGACCCCCAACCCCCUACUCGUGUCUCAAAACCAUCCCGAGCGAGGUGUAUUUAGGGUUUUAUUCGGACUAACACUUCUCAAAACCAGGGUGCCAAACGGACCGACAAGUGGAUUGACGUGGCCCGAUAAACUACUACGCGGGUUUCAUCUAAAAUCCCAGCCUACCAAAUGAGGCUAAGAGCAACUACAGCCGCCCCCCGUAAAGGCCCCCUAAACGGGUGUCGUACCAGUGGCCCACGGGGACCCACUGAUACGGGACGUGUGGGUCGCCAGUGACGAAGCCUCGUCAGGAAGGCCUCCCGGGAAGCGAUGAGUUCGGGAAGCCUGACUCAAGGAGACGGCCCUUGGUGAAGAUGAAGCUAAGGGCCCAAAUAUGAGAAGCCCCCGAGAACCCCGGUCCCGGGAAGCUGAAGAAAAGCCUCCCGGCAACUAGCCAGGUGCGCUAGCUGGGAAGGGGCACCCUAGCAACCCACGCUCGGGCAUGCAAGCGGGACCCGCAGAACAGUGAAGAAAGGACAAGACGGCGGGCGCAGUGCAUUUAAUGCACCGACAGGAGUCUUAUUAGCAGGCCUAGUCUGUCUUAUCAAGGCUAGGGCAACUACUCCGCGAAGCAUUUUUUCUACCGUGUACAGUGGACCGGGCGCUGCAUGGCGUCCAGCGUGGAUCAGCGGGAGUAUUUUUCAUAUGGCUGUGACACGCGUCUGGGAGACGUGUCCUGCUGCAUGCAUUGGCACCUGUGGUAUCCCCUUGUCUAUAAACGGAGGACCAAUGCCACCCGUCAAGAGGUUCCAAGGAGUCUUAGUUUGAGCCCUAGUUAGAGCCAUCGCCAAGUAGCUUCCCGGGAACUCCCGGGACACCUUGUAAGCGACAUUUGCAAUUUUGAAUACAACAAAAAGCAGGACGAAGGGUGUUACACCUCCGGGUGGCCCGAACCUGGGUAAAUUCACGUGUCCACACUUCGUGUCUAUCGUCACGUCGGCUCAGCGAUCGCCUCGCCCUCCACCUAACCAGAAAGGGGGUGCUCGACAUCCCCGGUGCCGGAGACCCGUGCUCCGACAAUGGGUUUGGGGGAGCCGGCGCCCAAAAACCCACCCACUGGCCUCCCUAAAUUGUUUUUUUAGCCGGCGCGGCCCAAAAUGUUUGGCGUGGGCCUACCUUGUCAGCGCCAUUUACUGCCCUCACCGGCUUCGCCUCGGCUUCGCAGGCGAGUUGUGGCGGUCGCCGGGUCAAACCGCCGCCCAAUCUUGUCAGCUUCCACACGGCGCGCCCCUGCGUUCACCCCCCCCGGCGACGCCUAUAAAAGGCAGCACCGUCAACCUCGCCAUUCAUCCACCUCGGCCAUCUCCUUCCUCACCUUCUCUCCUCUCCCUCACCCUCGACAUCGCCAUGGCCCAUGGAGACGAGCGCCGCUGGCUCCGCAUCGACGAGGCCGUUGCGAUUCGGACGGCUGGCUACCGGUCGCCGCUGGACUACCGCCUCCCACACGGCUGGCAGCUCAGCUGGGGCGGCAGGGCCGUCCCGCCGGUGCCGCCGGGUGCAUGACUGCGGGAGCGCAUCUGGGAGCGCUAGGUCGCCCUGACGCCGGAGCAGCAAUCGUCGGCGGAGGGGGCUCGGGAGACCGGCACCACCUAGGACGGUUUCUUCGCCAUCGAGCACCGGCGCGUGGUCCGUAAUGUGCCGCACAAUCGACGGCAUCCUCGCCCACAUCGUCGCCGGCAAUCAGCCGCGGCUCGAUGGAGGCGCGCCCCUCCCUCCUCCACCGGCCCUCCCUCUCCCUCCUCCACCGGCCGGACGCCACAGCUACCUGGGCGGUGGCUCCGGCUCGUCCUCGCGCACGCCCCGCCGGCUCAUCUUUGAUGAGCCGAGUUCAUCCUCGGCCGGAGCACGGGUGCCGACGCCGGAGCUGGAGGAGUGGGCGCCUCCUCCGAAUUACGAGAGCGCAGCCAUCGACCACCGCGGAGACUCCGACCCGGAGGAGUACCCGGGUCCGCGCGCCGCCGAGCACGCCAGUAGGGACGAGGCGGAGCGGCAGGCAGAGGAGCGGCAUGCCGGCUCCUCGACUAACGCGUCCGAGGCCGAGGUCCAGGCCUGACUGGCGGCUGAGGCGGCCAAGGAGGAGGCGAAGAAGGCGGCGCCGGCACUCGUGCCGGUGAAGCGGGAGUCAUCAGUCAUCGCCAUCGACUCCGACGAUGACUCCGGCUUCAAUUUUGACACCAGCGACGGCGACUUGUGGAUGGACCACCUAGACGACUAGGUUUUUUUUUUCAAUUAUGUAAAUUAUUGCAAGUUUAAUGAAAUGUCGCCGAACUUUAUAAAAUGUCGCCUAAUUUGAUUAAUUUUUGCCUAAUUUGAUGAAAUUUCGCAAAUUUAGAUUUUAGUAUCGUGGGGCCGGCUAGGACGCGGCGGGCCCCCAAAUUCCCUUUGCGCCGACGCCCCCAUAUGGCCUAAAAAUAUGGCAGGCCGGACGCCAUAUGUGGGGGAUGGCUGGAGAUGCUCUGAGAGCAACUCCACCCAUCCUCCCUAAAGACCCUCGAAAGGUCAAAUGGGGGAGCCGGCGUAAAAAAACCUACCUUGCUGCAUCCCUCAAUUUAUUUUUUGAGACGGCGAAGCCUAACAAAACAUCGGGCACCCCGGCCAGCCCAUAGCCAAAGGAGGGCAAGCGGGGGCGCCGGUUAACAGCGUGCACCAACAAAACGACGACGCGUGUCCUGUACGAGGACCACACGCGGAAUCUUUCUCCUGCCCACCCCCGACCGCCUCUUCUUCCCGAGAUCGAGCUGCCGACGAUUCCCGGUGCGUUCCAGGACGGUGUAUUUCUCCUGUACGAGUCGUGGCGACGUGGCCUUCGUGCUCGCCCUGGCACAGCUCGACGUGCCGGUGCUCCCUCACUUCUUCUUCUCCACCCGAAGAUCCCCCGUUUUCUCCUUCGUCUAAGGCGAGCGCCGCCGCUCCAGUGCCUCCCGCGCCAAUCCGACGAGCCCUAGAGCUCCGCCCCGCCUCCCUGAGCCCGUUGGUCCCCUCGGACUCCUCCCCCGUGCCCUGGACUGCCCCCGCAUUGAGCCCCGCCGCCGUCGCGCGCCUCCUCUGUCGCUUUCGACGUGGGCUUCCUCGCCGUCUGGCCCACGUUGCGGGCGUGCUGCGGCGGGGCGUGCGGGCGUGCCCUGCGCUGGGCGUGCUGGCGUGGCGGGCGGCAGGCGCUGCGAGCAGCUCGGGGCGAGCGGCGGCAGAAUGAGGCAAGCGGCGAGGCCGGGUUGGAGCGGCGGCUGCAGCUCCGAGCGCGGCUCGCCCCCGUCCAUGGCCACUCUCGGCUUCUUCCCCUGCUCGCGCGGCCACGCCCACAAGGUGUUUAUCAAAAUGUCAGGCAAAACUAUUUUUGGGUAUGAGGAUUACGGCUGGGUCUAUACUUCCCCUCGGUCAAGGGACACGUACAAGGGACACGAAGACGAGUGGAGAUGCUCUACGCCCCGGCGUUUGCCCUCGUGAUUUCUGUUCGGAUGGCUACUUGGAAGUUGGAUCUGACGAUAGCCGACGCCACUGGACAAUACGCUUUCGAAACUGAUUUGCGUAAACAGGUUAUCCUCCUCGGUCUCCCUUCCCAUUUCCCCUUCUCGUUCCUUCGUCCCGAGCCACCCUCUAGGCUCUAGCCUAAUCGGAACGUGGAAGAUUUCGAGAGGUUUAAGCCGGCCGGCGACCGGCUUCGGAUCGCCAUGAGCGAGGUAUUCGAGGGCUACGAGCGCCAGUACUGCGAGAUCUCGGCCUCCCUCUCCCGCAAAUGCACCGCCGCCUCCUCCCUCUUAGGAGGUAUGUUGUGUCCCAUGAAUCGUCUCCCGAUCUUUGUUUCCUAGAUCUUUCUCGCCUCGGAUUGUUCGAUCUUCUUCUGCUUUUUGGUUGUAUCGUACGCAGAGAAGCUGAAGCAGAAGGCGUCGGAGAUCAAAUCCGGCAUCGAUGGCGCCGAGGCACUGGUAACCCUUCUUCUUUAUAACCAAUUAAAUAAUAUGUUAUCAGUCCAAACAAAUUUUCCAAGGAAUUCGAUUGAUUUAUGGUAUACCAAGGGGUUGUAUUAUUUAACCCAUCACGGAAAUAAUUAAAUUUCGCAGGAUUAGGUUAUAGUGUAAAUCAAAGGAACACUCUGUUCUUUAUCGUUUUUAAAUUAGGACAUCGCGCAAACAAAUUGCUCUCAUCUAGGAUGAGUUAACUGUAUGAAUCGAUAAGAGUUUUAUGUUUAGAAUGCCUCAACGUGGUUUUCCUUUUGUAGAUAAGGAAGAUGGACCUUGAAGCAAGAAACCUCCAACCGAGCGUGAGGGCCGGGCUCCUGGCGAAACUGAGAGAGUACAAGUCAGAUCUUAACAACCUGAAGGGAACGUUAAAGAGAAUCACUACUGGCAAUGCUCAACAAGGGACCAGAGAGGAGUUGCUAGAGUCAGGAAUGGCAGAUACGUUGGUGGUAUGAUCUUUAUUCUGAAUUCAUGGAUGGUUUCUAAUUUGGAGGUGAAUCAUGUUUUGGUUAACAAUGUGAUGCAUUCAUGCAUCUAUUUUCUUAACCCGCAUUUUACUGGUUGUGCAUGUCAGAAAUGGUAAACAUUACUACCUGUUUAAUUAAAAGUAGCCCCAGAAUCAGAAUACCUGUCCAUUCUGUAAAUCAAUCUACAUCUGAACAAAGCAGAUUUCUGGAAAAGAAACAAACAUGGAUGUUUCACUUUUUUUAUCCAACAAUUUGGAUGCACUGAUGUAGUCUCUAAUUUGUAAUUUUCCCCAUGUCGCUAGAAUUCUUAAUACAUUUUUUCAGGAUGUGUAAUGGUGAGUCUGAAUAAUGAGGUACAAAUUGUCCAAUGAUGCUCGGAUAUCGAUAUUAAUAGCAUAAUAUGUAUCUAUAUUUGUCACUCUGUUGAAGGAUGCAAAUGUCAAUAUUUUGGCAAGUUAAAGAAAUGUUGUUUCGUGCAGACAAUAAAAAACAUUGUUUCCAGUCCAUCUGUGAUGAAUCUCUACUGAAUGUUUUUUUUUUCUAUGCUCAUUCUAUCGCAUAUGCUGUCCAUAUGAUUCUCUGCGAUAUUAUUAUAAAAGACUGAGAAGAUAGAAUCCAAUCAAGUAAAUAUCACCUUGCGACAUUUAUAUUUUGGUCAAGUCUGAGGUUACUGUACUCACAUGUGCAUCUUUAGUUCUUAAUCUUACAUUUAGUUACAACAGCUAUGACUAAUUUUCUAUCCCAUUAAAGUCCAGUGAUUUCUUUGGAUGUUGAAUCUUGCAGGUAUCUGCUGAUCAGAGGUCAAGAUUGCUCAGGACAACAGAAAAGCAAAACCAGACAACUGAUCGGAUCAGAGAUAGCCACAGAACUAUGCUGGAGACUGAAGAUCUUGGAGUCUCCAUCUUGCAUGACCUACAUCAGCAGCGCCAAUCUCUCUUACGUGCUAAUGAUACGGUAACUAUUUAGUUGAUUCUCCCUGUUUUGGCCUAUUGGUUUGUAAUUUGGUACUAUCUUUCAUAAAAUAUUUGUACGCUCCAAUGCUAUGCAUAUUGUAUGCAAUUUGCUAGAAGGAAGUCAUGAUGAAAUCAUUAAUCAUGUGUUGUCACUCUACCUUAAAUGUUUUUAUGCUAGAUGUAAAGUGAUAUCCUUUGCGGUAAAAUUAGCUAGUCACUGAAUCUCGAAAAACAUAGAUAACAUCCUGAUGCUUUACCUAGGUUGUUUUUGCAUUUUAUUUUCAAUGCACAAUGUUUUCCUUGUGCCUCAGCGGACCUAACUUAUGUUGUAGUAUGAACCAGAAUGUACAGUGUGCAAAUUUAGGAGAUCAUAUAAUUUUUAAACUUAGGUUGGUCAUGGUAGAACUUGUUCUUCAAUAUCAACUGUGAAGGUAAGUUUAAGGGUCCCUUUGUUUAGGCUGGAGCUUCUGCUUAUUUAGCUUCUAGGGACUACAAGCCAACAAGUUAACACGAACACCUCACUUGCAGCUGGCUGGAGAGGAGAAGCUACAAAUUCCCACGCCCCAAUACCCUUCUCACUUAUCCUCUAUUUACGUUAGAAAUGCCACUCGACGCCUGAAACGUUUUCUUCCCAAACGACACUCUCCUCGUCCCCCAGAUCCCGAUUCCCUCCCUUUCCCCUUUCACGAGAGGCGGCCUCGCUAUGGUUCGGGCGCCACCGGGACGCCGCCUGAGAUAUGCGCUGCGCCACCAGCCUGCGGCCGGACCGCAUCUAGGAUAUCACCAAUGGCGGCCGCCGCGCACAUGAAGCGCGCCGCCCCUUGGUGCUCUGCUCGCGUCUCCCUCUUCACAGACGGCGUCUGGCGAAGGAGGGCAGCAGCAUGGAUGGCUGAUGGUGUGCUGGGGCGCAGUGGCGGAGCAGCGGUCGUGCAUGGAUGAGAUGGUGCUCUUCUUUCUCAACGGCGAGACGACGACCAACGACUGAAGCCUCCACGGACGCCGGCCCGGCGGCGAUUUCGUCCUCACAGACCGCCGGCAACAGCCUCCCUAUUUCGUCCUUCUGAACCAGCGCCACACCCUCCCCUGCAAUUUCUCCAGCUGAACUUAGUUUUCCUUUUUUGGAAUUUACAAUUUCUGAUUUACUCCUAUGAAUCUGUACAGUACCUAGCGGAAGGCUGGGAGAAGCUCUGAUGCAUUUUACGUUGAGUCAUUUGUAUGUAUGUACUGUAUAAUUUUUAAGCUUAUAAAAUACACAACAUCGUUGAUGGGUAUUAAAUGUAGCCUGUGGUUAUCAUUUUUGUGUGUUUUGAAACAAUUCACGGAUGCUACAGUCAUACUCGAUUCCUUCAAUCUUGUAAAAUGAAAAAAAAUCAUGUGUAUGUUUGAUUUUUAGUCAUCUGAUCUAAAUUGUAUUUGGGUUGAACAACUAGACACAUUUAUUACUAUUAUCUGAUAUGACACUAUAUGGUUAACUUUUAGAAUAUGACUAUUUUCUAUUAUGGGCUCAGCCAAAGUUGACUAACAUAUGAAUUAACAAUUUAUGCUGAACGUAGCCAAAAUACACACUUGCAAAUCCCGUCAGAAUUAUGCAUUUUACGCCAAAAACAACUCUUCGUUGUUUGCGCUAACUCAGCAUUUAAUCAAAAUUUGCGGCAAACAGGGACAUUUCAGACAUUCCACUCCCAUCCAGCCACAGCCUAGUUUCACUGCCACCUUAAAUGAACAACAAGUCAGGGUCAGGGUUCCUUCCAGCUCCAGCAAAAAAAUAGCUUAUUUCAGCUCCAUCUAGCUUGUUUUCAGCUCCAGCCUAAACAAAGGCAGUGCGUAAAAGCAAUAUGAUGAUGGCAUAGCCCAUAUUCUAUUAACCAUAUCCAGGGAGUUAAAUAUAGCCGCCAUUUUUUUUUAACCGAAUAUAGCCGCCAUUACAACUGAGUUAUUAUGUUCUACUUUAUAUAUGGCCUUUUUUAUGUGCAUGUUUUUGGUUUCUAACCUAUUACUAAAAGUUAUGUCUUGGCACUACAGUUGCACAGUGUGGACGACAACAUUAGCAAGAGCAGAAGGAUCAUGGGGGCCAUGGUAAGGAGGAUGGAUAGGAACAAGUGGAUCAUCGGUUUUAUCAUGACCCUCCUUGUUUUGGCGAUCCUAGUCAUCCUGUAUUUUAAGUUUGUGCACUGAAGGAUUUCCACAGCAUCCGACAUCAGCUUUCUACACCAAUCAGAACUGACGAAGGCAGUUUCUAGUGUGUUUCAUGUCAUUUGUUUUGUUUGUUGGUUUCGAUGAACAGUUUCUUGUGCUUGUUUUUGUUAUGAUGAAUGUCUUGGUUAUGAAAAAUAUGUUGAGACCAUUUGACAGCUUUGUAGAUAAAACAGAUUGUGUAUGACAGACAGAGAAUAUAUGUGCAUUUUGGAUUCUGAAUCGGAAGUUUUGGAAUUAAGUUGAAGAUCUAGAGGCGACUAAAGAAAAUUGAGUUAUCUUGUUGAACUAUAUUUUUCACACACAAACUGGGAACCGAAAUCAUUUUCUUAAAAGUUACUAGCCUGUAACUCUCAUUUGUUUGCUUGAAUUUACACUCCUGAAAAUGCCCAUUUUUCAGAAGUUGUAAUACUCCAAAAAAACUGGGUUCUGUGUUGACAUGUGAGGCAUGCAAAAUGUCAACGUCAAACUCUGUAAUAAUGCUUAAAAGGAAAAUGGAAAAAAAAUGACUACUUAAUGGUGUCAUCACAGGUGAGCCCUCAGAUAUUGGGAUCGAAAUAUUCGCGCUUCCGUUUGGGACAUCAUUUUCUGGAGCUACGGUUGGCCAAAGGGACCCAUGAUAGUGGCAACGGGUUGAUUCUGCGGUUUGUUUGGCAACGACACCACGUGUUUGAGGGUUUCUUCAAGGUCAUACUCGGCACAAACCGUCAUACUCGGCACAAACCUUCCACAUCUACGACACAAAGCUAGUUGUCAAAAUUGGAGUUGUCUUAUUGUGGUCUUCAUCUUCUCUGUGACCAUUAUUGUGGUCUUCAUCUUCUCUGUGACCAUUCAGGGUGAAGUCCAAGACAAGAAAAACACAAAAAAUGGACGUAGUCACCGCCCCGAGGUUCUAGGCCAUUAGAAAUGCAGUUGACGAUGGUGAGACAGAAAAGACGAAAAAAUCACAGGACUUCAAAUCCAGUCGGAUGGAAGUGUUAGAAGUAUCACGUGUUUAAACUAGAGGUAUAGGAAUAGAAAUGAUUCAAACAUUGCACAAUUGGUUUUAUACUCCAUGUCAUCUCACCAUCGCAGAAAAUAUACAUCCACGUCAUCUCGCCAUCGCAGAAAAUAUACCCUGUAUCAAAGAAUCAUUAGAGAUCCAUUCUAUGUUUCCACGCCAAUGUCCAACGAUGGAACCAUUUCCCCUUUUCUAUUCCUCUUCUCCCAAAGCCCGUGCUACAGCUCCGAACCCUCUGUGACGCGCCUUCGCUUCCUCUCUCCCUUCUCUCCGGCGGAAGGAGAGUGGUUGAGGGGGGGCAGCCUUCUCUAGUGAUAUGUAGUACUCCCUCCGAUCCAGAUCCAUAAUAAGUAGGGGGGGGGGGGGGGAGGGGGGGGCAGCCUUCUCUGGUGAUAUGUAGUACUCCCUCCGAUCCAUAGCACUUAUUAUGGAUCAGAGGUUCAUUGCUUUAGCUGUCUUAGGGACGUUUUCUAGAGGGAUUUCAGCACUGGCAAACAGACGUCGGUGGCUCGUCGGUUCCUCUAAUCUGAUUCCUAUCUGAUUCCUCUUUCAGUAAAAGCCUCUUUCAUGAUCUGGUUUCCUCAAAAAAGCCAUCUCCUAUAUAUCCAAAAUAAAUCCAUGUUAUCUUCCUCAUGCGAUCUUGUGGAUUUGCUCUCCAUCAAUCGUUUUCCCCGGAGAUCUUGUUUCGUUCUUUCAUCUAUGACCACCUUGAAGAUCUUAUGGGCUGGUUUGGAGUUGGGGCAUGAUUUCUCUUUGAAUCUUUUGGCCCCUUCUUACUGCUGCUCCGGUGAUUUGCUUCCCUGCUAUUAUUUGCAUCGGAGUAAAACAAGUUAUGGUUGUUGCUUAUGUUUUCUUGGUGGUUGCUGCUCCUCUCAACCCCCCUUUAGCAGGACCGCGUGGCGGCUCCGGGGCAAGGCCUUCAACACGCAGAAAUGGCGGUUGCUCAAGACUUUUUUAUUGGGAUGGCUGUUUUGAAUAGUUUUUUUUCUCUAAUGAAAAUUUUGGCCCCGAAAGUCAGCACGUAUGUGCCAAUUUUGGACAUUAUUUGAUUAUAAAAUUUGUCAGAAGUUGGCUUCAAUUUGAACCAUAACAGUCCACAAAAAAAAUAAGAAGGGUAAGAUGGUAAAUUCACAGGUGAUUGAAAAGUCAACUUUCCUUGUUUGGACAGAGGGGUGUCUUUUGACAAAUGGCUUGAGAAUUGUAAUGGUACCGGGCAAUUCACAAUCGGGCGGUGUGUUUGGGCAAAGGCCGCAAACUGUGUCGUGUGGCAAAUUUCCUCUUGUAAAUUUUAAUCUUUAAGCCUGGAUUGUACUCGAAUUGUAUUCACACUCUGCAGGACUUUCGUCCUACUGUUUCAAUGGAGCAGGGUCCCUUUUACAAAAACGAUGGAACCUGGUAAUGCAUUGAAGUUGAAGCAAGAGAGAAACACACCGAGCAUCCGACUGUGGCUAAUGCAUUGAAGUUACGAUGUGUUUGGUUCUGGGGUAGUGCGGGGCGACCGCGGGCCGUGUGGUUCCACAGAAUUCGGCGGGCGACACAGAUCGUUUUUUCAGGCGAUAUUUCCUCCGCAGCCGCUCCGCUCUAGGUGCUCACACAUCCAAACAUGAAAAAAA